UAUCGGCCAUGGAUCCGAAGACAAGAUGGGGUAGCUUUGAGCCGCCUAGGAGGUGGAGAUGACCUAUAAUAGGCCAUGCUCCACCAGCUUCAGGUGCUACAUUUUUUUUGCUAAUUCUAGUCCAAGGUGAGAAAUGAUAAAGGACUAAUACUAUAGCAAACAGAGCAGCUAUUAUAGAGUAGAGUUGUGGGAGGAAGGACUCCAUGGCAGAAUUAAGCGAUUGAGUUAUUCAACUCUUUAGGGAUUUCUUUGGUGCUAUACCAUAUAAAUAACUAAAUGAUUUGGUUAAGCUUGACUUUUUGUGCAGAAUAUGGCCCAGUUGGGUUGUUUUAUAUGAAUUGUUAACGUUAACAAAUGAUUUGGUUAAGGUUGACUUUUUGUGCAGAAUAUGGCCUAGUUGGGUUGUUUUAUAUGAAUUGUUAACGUUAACAAUUAAAAUUAAUGAAAGCUAAACAAUUAAUAAAAUCGAUAUAUUAUCCUUAAGUUUUACAAGUACUUAUACUACAGUUCCGAAAUACCCUUAUAUUAUUUUAAUUAAUUUUAAUAUAUAUUUGGAACUUGAAAAACACGAAGACAAAGGAAGAAAAAGAAAAAAGAAUAAUGAAUUUAAAAGAACGAAAAAAAAUAUAUCUUAAUGAAAACAAGGUAAUAAGCUACACUUCAAAAAAUUCUAACAUCAUGAACAGUGUUAAGAUAUACUGUAUUUGUUACGGGCAAUGGAUAACUAAGAACUGGUAAGGAAUUUAUGAGUCCGCAGGACCACAACGUAUCAUGCAACCAGAGUCUAGUAUUAUAGUACAUAGUACUCAAGGUGAUAAUGAGACUGAAUAUAACAACUAUGUUGACAGGUUAGGGGCCCACACAGAAUACUACAUUGAAUGAGUUAAGAAGAUCAAGGAGAACUACUAGAGAGCCUACGUGCACGAGACGUUAUAUCAAGUGCAAGAAUGGAGAACGUAGAGUUAGGAAAUAAUCUUGAAUUAUCAUACUCAGUUAGAGUAUAAGAUUCAAGGGUCCUCAUUUGAUAAUAUCAUUCUAGUUGUAUGGUGGAUAUAUAUUCACUUAGUUUGUUAGCCUUAUCUUGUAAUGGGUUAUUUGUUAGCUUUAUAUUGUCAUGGGUUUACGGUGUAAACGUAAUGAUUUUAAAUCUUAUCCUUAUCUCCUUUUCUUUUAUCUACGUAUACUUCUCCUCCAAAUUUUUCACUAAAGAUAAUUAAUUAAUGUCAUAUGGUAAGUCAUUUUUUUAAUUAUGUCCAAUCUCAUAUAUUGAUGUUUUUUGUAAUUGUAAUUCAGCUGAACAGGACUCUAUACUUAAUGUUAAGAUAUUUAAAAGUACGUGCAUGUCUUUUUCGAGAUUAUUAUCUGAUUCAUUUUAUUUGAAUUCAUAUCUCACCAAAGUGAAUGUUAACGCCAAGAUUCGUCCACGCGCUUCAAUCCUGCACAAAAACGAAAAAACACGAAAAGCUUGACGGCUUGGGCCGCCGAGGGAUAGCUCCAGUGUGAGAAUAAGUACAUGCUGAAUAAGGUUAACAAUGAAGAUUUAAUGCUCUAGUACUGAAAAAUAAUAAUUGUAUGUACCUUAGAGUUCUCACCACCUCUAUCAGGUUGGAUUAAGGUUCCUCCCAAGCAAUAAUUCCUUAACAAGAUUGUACAAAAUCUCCUAAAAUUAAGGAAGUUGGCUCAAAUCUCAACACUUCCUUCCAUAUCUAGAAAUUAAUAAAAUCGAUAUAUUAUCCUUAAGUUUAAUUUUACCAAUACUUAUACUAAAGUUCCGAAAUACCCUUUUAUUAUUUUAAUUAAUUUUAAUAUAUAUUUGGAACUUGAAAAACACGAAGACAAAGGAAGAAAAAGGAAAAUUAAAAAAGAAUAAUGAAUUUAAAAGAACAAAAAAAUAUCUUAAUGAAAACAAGGUAAUAAGCUACACUUCUAAAAAUUCUAACAUCAUGAACAAUGUUAAGAUCUGUAUUUGUUACAGGCAAUGGAUAACUAAGAACUGGUAAGGAAUUUAUGAGUCCACAACUAUCAGAGUUGGACAAUAUGAGUCUACACACUGAGCAGCAGAAUAUGAACUGUGACUCCUUCAAAAUAGGUAUACAUUAUUUAUCUUGAAUCGCCAAAUACAUGGUACAAAAUUCAAAUACAACUUAAUAAUACAACUGUCGUGUAAAAUACGACAAAACAUAAACUGAGAGUUUUAAUACGAAUAUUGUCUUCUAGACAGUAUUCAAACUCAAAUGGAGUCUUCAUUAUAUUUAUUAUCACACUAUUUAACAGAAUAAUCAGGACUACUAAUGCUAUCAUCUGGACCGUCACAGCGUUCCCCGACUAGUCCCAGCUAUAUUCUCAUUUUCUGAAGAGAAUAAUGAAAGCAAAUGGUGAGCUCAACUAGCCCAGUAAGAAAUAUUAUGACUAAGAUAAUGCAGAAUAAGUUAUCGUUAGCCUUUAACAAUGUUAAACUGAUAGAAUAUAAUAGACAAUAAGUUUAACUGUAGCGGAACAAGCAAUCCAUUAGAAGAGUCAAGUAGAGCAUGAUAUCUACUAUCUUCUAUGAUUUAAAAAGAUUUUCAUCAACUUUAUCACUGAGACUCAUCUUAAUAAAUAAAUCACAUCAUCGAAUCAUCCCUGCACCACGGCCAAGGAUAUUCAUGUAAUCAUCAAUGGUCAUGACUAUACCGAAUAAUCCUUGGUCAUAAUCAUACCAACAACUAUCUAUCAAUGAACUACAGGCCAAUGAGGGCUUUUACCACAUCAUUUAUAACAUUACGGGUCAUGAUUAUACCGAAUGAUCCUUGGUCAUAAGCAUACCAAUCAACAGUUCAUCUAUGCACGUAAGCCAAAUAUGACUUUCAUCAUAAUAUAAGCAUGAUGAUGAUAAUGAUAUAAGAAUUUAAUUAAAAGAAACAAAGGAUAAAUUUUUAAAGAUUUAUAAUUUAAUUUAUUCAGAAUUCAAUAAUGUUCAAAUUGCCAACAUGAUACUGCUUUGUGGAGUAAAAUUCAAGAAUGAUAUUGUAUCAAAAAUAAUUUGGACCGAAAAGAAAUCAAUUUUUGUCAUGAAUAGUACUUUGGGUGAAUAGUACCUGGAUGAAUAGUACCUCAUGAAUAGUAUUUCGGGAAUAGUACCUAGUGAAUAGUACUUUGUGAAUAGUACUCAUGAAUAGUAUCUCGUAAAUAGUACUUUAAGAAUAGUACUUUGUGAAUAGUACCCAUAAAUAGUACUUUUGUGAAUGGUACCGUAUAAAUGAAUAGUACUCAUGGACAGUACUCCGGCAUGAAAUGCUUAAAAUUUAACAAAAAUGUGCAGAAAAUAUCCUUGUGAAACGAUACUAGAUGAAGCGCAAAUUUUAAGGAUAUUAUACUAAUUUCACGGAGUAUAAAAGCAAUACUUUAACAAGAUGAGGGUAUAAUGAGGAAUACGAGAUAAAAUAAUAUUACUCACAUACUAGAGUAUGGAAGAAAAUAUUAUUCCUACAAAUAUAUACUGAACAAAAUAAUAUCCCUUACCUCAGAAGAAGAUUGGAUACUAGAAUAGUGAGGUAGCAGACUUCUCUUCUUCUUUCUCUCUAUAGCUUCUCUCUCUAUAACUUCUCUCUCUAUAAAUGCUCUUGUGAGUCUUAGUGAAUUGGUGAGAAUGAAGGAAGAAUGAGCUUCUAUUUAUAGGAAAAUAUAGUUUCGAUAAUUGCACGUUUUGGGGGUCAAAAUAUUACAGUAUAAUACCUUCAUCUUUUCCUUUAUUUUUAAUUUAGUCCUGCAAGUAUUAUCAAACUUGCACCACCUCCCCUAAUAGUAUAUCAUGUGAAUUAAUAGUACAUUCAUGUGAAUCAAUAGUUCAAUCAUGUGAAAAAAAUAAUUACAGUAUAGUACCUUCAUCUAUACCUCCAUUUUUAAUUUAGUCAUGCAAGUAUUAUCAAUCUUGCACCACCUCCCCUAAUAGUACAUGCAUGUGAAUCAAUAGUACACACAUGUGAACAAAUAGUUAUAAGCAUGUGAAUUAAUAGCAAUUAAUUGCUCAUUUAUCCGAUUAAUUACCCGAUUGGUCAAUAUAACCUCCAGACAUCAAUUAUUAUCGAAAUAAAUGUCGAUUUCCACUAACACUAAUAAUCCCAACACAAUGGAACUAUCAAUUUCAUCUUUAAUCAACACGAACUUAUUCAUCAUUAAUAUUAUAACUCACAAUAUUUAACAACCAGGUCGUUCCCAGGAAAGAGGGGGCUUUCCGAUAAGGAUUUCUCCUUAUUGGCGCGCAAUUAGGUGACCAAACCUCUCCUUGACAGAACUUCUAGACAUUGUCAAUAUUGCAAAUAAUAAUAUGAAUAACUUUGUCGUCUCAAUUAUUGAUUUAAUAAUAUAACAUAUUAUGCAGAUGAUACUGUGACAAUAAUUGAAUCAAUAAUAUGAGAGAUAUGAUGCAGCAAUUACUGUAGCAAUAAUUGAGUAUAACUGAGUGACUUCUCACGUAAGCAUCAAUAAUCAAUACCGUGUGCUACUAUGCAACCACGCGUAUUACUGUACUUUUACUACCGGGUAGUUCAACAGUUUUAACGGUAACACUUUCGCCGUUAUUUUUAUAAAAAGAUAAUUCUGUCGUUUUCUAACUACGACAAUACUUCCGUUGUGGGGUCCACCAAUGAUUGUGCCGUCGUACGAAUAUUCCCUGUUAAAACGAAUAUUCCCCGACCAAUCGAAUAUUAUAUAACCACUUGCUUACUUUGCAAAAUUUGUAAAUAUUACCCACAACUAUAACAUUAUAUCAAAUCCACACCAUAAUAUUCAAAAAUAUAUUUCGAGAAAAUUAUUCUUUAUUCAUAAAAGUUGGGGUCUUACAACCUCCCCUUCUUAUGAAAUUUCGUCCUCGAAAUUAGGGUACGUACCUGGUAUAUCGAAGAGGUGAGGAUAUCUUGACUUCAUCUCAGAUUCUAACUCCCAGGUCAUUUCUUCCACAUCGUGGUUUCUCCACAAAACUUUGACUUGAGGUAUAACCUUGGAGCGUAGAAUAUGAUCCUUCUUAUCCAAGAUUUUAACAGGUAACUCUUCAUACGUUAAAUCUUCCUCUAUCUCGUCUGGUUCUAAUUCAAUAAUGUGGUUCGGGUCUUUCACAUAUUUACGUAACAUAGAUAUGUGAAAAACGUUAUGAACACGAGACAUACUUGGCGGUAAGGCGAGUCUAUAGGCCACAGUUCCUACUCGAUCGAGGAUUAAAAAUGGGCCAAUGAAUCGAGGAUUGAGCUUUCCUCUCUUUCCAAAUCUCGUAACUCCUUUCCAUGGAGCAACACGUAACAACACAUGAUCUCCAAUAUCGAAUUCCACGUCCUUUCGAUGAAGAUCAGCAUAACUCUUUUGUCGAUCUUGUGAGGUUUUUAUACGUUGUCGGAUCGUUUGAAUCUUUUCCGUAGUCAUACGUACCAACUCCGGUCCCAACAACGUUGCUUCACCCACCUCAUCCCAGCAUACUGGAGAACGACACUUUCUUCCAUACAACGCCUCAAAUGGAGCCAUGCCAAUACUUGCUUGAUAACUGUUGUUGUAGGAAAACUCCACCAAUGAUAAGAACUUGUCCCAACUUCCCUUGAAGUCAAGGACACAGAGUCUUAAUAAAUCUUCAAAAGUUUGAAUAGUCCUUUCCGACUGCCCGUCCGUUUGAGGAUGAUAAACAAAACUAAAUCAUAAAUCCGCGCCCAUAGAUUUUUGCAAACUAACCCAAAAUCUUAAAGUGAAUCUUGGGUCUCGAUCAGAAACUAUGGAUACUGGCAUACCAUGCAGUCUUACAACCUUGUUUAUGAACAUACGAGCAAGGCGUUCAAGUGUAUAAGUUUCUCGUAUAGGUAAGAAAUGAGCAGACUUGGUCAAUCUAUCAACAAUGACCCAAAUUGCAUCUAUGCCUUGAGAAACCUUGGGAAGACCAGUAAUGAAAUCCAUGGUAAUGUGCUCCCACUUUCAUUUUGGAAUUUCAAGUGGUUGCAAUGGACCUUUUGGCACUAGAUGCUCCGCCUUGACUCGUUGACAAGUUAGACACCUUGAGAUAAACCACGCUAUCUCUCUCUUUAUAUUGCUCCACCAAAAUGUAUGUCGAAGAUCACGAUACAUUUUGGUACUCUCUGGAUGGAUUACAAAUAGUGUGUUGUGCGCCUCCAUCAUGAUUUUAUACUUCAAGUCAGAAUCGUUAGGAACACAAAGUCUGGAGUUGACUCGAAGUAUUUCUUCUUCAUCGAUUCUUACUUCCGGGAUAGCACCUUCUUGCACUUUCUUCCUCAAACGCAUAAGCUCCAGGUCUAUAGCUUGAGCAACUUUAACUUUAUCAAUUAAAGUUGGUUCUACUCGUAUGAUUGCCAUCAUCACGUGGAUCCCUGGAGUCUUUAACUCUAUCUCCAUCCUUUGCAAGUCAUACAAAAUGGGCCUUUGCAUUGACAAUAACGCACUCGUACCUGCAUAUGAUCUUUUACUCAAUGCAUCAGCUACUACGUUCGCUUUUCUAGGAUGGUAUUGAAUGGUAUGAUCAUAAUCUUUCAACAGCUCAAGCCAAUGUCGUUGCCGCAUGUUGAGUUCCUUUUGAGUGAAGAAAUAUUUGAGGUUUUUAUGAUUCGUAUAGAUCUCCACCUUCUCUCCAUACAGGUAAUGCCUCUAAAUCUUAAGCGAAAAAUGAUAACUGCCAACUCUAGAUCAUGAGUAGGAUAAUUCCUCUCAUAUUCUUUGAGUUGUCGAGAGGCAUAGGCUAUGACUUUCCCAUGUUGCAUGAGAACACAUCCUAACCCUUUGCCUGAAGCAUCAUGUAGAUGACAAAUCCCUCCGAGCCAGAUGGUAUUGUCAUAACAGGUGCUGAAAUGAGUCUUCUCUUGAGUUCUUGAAAACUCUUCUCACAUUCCUCGUUCCAACCGAAUUUUGUAUCUUUUUGAGUCAGAUGAGUUAAUGGAGUAACGAUUCGAGAAAACCCUUCUACGAAUCUCCGAUAAUAACCAGCUAAGCCGAGAAAGCUACGUACUUUGGUCACUGACUGAGGUUGCUCCCAACUUUGAGUUGCUUCAAGCUUUGCCGGGUCAACAAAUAUUUUGUGAUUUGAUAUCACGUACCCAAGGAAUGCAACUUCCUCAAGCCAGAACUCGCAUUUCUUCAACUUGGCAUACAGCUUGUUUUCACAAAGCUUUUGGAGUAUCAACCUUAAGUGUUGCUCAUUGUCUUCACGGGUUUUGGAGUAUAUGAGGAUGUCAUCAAUAAAGACGACCACAAAGUGAUCCAAAUAUUCCUUGAAUACUCAUUUCAUCAUAUCCAUGAAGGCAGUAGGAGCAUUAGUCAAUCCAAAAGACAUGACUAGGAAUUCGUAAUGCCCGUACCGAGUUUUGAAAUCCAUUUUUGGAAUGUCAUCGGUUUUAAUCUUUAAUGGAUGAUAUCCGAAAUGAAGAUCGAUCUUUGAAAAGAAUUUGGCGCCUUGCAACUGGUCAAACAGAUCAUCAAUACGAGGUAACGGGUACCUAUUUUUGAUGGUGACAUGAUUCAACUCUCGAUAAUCAAUACAAAGUUGUAUACUUCCAUCUUUCUUCUUCAUGAAUAGAACAGGAGCACCCCAAGGAGACGUACUAGGAUGAAUGAAACCGAUGUCUAACAAUUCCUGUAGUUGGAAUUUUAACUCCUGAAGUUCAAUAGGAGCCAUUCGAUAUGGGGCUUUGGAAAUGGGUUUUGUACUGGAUUCAAGGUCGAUACAAAAUUCAAUUUCACGCUCUGGGGGAUAGGCCAGGAAGUUCUUCAAGGAAUACGUCAGGAAAUUUAUUAACAAUAGAAAUAUCAUUCAAAUCUGACGUAUUUUUAUUUAAAUCCGUGACAUGGACUAAGAAAGCUUGACAUCCAUUUUUUAAUAAACGAAUAACUUUAUGGCUUGAUAUGACAGUGAUUGACUUUAGUGGUUUGGUUGCUUGAAUUCGUAUAAUAGGUUGGUUAGGAAUAUGAAAGCUAACAACCUUACGAAAACAAUCGAUUUUAGCAUGAUGAGUAGUUAACCAAUCAAUCCCUAAAAUCACAUCAAAUGCAAGUAUUUUCAAAGAAAUAAGAUUGACAGGUAACGUACGGUUACCGAUUUGAAUCAAACAAGACUUAUAAACCGUGGAUGUAAUGAAGGUUUCUCCCAACGGAGUUUCAACAGAUAAGUCAAAGUCUAAUUUCUCCGGAGUCAAAUUUAAACGUUGAGCACAAGUAGGAGAAAUAAAAGAAUGGGUAGAACCAGUAUCAAAUAAGGUAUAUACUUCGCUAGAGUUUGUGAUUAGCUUACCCGUGAUCACCUCGUUUGGAUUCCUCGCUUUUUAGGAGGUUACGAUAAACACUCUCCCUUGAACCACCGAUUUUGUCUUGUCUGGGACGGCCUUUGAUGCCUCCAUUCCAGCUAGACUUGACUUUGGUGCACGACAAAAUCGGGCUAGGUGACUUUCUCUCCAUAAUUGUAACAUGUUUUGGACUGCAUCACACAGUUUGGACUGAUAUGUCCCUCCCCUCCGCAUUUGUAACAUACGACCGACGGUCAUUCUCCUUCCUUAACAACGGGUGCUGGUGCUGACGUCUUUCCAUCAUUGUUGAAUCUCCUCUUCUUGAAAUGUCCACUCUUAUUGUCUUGGCCAUGAUUACUACCGAAGUGGUUACCAUUUCUAGCAUGUUGAUUCCCUCCACGCUUGUUGUCACCGCUUCGAUGAUUGCUACCACUGGUAUUAUCGAUUUGCCGGCUGCUCUCUCUUAGUUGGGUUGACUCAUUAUCGCGCUCUAAUAACUGAGCCCUAUUUACAACAUCUGAAUACAAGCAAAGUUUGUGAGAAAUGAGGUAUUGACGUAUCUCAGGUUUCAAACCUCUUAAAAACAUCCGCUUCAUUCUCUCCUCAUUAUCAACCAAAUGAGAUGCAAAUCGGGACAACUCGGCAAAUAUAGCUUCGUACUGUGUCACAGUCAUAUUGUUUUGCUCCAGCUUGAUAAACUUCACCUCCUUCAUGUGACGAAUACUUUCGGGAAACUACUUGUCAUUGAACAGUUUUUAGAACUUCUCCCAAGACAUCUUCAGUGCGGCAGGUUGAGUACGCUUUACAGAUUCCUACCAAUAAUCUGCCUUUGCUCGCAACAUGAAGGUGACAAAGGGAACCUUUUUCUCCUCGGAGCAUCCCAAGACAUCAAAUAUCUUGGUGAUCUGCUUUAUCCACGUCUCCGCCUUAAGUGGUUUUGGCUCUCCAAAAAACUCCGGUGGUCCCAGCUCCUUGAACUAUUUAGCGGUGACCAUCCGAGAGUUGCCAGUGUUUCCGCCUGCAUUUUGAACAGGAGUCUCUCUCGCCUGAUGUUGCAUGAACUGCAUAACGCCUCUGAACAUCCCAUCAUUCAUCAUCUGAUCGGUGUUGUUGUUUACCUGAGGAUUAUUAUCUUCCUGUUACACAUUAUCCUGGGUAUUGAUCGUUGGUGACUCAACGGUCUCAUGUGCUUCAUUGCUUAUCUCAAUAUUUUUAGAUGCCAUUUUCAAAUACUACCACAAAACAAGGGUUAAUUGACAUGUCACGUAUUAUCCCUAUACUCUGACUGACCAAUUAAAUACCAAAUAAACUUAGGUAGGUCAUACUAGCGAAAGAAUUCCCCGUCUCUCCCCUCCUAGUUCUUGUCUCACAUCUCAGUCAGGGAUCAUAUCCCUAAGCUUUGAUACCAACUGUGAUGCCCCCAAAAUAGGUAUACAUCACCCAUCUUGAGUCUCCAAAUACAUGGUACAAAAUUCAAAUACAACUUAAUAAUACAACUGUCGUGUAAAAUACGACAAAACAUAAACUGAGAGUUUUAAUAUGAAUAUUGUCUUCUAGACAGUAUUCAAACUCAAAUAGAGUCCUCAUUACAUUUAUUAUCACACUAUUUAACAGAAUAGUCAGGACUACUAAUGCUAUCAUCUAGACCGUCACUCCGUUCCUCGACUAGUCCCAACUAUAUUCUCAUUUCCUGAAGAGAACAAUGAAAGCAAAGGGUGAGCUCAACUAGCCCAGUAAAAAAUAUUAUGACUAAGAUAAUGCAGAAUAAGUUAUCGUUAGCCUUCAACAAUGUUAAACUGAUAUAAUAUAAUAGACAACAAGUUUAACUGCAGCGGAACAAGCAAUCCAUUAGAAGAGUCAAGUAGAGCAUGAUAUCUACUAUCUUCUAUGAUUUAAAAAGAUUUUCAUCAACUUUAUCAUUGAGACUCAGCUUAAUAAAUAAAUCACAUCAACGAAUCAUCCCUGCACCACGGCCAAGGAUAUUCAUGUAAUCAUCAAUGGUCAUGACUAUACCGAAUAAUCCCUGGUCAUAAUCAUACCAACAACUGUCCAUCAAUGAACUACAGGCCAAUGAGGACUUUUACCACAUCAUUUGUAAUAUUACGGGUCAUGAUUAUACCGAAUGAUCCCUGUUUAUAAUCAUACCAAUCAAUAGUUCAUCUAUACACGUAAGCCAAAGAUGACUUUCAUCACAAUAUAAGCAUGAGGAGGAUGACAUAGUACAAUCAUGUGAAUCAAUAGUAAAAUCAUGUGAAUCAAUAGUUCAAACAUGUGAAAAAACUAAUUACAAUAUAGUACCUUCAUCUAUACCUCCAUUUUUAAUUUAGUCAUGCAAGUAUUAUCAAUCUUGCACCACCUCCCCUAAUAGUACAUGUAUGUGAAUCAAUAGUACACACAUGUGAACAAAUAGUUAUAAGCAUGUGAAUAAUAGCAAUUAAUUUCUCAUUUAUCCGAUUAAUUACCCGAUUGGUCAAUAUAACCUCCAGACAUCCAUUAUUAUCGAAAUAGAUGUCGAUUUCCACUAACACUAAUAAUCCUAACAUAAUGGAACUAUUAAUUUCAUCUUUAAUCAACACGAACUUAUUCAUCAUUAAUAUUAUAACUCAUAAUAUUUAACAACCAGGUCGUUCCCAGGAAAGAGGGGGCUUUUCGAUAAGGAUUUCUCCUUAUUGGCGCGCAAUUAGGUGACCAAACCUCUCCUUGACAGAACUUCUAGACAUUGUCAAUAUUGCAAAUAAUAAUAUGAAUAACUUUGUCGUCUCAAUUAUUGAUUUAAUAAUAUAAAAUAUUAUGCAGAUGAUACUGUGACAAUAAUUGAAUCAAUAAUAUGAGAGAUAUGAUGCAACAAUUACUGUAGCAAUAAUUGAGUAUAACUGUGUGACUUCUCACGUAAGCAUCAAUAAUCAAUAUUGUGUGCUACUAUGCAACCACGCGUAUUACUGUACUUUUACUACCGGGUAGUUCAAUAGUUUAUCGGUAAAACUUUCGCUAUUAUUUUUAUAAACAGAUAAUUAUGUCAUUUUCUAAGUAGGACAAUACUUCCGUUGUGGGGUCCACCAAUGAUUGUGCCGUCGUACAAAUAUUCCCUGUUAAAAUGACUAUUCCCUGACCAAUCGAAUAUUUUAUAACAACUUGCUUACUUUGCAAAAUUUGUAAAUAUUACCCACAACUAUAACAUUAUAUCAUAUCCACACCAUAAUAUUCAAAAUAUAUUUCGAGAAAAUUUUAUCUUUAUUCAUAAAAGUUGGGGUCUUACAAUCCGCAUCAGAGCAAUCUGGUUUGGCAUAAAUACUAAAGAACGCUUGAAUUCUAUAAAUAUUUUUUAACAGCCGUCUAGCCGAAUCAAAUAGCUUAGACUUGUAUCAAUAACUCGGACAUCAAUCGAAAUAAUUUAGCCAACUUAACUGACCUUCUUCAUAAUUUAAAAGAAAACCAAAAAUUCUUUUAUGACGUCAUGAUACCGUACUAGAUUAGUAGUACGUUGAGGAUUCCGCCAUUAUGUGACUUUGUCAUACUACAUCGUACCAAAAUUGGCUGACGAUCUUUCGAUCACAACCAACACUAGGUUCAACUGCAUUGAUGACUCCAUCAUUUACCAUUUCUACACCAUACCAAAUGAUGUAAAUGGUCAGAAAUACAUUUUGAAAAUUUUCAAAUUAUUUUUGUCUUAGCCGAAACAAUUAGCAUAGACGUAUGAAUAACAUUAUUGUUUUUAAACAUCAUUGGUUCAAUCACAUGAUCCAAAGUUUUUUCGAGAAAAUAGAGGUGCAAACUUCAGCACGAAGUCAAUAAAUUUUGAAAAUCUAGUAGAGCUAGAAGAUUUAGAAAAUCCAUGUUUCUCCAUCAACUUCAAUCUUUACUCCAUUGCUUCAUUCUAUUAAUCUCUAACACCAUCAAUGCUCACUAUACCAAAAUUUCUAACUUCAUAACAUAUAUAUACCCGAUAUAUUUCAUCAAACUUUCCACACUUUGGAAAUCAAGGAACUUGCCAUAAUCAUAUGAGUUUAGGAACUUACCCUAGUCAGACUGUGACGCCCCCAAAAUAGGUAUACAACACCCAUUCUGAGUCGCCAAAUACAUGGUACAGAAAGCAAACUAUAACUUCAAUAAUACAAUUGUCGUGCAAAAUACGACAACACAUACUGUGAGUUUAAAUACAAAUAUUGUCUUCUAGACAAUAUCAACACUCAAAUAAGUCCUCAUUACAAUUAUUCAUACACUAUUUUACAGAAAUAGUGAGGACUGCUAAAACAUCUUUCUAGAACCAUCACUCCAUACCCCGACUAGAUCCUGCUAUGUUCUCACCUCCUGAGAAGAAAAAUGGAACAAAAAGGAAAAGGGUGAGCUCAACUAGCCCAGUAAAGAAUAUUAUGACUAAGAUAAUAUACAACAAAUUAUCAUUAGUCUUCAACAGGGAAAAAUCUGAUAGAAUAUAAUAGACAACAAGUUUUAGAUCAACAAAUGCAGCGGAAACAACAAUCCAUUAGAAGAGUCACGUAGAGAAUGAAUUCUACUAUCUUCUAAGAUUUAAAAGUCCAUCAUCAAUAUUUUAUCCCUGUAACAACAAUCAAUAUACAUCUUUAAUCAAAUAUUCAUCUUUGCACUACAGGCCAAAGAUAUUCAUUUGUAUCACCAGUUGGUCAUGUUCAUCUCAACACCUGUUCAUCUUUGCACUACGGGCCAAAGAUAUUCAUCAGUUAAUCAUUCAUCUUUGCACUACAGGCCAAAGAUAUUCAGUAAUAUCAUCAUUUAGGACUGAGGAUGAUGAAAAAUAUUUUAAAGAAAACGAAUCCAGUGAGACAGAAGGACAAAUAUUAGGGAUUCGUAUAACAGUUUAUCCAAGAUCAAUAAUACUUCAUAAUAACCAAUUGUGAAGCAGAAUUCAAAAAUAAAGAUCAAAACAUGGAUACAAUCAAAGAUAGUAACCAUAAUAGACAUCUUGGACAAAAAGAAGAAAAUUUCAUUUUUCGGUGAAUAGUGCCGUAUUCGUGAAUAGUGCCGUAUACGUGAAUAGUAACCCCGACACAAAAAGUUCCAAAUUUGAUAAAAAGGUUCACCAAUAUUUCGGCAUAAUGAUAUUGAAGAAAAUAAUAUCAUUUAAGAAGAAAAUAACAUCCCUUACAUCAAAAUAACCGUACUUCUGAGUGAAUUUCGGAUAUAGUGCUGACAGAAACUUGCACUGAAUAGUAACUCUCAAAGUAUCAAAAUACUCACAAAAAUACGCUCGAUAAUCUAGAGAGAAAGAAAACUUGUUUCUGGUGUGAUUUUCAAUUCUAACCUAAGCGUCUAUUUAUAGGAAAAUGUUAGAACGCCAUAGGAGACUAAAAUAAUAAAAUAAUAUUAUUUCUCAUUCUUUCUUCUACGCAUGCAUCAAUUGAGCAAGCUAGCCACCAAUUCUGAAAAAUUUCAGCAGCCCAUGUGCAUUCAACACCAACCAAAAAGUGGGUCCCACCCAUAAUUUAAUAAAAAUCAUUUUAUUUUUUGAAACUUCAGUAAUUCAUAGAAAAUAGCCCGUUUAUCAAAAAAAUACGAAUUUUAUGUCCAUUCCACAUGAAAUCGAAUUCUCUACAACUUUGUAGCUUUGAGGUUUUCCAAAUUCCGAAUAAAAAAUAUCCGAAAUCCAUAAACGGGUGAUUUUUAAUACCUCCAUUCCGAUAAAAUACUAAUAAAACACCUCAGCAUUAAUUCCUUCAUUUAUAACCACAUAAAUAAAUCCAUCAUUAAUAUCUACAUCAAAUAAAUAUUUCCUUAUCAUAUAAACCAAUAAUUAAUUAUUCACAAAUAAUAUUACAGAAUCACAAUUAUGACAACCAGACAGUUCCCAGUAAAGAGGGGGCUUUCCAAUAAGGAUUUCUCCUUAUUGGCGCGCAAUUAGGUGACCAAACCUCUCCUUGACUGAACUUUCUAGACAUUGCCAAUAAUUCCAUCUAAUAAUAUUAUUCAAAUAAUAUGAAUUAUUGAUCUGAUAAUGGGAAAUACUGUGCAGUGACAAUUAUUGAAAUAACAAUAAUAUAAACUAUCCACGCAAUAAUUAUUGAAUUAAUAAAAUAAAAUAUUGAACAGUAAUUACUAUAACAAUUAUUGAGUAGUGCCUUCUUACGUACGAAUCAAUAAUUCAACAAUACUGCGCAAUACCGUGUGCUACUGUUCAACCACGCGUAUUACUGUAUUUUAACCACCAGGUAACCCACCAGUGUUAACGGUAACAGUUACGCCGUUAUUCAUAAAAAGUCGUACUUUAUCGUUUUCCUUCAUCCAACUGUUUUCCAUUACGGGGCCCAUAAAUGGCUGCGUCGUCGUACGAAUAUUCCCCGACAACAAGAAUAUUCCACGACCAAACGAAUAUUCCCCGACAAAAAUGAAUAUUUUAUAACCACUUGCUUAUUUUGUAAAAUUUGCACAUUUCACCCAUAACCAAAGCAUUAUAUCAAAUUAACACCUUAUUAAUUUAGAAUAAUGAAUAGAGGAAAAAUUCAAUUUUAUUUAUAAUAAGUUGGGGUCUUACACAGACCAUAGGCGUCCAUUCGCUGAGGGGUUCAAAAACAUUUCAUAUAAUUAUGAGUCACGAACGUACCAUAAGUAUGAGUUUUAAGAACUCACAACUUAACCUUAUAUUCUCUAACUAUAACAUAUCUAUCUGUUAUACGCAUGAGAAAAGAAUCAACUUCUCAACAAGUAUAUAGCAAAUAGGGCGACACAGACAUUUCAAUGAUUAUCAAUGCCAGAACUAAAUGGUUUUUACACCAAGUACAAUUCCCCGCCUAUAACAAGGAAUCAUACAACUCAACUGCUGACAUGGGUCCUCAAUUGAAAUCCCACUUAACUCUAUCUUACACUUUACUUUCUUUUGCUCGAUACGAAUUCUUCGUAUCUCAUCACAUACAACUCCUCAUGAGUUCACAUCAUACCAUUUCACAGUACAUUCUCUUAUAACCUCAAGCUAUACACACUUAGUCGUUAUAGACUAUUUAUCACUUCAUACUUCAUUCUGAUCACGUCGUGAUCAUCAAUUACCUUAGGGUUCUUUCCCUAUUAUCAACAAAACUCCACUCGAGUUCAUUCUUACUAUCUUUGUCAUCUUCAUCUUAUAGACAUCGUCUUAUCAUUUUAUUACUGGAGUUAGGAAACUCCUAAAUUCUCAUUCUCUUGGAUACUUCAAGAUUCUUUUUUUAAAUCUUCACUUAUAUAUAUAUAUAUAUAUAUAUAUAUAUAUAUAUAUAUAUAUAUAUAUAUUAAACUUUAUCUUUCUCUCUCUCUCUCUCUCAGGUUAUAGCCUAAGGUACACUUACCUAAGUUUAUAACCUAUAGCUUUGAUACCAACCUAUGACGCCAUGAUACUAUUAUCGUCAAACUAUUUAUAUCUUUUAUUCAUAACAUAAUGAAUAUAACUUUACUUAUUACAAUUUAGAAUAUAAAUUCUUUCCAAUUACAGGAUCUAUAUAAUGACCCCAAACUUUUAUAAGUUUCAAAUAUUGGUCAUUUACCAUUCCUGUUUUACAUCAUAUUCGAUGUUAUAUAAAUAUGCGGAAUAAUUUAAACUUUUCAAUCUCCUUUGAAAAAUAAGCUUUUAUUGAUAUCUUAACUUGAAUCAAUUACAAAUCCUUGAAUUAAAUUAUGUUAUGAUUCCUUCUAUUCGAAUUACUGUAUAAAGAUUUACAUCUCGAUUCGAAUUUCUCUAUUUAUCACAUAAUACAACUUUACAACGCAACAUGUAUUACACCUCGUAAACUAUUAUCUCGUACGACUCCUAGAACAUAAACAUGGUUUAAGAGUAUAUAUUUAAACACAUAAACCAAUCUCCUUUAAUUACUAUUGAACUUUAUCAAUCAAGUAGCACGUAAUCUUUACCGUGAGUCCUUAACCUGCAAAAAGUGAGCUCGACAGCCCAGUAAUUCUAACAGUUUUCAUGCAGCACAUAGCAUAUAAUAACAUGUCCAGUUUAUGCAUUCAUAAUCAAUUAAUAUUUACUACGCAUGUUACUUCACACAUAACAGGCAUAGGGAUUUACUUCACAAGCAUAUUAUCAAAUCAACUUCCAUAUUUUAUAUAUAUCUCAUAUGCAUUUCAUAUAUACAUCAACAUUCUCAUAGCAUAAUAUAGCUCAACUAACAGUUAUAGAAUUCAUAUAUCAAAUAGGAACUGAAAGACUUGCCUGAUUCGUAGUUUAUCAAUUACGACUUAACUGCUUAAAGCUUAUCUGCACUUCGUGUAUUCCUACACAAUUAUAUAAUCAUGGAUUCAUAUCCAUAAGUAACAUAUUUCAUGCAUUCUCAAUGUAAUAAUAAUGUUACAUUGUUUCCUAACUAGGUUUGUAAUAACCCGAGAUUUCCUAAAUAAAAUAAAUAAGAAAUUUGUGUAUAAAUUUUUUUUUAUUUAAUGACGAGAAUAAGUGUCUAGUAAUGUGAACGAUAAAUAUGAAUAUAUUUAUUACUUAAAAAAUUAGAAAUAAUUUUGGAAUAAUUAAUUACUACAAAUUAUAUUUUUAUGGUAAUUAAUUUCUGUAAGCAGAAAUGUUUUUAUUAAUUAUUUUCCAUGAUAACAUGAUUGGAAAUAAUAUAUGAAGUGAUAAUUAGAAUUAUAUAAUAAAUAUUUUAUUAUAUGAAUUGUUCAGAAUAUUUAAAUCAAGUAUUUUAACUUGAUAUGCGAAAGAGAAGUCAGAUAUGAGAUCCAAACCCUGAAUUGGGAUUGUGAUCAAGAGAUGAGAAUAAUAAUAUUAUAUUAUUGUUAUAAUGAUUUUACAGUACAAUAAUUAUGUACUGUGUAUGUGCGGACAGAUAAUAUUGAGCAAUGACGGUCAAUUAGGUCAUAGCAUAUUACCGUGCUGUGAAACCCUAAUUAUUAAACUCAGUUAUGGGAUAUUUCUGAGUAGUGACUGUGUAUAUGAAGUUACUGUGAAUAAGAAUAUCGGUAAUUAGAAGAAACCCUAAUUACUGUUGUACGUCGAUAAUUAGGACAAACCCUAAUUAUUAUAACCCUAACCGGUUGAAAUUAGAAACCGUAACGACUGUGUUAGUAACAUACACAGAUAAUUAAAGAACCACUAAUGGUCAAUUAGAAACCCUAAUUGAUGACGUUGAGAAACCCUAAUUUUAAUUACCGGGUUUAAUUUCGAUGUUAUUGUAUAAGUGUUUUAAUUUACCAAAGGAUAGAAGUUAAUUGGUAAAUUAUAAGAAUUAAAUCUAGUGAUUAAAUAUUACAUUUAAUUGCCUUGUACAAGAUUGCCCAUACACUCUUAAACAAAGCCCAACCAUCACCCAUAACAAAUCAGAAGCAAGAAUCAAGAAUUUUUGGCAAAAAGGGUAUAAGAACACUAAACCUAGAAAUCCUUUGAUUCGAUGUUAUUUGAUGCAAUUGAUUGUUUAAAGUUGUGUAAUAGAAUGUUAAUUGAUGAUAUGGGUUGAUAAAUCAAAGACCCAUAACAUCAAAGUGCACGAAUUUGAAGAUUUAAGCAAGUUGGAAAAACCGAAUUCUUUUUUUUUUUCACCAAAUGUCAGAGGCCAUAACUCUUUGCUCGAUCAUGAGUUUUGUUCUUCAAAAGUUGUUAUGUGUAGCCUGAUAUGUGGUCUUUAAUCUGCAAAAAGAAUCAAGUCCAUAUCAUGUAUAGAUUAGAAGUUAUAGAUGGUCAAACAUGGUUGACCGAUCAUGAUAAACUGUUUUUGGGCAGUCUGUAAUGGGGGCAUUCUCGUCCACUUUUUGUGCUUUAAAAGGUCUGGGCUUUUGAUAUGUUGUAGUGCACUGAGUUAGGAAGCCAUAGGCUUUGGAAUGACCUCAUUCCGACCUCGGAUGAGGGAAUUACGGUGAUUGGAAGGAAAUGUGUCAAAUUUCUCAAAACUGAAAGUCAGCAGCGGGAUGUGCUAUUCGGGACACUGUUUCGAUCAGUUAAUGUUUCCAAAACCUUCUGGGCUUUUGGUAUGUUAUAGUACACCGAAUAAGCUUUCCAUAGACUCCGAAACGGACUAAAUCCGAUAUCGGAGGAGAGAGUUAUGACAUUUCAAAGUAGUAGUGUCAAAACUUCCCAACAAGUGCGGUGCAGUCCAUUUGAACGGAAUUUCUGGGCUGAUGUGUUCGGAAUUUGGAAAUGGUCAAAGAAUAAAAGUUGUAGCCCCAGAAGUUAGCUUCGCGUGGGCUCAAGAAUCGCUCAAAAAUGUUUUAAAAUGAAAGAGUUAUGACUGUUUUAGCGAAAGAGGGUAAAGCUGAAACGAGAUUGAAAACUGUUAUGAACGUCCACUUUUGACGCACUGUUUGGGCUACCUAAUGAACCCGAAUUGGGUAAUUCGUAUUUUUUAAAAAUAGUCUUACAUACCAUGUAUAACAUAUCCAAAAAUCAGAUUAAUCGGAGUUAUGAGCAAUGCGUUAGAAAAUCGCAAAGUGAGCUAUUGAAAAAUUAGUAUAAACCAAGUCCCACAUCGACUAAAUUGAGAACUUCACCAUUUUCUAAACCUAUAAAUAGAAGGGCUUGGCCUUUGUUUCAUUCACCAACAAUAAGGCCUCCAAUUUUUGAGAAAGGCUUUGUUGUGGGAGAACUUUUUAUAAAGAUCUCCUUAGUUAAAUUUUGGCGUGGAAGUGCGUAUUCAGUCUGUGGAAUUCGUAUUUCCGGGUAUGUUUCUUAUUUAAUUUUUGUAAUGUUAUUAUUUUUAAUUGUUAGUUAAAGUUUGAAUUUUUGAAGUUUAGUUAGUGUUGUUAAUAAACUAGUUAGUUUACUAUGUUUAUUUUGGCUUGGAAUUGAUUAUGUAAAUGAGUUAUUUGUGAUGACUUUUAAUAUUUUGUGAUGAAUUUCAUUAAUUAAUAAUUAUUAAUGAUAUUAAAGUUAUUUAAUGAUUAUAUUAAAUAAUUUAGUUUAAAAAUGAUUUUAAUAUUAUAAAAAUCAUUUUAAAUGAAAAUAAGGUAUUUAAAAAUAUUUUAAGUUAUAAAAUAUAACUUUUAAUAUUUAAAUGAUAAUUUCAUUAAUAAUUAAAUAUUAAUGAUAUUAAGAUAAUAUUAAUGAUAUUUAGUUUAUUUAAUGAUUAAUAUUAAAUAAAUAGUUUAAAAAUGGUUUUACUUAUUUAAAAACCAUUUAAAGAGGAUAUUAAGGAUUUAAAAAUAUUUUAAGUUAUAAUUAAUGACUUUUAAUAUUUGGAUAAAUAGUACAUUAAUAUUUAAAUAUUAAUGGUAAUUAUUUGGGUAAUAUAAAUGUUUUAAAAAUAGUUUGAGUUAUUAUAAAUAACUUUUAUAUUUUGGCAAUGGUUUCAUUAAUAGUUUAGUAUUAAUUAAACUAUUAAUGAUAAUGGAAUUGUUUAAUGUUUAAAUCAUUUAAUUAUGAUUCCGAUAUUUGAAAGUUAUAGCCGGCCAAACUAGCUGACUUGAGAACCGAUUAUGAAGUUCUGAAUUUGAAGAAGAACACCUAUAGUAACAGUUAUAUCACUAUAGGCCCUUUAGUGACAGAUUUGAAUUAUUUUAAAUUUUUCAAUUUCUGGAAAUUGCGAAAAUGAUUAAAAAUAAGAUGUCUGAUAUUUACAGAUGUUGAGGUAUAGAAUAAGAGUCUUAGACUCAGUAUUUACCCGAUAAAGCUGUCGGUACGCCGACAAAUGUCAGACCUUAUAAAAGAAAGAAAAGACUACUGUAAGAGCAUGGAUGAGAUAUUUGAAAAAUGUAUAAAAAUAUUUCAAGUAUAGAAUAGGAACUAAAAGUAUGAUCACUGUGAUUAUGUGAUUAGACUAUGUGCUGACUGUAAUAGACAGUACUAUGUGUUAAGAUAUAUUGUUCUAAUCGAACGAAUGAUCUGAUUAUUGAUAGGUUGUGAUAAAGAGAUAAAACCUAAGUUGAGAUUUGUAAUCAGCGAAUCAGGCAAGUAUCCUACCUUUGCAUUUUCUUUAUGCAAUGGACAUGAGUAAGAAGUUUCAGAAUUAUUCUAUUCCUGUACAGAUUAUGUACGCUUUGAUUAUCAACAUGUUAGCUCAGAUAUAUAUUCUGUUAAGUUGAUUUCUAAAUGGUUAUACAAGUGUCCCCACUUGGAUAAUCAUGGCAUUUAUUCACAUGUUGAUAUACCUUUGUCAAUUACCCGUAUACAUAUAUGUUGAAUUACAUAUUAUUGUUGAGCAAGAUUAAAAACCUUCGGGUUUGGAACCAGGCAUGUAUGAACAUCCCGAUAAUGGGAAAAUUUUUAUGCGCUUCGGCGGACAAAGGGUGAGCGAUGAAUUUCGUUCAAGUUAUGUAGUAUUGAUCAAUACAGGGUACAACGGGGCUGAUCACCCUCCGUGCCCGUAAGUUAUGACGGUUUGCGGAUGAAUUUCUGCUAAACCUUUUCGAAAAUGAAAAACAAUGUUCAUAGUAUGUUUCUUAAACCCUAUUCAUGGGUGGAGCCUAAUUUCAAGAAUUUGAAAGAGAGUUGUUAUGUGAAUUUUUUAUCAGUACAGAUUACUUCACAACUUUCGAUUCGUUGUAGAAGUGUUAUGUAAAGAGAAUACUUAUAUUCUUUCAGCUUAUAUAUAUAAUUGCUAUUACUUGCUGGGCACUCAAAUGCUCAUCCUUGCUUAAACUAAAUGUUUUCAGUUAUGUACGAUCGACCUGAAGGCUCAGGCACGAACAAGGGAAAAGAAAAGCUGUUCGAAUGAGAUUUAGUAUGAGUUAAUGGUUAUAGUUAGUAAGACAAUGGAAUCUAUUGUCAGGUAUUGUAAGGAAUGUAUUUGAAGGUCACGUACCUGGGAAAGUAAACUUUGAUGUAUGUAAAUUAAGUUCGAAUUAUAUUAUUAUUAUUUAGUAUUAUUCAGCUUAAAGAAAUGGUAUCGUGGAGAACCGAGUUCGGGUUUCAAGUAUCCGGAUUUGGGGUCGCCACAAGGUUCGUAGAACCUACAUUCUGCUUUCUCAUCAUAUUCUUGGAAUAGCUAGGUACGUAUAGGUAUACCUUAACCACUCGUAUAUGACAUCAACAUUCAUAUAUAUUUAUCACGCACUUGACUCGCUAUAUAUUCGACACAUUUAAAACUCAUUUAGGUAAGUUCAACCAUACACACAAACGUCUAACUUAGUUGUAACUUUAUACAACAUCACCUAACAUGAGUAUUCCUUUGGACUUAUCAUUGCUUUAUCUCAUGUAAAUAUUCCUUUGGACUUAACAUUCGAAAGUCAUGAUUAACAUUUAUCUUUAUCACAUAACAUGCUUCUUAACACAUUACAUACCAUAUUGAUCAUAUAUAGUAAUUAUACAAGCAUGCUUCAAACAUCAGAUCAAAACCAGAACCUAUUCUAGACUACAGAAUGGCGCAGCUGCGCGCCAUGUCUAGGCUUAGGGAUGGCGCAGCUGCGCUGUCCCCUGGCCAGACCAAGGUUGAGCUUUGCACUUCCUGUUUCUUUCCAAACUUUAACACACUUAGACUCUUAUACUUUUCAUGCGUACACACUAGAGGUCUUUACAUACUUGUAUGACCACUCCAAGAUCAACCUUAUAUGUUAGGGACUUUAGUUUAGGAUUUUCACAAAAUCAAAGCCAAAUAGGGUCAUGUAAUCACUAGAUGUACUAAUUAGCCUUAUGUUCUCAUAAAGGGGACACAUAAUCUGUACUACACAUGCUCAUUCAUAUUCAUAUCUUUUACUCAUAGCUAGAAUUGUUUAACACUUUAAAACAUGCUUUAACGUUAUGCUUGGUUUACUUCCAUUAUGUUUAACAUAUAAGACUUAUGUUUAGAGACAUAAUGAAACAUAAAAUGGCAUCUCAAGCCUUUAAAAUCUAAAUACUCAUAUGUAAUGCAACUUAAGUUCAAAACAUGGUUGCCUUUGAAAUCAUUUUUCAUGAAUGAUGUGAUAUAGCACAUAUAAAUCAUAUCUAGGGAUUUUAUAGACAUAACAUGUCAUAUUAAUCCUUUAGAAUCUAGAUAUCCAUGUGAUGCAACUAGAUUUUGAAAAUAUGUUCAAGUUUGCUUUUGAAACCACUUUAAACUUGAACAAUACCAUUAAACACAUACAAGGCAACUUUAAGGCUCUAUUCAUAUGUAGUCAAGUCAUGUUAACAUGCUCGCAAGAUCAGAAUGUAUAGCAAGUAGUAUUUAUGCACCUUAGUUCUUUUAUACCAAGUUUUCUUAAAAACUUCUUUUACACAAGGUCUAACGAGUUUGAUUAUGAAAAAAUGAACUAUGUACACUAAGCAUGCUCAUUUAUGUGUAAAAUCAGUCAUGUGUAUAGACCACUAAGCUCAAAAUUUACAGAACAUGAACUUUAACAAAGUUUAUUUUUGAAACUUAAAGUCCUUGUUAAAGAUCUUCUACCAAAUCAUGCUAAUCUUAGUAAAACAUGCUCACAUUAGGUUAUUAUACUUAUAUAUACAUGUUACACAUGCUUACAUGUUGGCUUAAGCCAUAAUAACUGAUCAUACUUAGCAGAUUUUUAAAACAGAAUGCUCAACUGAACUCAGAGGAUGGCGUAGCUGCUCUGUACCCUAGUUCAAUUAGGGCGCAGCUGCGCCAUAUCUGGUUCAGCAGCAGAAGUAGACUCUGUUUUACAGAGUCUUAGCUAACUUGAUUUUUAACGAUUUUAAACUUGUUCCAACUAUCAUAAAAGAGUUCAUACAUGUAAGUGAACUUCUUAAACACAUUAUAACAUGUUAAUUCAUAUCAAUUGACAUAUGAAUUCAAGAAAUUUCAAGAAUUAAACAAGACCCAAUUUAAGAACACAAUUAGAAUUUAUACCUUCUUGAGCUUGAAUUGAACUUCCUACACUCUGAGUAUGCUUCUAAAGUAGCUCAGCAACUUAUACUCUACACUUAGAAUUACCAGACAAGUUUUAAGCAACACAAAAACUAAAAAUCAAGCUUUUAUUUAUAAAGGAAAUAUGGACUGGACAUUUCCUUUACACAAUGUUGGAGUCCAUGGUGUAAUGGAAGGUUACAUAGGUUAUUAAGGAGUAGUUUAACAACUCCAUACCAGCCACAUUUCUAGCAAAUGAUCACCUAUGAUUUAGCCACUUGGAGAAUACGUAACUUAGUUUUAGCCCAUUGUUCAUUUACUUUGUGACACUCAAUUUGGGACAAGAGAGAAAAAUCUCAGAAAUCUUGUUAUCUAGGCUUGGUUUGGUUUAUUUAAUUCCUAUAAUAUAAUCUUAAUGUACAAUUGUUACCAUAUUAGGAAUUUAGGGAUUAAUUAUAUACUCACAUUAUAUAGUCCAUGUACAUUAAAUACAUAUAAUAAAGUAACGCAAUUAGGUAUUAUUGUCCGGGUAGUCCCAUAAUUAUCUCUACCACUCACAUAAUCACAUUAUAACUUUAUUUAAUAUUAAUGUUUAUUUAAAACAUUGAAUUCCUUUCUCAGAUUCUAGAAUACCAAGAUAAUUAAUCAUUUAUGCAUUACAACUUCAUAUGAUACCAUGGUGCUACUAGGUACCUCAUUUCAUUAAAAUAUACUCCUAUCAUAUGAUUUUUAUUAAUGUCACACAUACAACAUUAAUGUUCCAUUUCAUUUCCACAGUAGAAAUUAACUAACUUCAACUGAUCACCGGCGCAGCUGUGCCAAUUUGUACUGAUGUGUGCCGUACCUUGACAGUGCCAGUGUCAACCUCCAUUGCUAAACUCGUUUUACACGACAUGAAUUAAUGUCCACAUGAGUGAUAUUACCUAUCUAUAAAAGUGUAUUCAUUAAUUACAUGAAAUCACAUGAUCAAACACGAUUAAUCUUCCUAAUUCCCUUUUUAACUCACUUAAUGAAUUUCCUCAUUUCACAUUAUGCUACACAAGACAUUUCAUAAUUCUCAUUGUCAAUUCCACACUUCUCAAUACGUAUUAAUCUAGUGCAACUCGAUUGAAUUAAUCGACUUACAAAACAUUAACACUUAUAUUCACAUAAAUAUUAUUUUCAUUAAUAUAUUUCUUUAAUAACACGUGGAAAUUCUCGGGUAUUACAUCCCCCUUAAGUGUUAACCCGUCUAACAUCAAUCCCCUCUUUGGUUUCACACCACCGGUUACUAUUUUUCCUUAACAAUUUAAGGAUCACACUUCGAGUUCUAAAACUCUAUUUCUCUCAACUAUAAAAUCUCAUUUAUAGUAUUUUUUUCCACCAAUAACACAAAACCUGAACAUAACACAUACAUACAUUCCUUUAAUCUUCACUUCUCGCCGUGUAUCAAUUUACUCAAUAAUUCUCUAACCACUUUAAAGGUAUAUCGAUGUUCUUCCCUAGUCAACAACGUGCAUAUAUACAAGUCCAAACCUAACACACAUCGAGUCUUUAAUAGUAUUCAAUAUAGUACACUGAGUGGUUUCCCACAAAUAACCAACAAAUUAGUUUUCGUCUCGUCUACACUAUUUUCACAGUGAGUUAGAUCGGUUACUAAUUCGUAUAUACAUCCGCUCUCUGAUGGAAUUAUUUAGCCUAGCUCCUAUACAUCCACAAUUAAAGAGUACGAUUGCACUACCUUAGACUUGAUAUUCACUCGUACAAAUACUCAAGAAAUUGGUGAUUAUCAAAGAUAUUUUAAUGUCACCAACUUACUAUUAUAAAAUAAUUUCACAUAAAUUAUUUAAUAUCAAUAGAUAAAUUUUUAUCCAUCUUCUUACUAAUUCAUCUCUAUAAUUUAUAACAAAUAUAUAAUAACGAUAUAUAUUUAUUAAACACAACCACACUUAUUACAUAGCGCAUAAUUCCCUAUGUAACACAUUUAUUUGAACCCUUCACAUGCCUUAAGAAUUUUAUCUACUAAAUUCUUAUUUUAAUAUUUUCUAAAAAUUCGGGUUCUUACAAAACUGCUAAUUGAUGGAAACUAGUAAUUGAUCAGUACCCACAAUCUAGCAUGAAUUAAUUACCCACUGCAUAAACAAUAUCAAAAACAUCAAACCAAAUCCUAAACUUAUAAUAACAACACAAUGAUAAAAAAUUACCCACAACAUCAAAAAUUACCUAAAAUUAUAUUGAACAAUUACCCACAACAUCAAUAAUCUAACAUGGAAUCAAUAGUAAAACCUAACCUUAAUUACUUUGGAGAACACCGGCAGGAGGAGCUGAGGACGCCGACAGCAGGAAAACGACAGGACGGCGGCGGCAGGUAGGAGGGCGCCGUUGGGAGGAAGACGUCGACCUGAAGAGGAGAACGAUGGAGGAAGAGUGAGGAGAGAGAAUGCAACAGAGAGAGAGGUUGGUUGGUUGAUUCGGAGAGAGAGAAAUGAAAUUUGCUAACAAAUGUUUGUGGCGACACAGACUGAAAAUGAUAGGGUUUUAACCUUUAUUUUGGACGGAAUUCAGUUGACAUUAAUUCCCUCAGAAAUAGUUAUUAUCGACGGAAAUUCCGUCAGACAUAAUCGGCAUUCCGUCGAGAUUGUGUUUGGCGCUGGCGCGAAAUCUGGCGCCAAUAGAAGGCUGUUAUCUCCCACAGAAUUCCGUCGAGAAAAUGUUAGUUACGACAGAAUUAAUUGCGACUGAAUAUUCGAUCGGAAAUAACAUAAAGUCGACGGAAUGUACUGCGUCGAAAAUAAUUCUGUCGAGGUUAUAAGCUUUUCUUGUAGUGUAUAAAUAACAGAAGUCUAUUAUUAAGAUAUUUAGAAGUACGUGUCUUUUUCGAGAUUAUUAUGUGAUUCAUUUUAUUUGAAUUCAUAUCCCACCAAAGUGGAGUUGUUAAAAACAAAAAACUAUAUAUACAUAUACAUACAUAUAUAUAUAUAUGGUCCGGAUCUUAACCUCACCCCUUAUCUAACAUACCUUAUUCACUCCCCUUUAGCGACAGACCGGGCGACAAUUCGGUCCGUCGCUAUAUAUAGAACUGUCGUCUUAGCUUUUAGCGACGGACAACAUAUAGAGACGGACCGAACAUAUAGCGAUGGACCGAAUCGUCGCUCGGUCCGUCGCUAAAAGAGGGUGAGCAAGGUAUGUUAGAUAAGAGGUGAGCUUAAGAUCCACUAACGGCCAUGCUAAUGACUAUUAAUAUUCCCUCAUUUUUAUUUAGGUUUUCAAACUAGUCGCAUGCCUUACUAGUUAUGAGAAUACAAAGAAAUAAAAAGGAUAUGGGUAUGGCCGCAGGUAGGAUUUUCAACCAGAAUACAAUACAACACUUGACCACAAGACUAGUUAUUAUGUCUCUAUAAUUGUUGACCACAGUACAUCACUUGACCAAAAUACAAUACUUGACCACAAGACCAAUUUGAAGUUUUCAAAGCACAUACAUAAUUCUUUGUAUUUAUUUAAUUAAUGGGGAAAAAAUACUUGUAAGCUAUAAAAAUAAUAGUGUUAGAUAAUAAUAAUUCAUACUUCUUCUUCAUUUAAAAAAAUUAAUUUAUUCUUAAUUUUAAUUAUUAUAAUUAUAUUUAUAAAUAUCUACAAAAUACUGCUAGCUGUAACAUAUCUUAUUAUUAUUAUUAUUUCUGUCAAAAUAACUUUAAUGCCGACGAAAAACGCCGUCGCUAAUGGGUGUCGUCGAUAAUAACACUUUCCCAGGAAAAAAAAGGUGCGAAAAUUUGGCGGUGGAGGGAAAACUCAUUGGCGAUGACUAUGGAUGUCAAUAGCGACGGCAUCGCCGUCGUGAAUGACUCAUUGGCGACAGUACGAGAACGACGACACACGCAGUCGAGAAUGAGGUAUUAUUUUUAAUACGCCAGAUUCAAUUUCUUUUUCCUCUCCAUUUUCUUUCCCUCUCGUUCUGUUCCUUCCCUCUGUUUCUCUCGCCACCACUGUGUCGUCGGUCCUUGUCGUCGCUUCUCGCCGUCGUUCGUCUCCGUCGGUCCCCGCCGUUGGUCCUCCACCGUCUGGCCUCCCCCUUUCUUCCUCCCCUUUCUUUGGCCUGAUACAUUGUUAUAAUCUCCCCCAAUUUUUGUUCUCUCUCAGCUUUGGUUCUACAUUUGUUAUUGUUGGCUUCCAUUAGUAAGUUACACUUUUUUUCUUCUUAAGGUUUCAUUUGUAUAUAAGUUCCAAUUUAGUUAUGUUAGGGUUUAAUUUGGGGUUUUUUUUUCUUCUAAUACUUGUAUGUCUUGUUUUGGGCAGUAAGCAACGAGCAUUGACCUUCUCUGCAUCUCUCUCUUUUUUGUAAGUUUUUCUUUCAUCUCCUCUCUUUUUUUUGGAGUAUUAUGCAUGUCAGUUCAUGUAUAUAUGUUUAUUUGAAAUAUUUUCAUGUAAUAUGUUUGUCAGUUCAUAUUACACUUAACUAUAGCAAACUAGAUGCUAUUAAAUAAAUCAAAGAUUAAACAAGUGGAAAAAUAAUAUCAGUAAAGUGAUUCUACCUUGCAUCAUACAUGGACUAGCACCUAUUGACAGAUUUACUUUGCAGUAACAUAUAUGACCUUACACUUACUAUUUGAUGAUACCUUCAUUAGUUCAUUAUAUGCUCUAGUUGAUAAAAAUCAAUGCAUGAUUUGACAUCCAAUAGAAGCUAACGUAUUCCUUUGUAUUAUCUAGCAUUUUAAGGUCACAUUCAGCACAAGUAAGCAGUUGGGUCAUAAGUACGAGAAGUAAUCAUCACAAAUGAUGCUUACUCUUUAAACAUCAUUUUGCAAGAAACCUAAAAUCCAUAAUGGACACUUCUAGUGAUUAACCGAAUAUGUACCUCUUUUUUUUCCAUUAUUUUAGGGAGUAUGGGAUUGAUACGAGCCACCUUGUUUUCUUUUUCUAUUUAUGUUGUGACCGUCCUAAUCAACAUUCUGGGUGAUAAAACUUAGAAUUGAGCUUCAAAUAAUAUAUAUAUAUAUAUAUAUAUAUAUAUAUAUUUGGAGCUAUAAAUAGAGCCUCUCUCAUUACCUAGCAAAAAGUUUAGUUCAUUUUCUCUUCUUAAGUUCCAAAAAUCUAUAUAGCAAUAUACUUUGAGAGAGAAAAGGGAGGGGGCUGCCGAAACAUUAAGGAAGAGUAGGAGAGGAGAUUUGGUUCAUGCCUUCAAGCUUUAUAACUUACAUUGGAAGAAGAAGAGGUGACACUAAAUCAAGGUUCAAAAGUUUACUUAUCUCAAAACCCUAGUUAGAUUUAUGUGAUUAUCUAUGGUUGUUUUAAAUCAAAUGAUGAGUUUAUAUUUCUGAGUCAUAUGAUGGUAGAUCUAUAUGUUAUAUGAUGUUUUAUGGUCAGACAUGGUCAUUUUAUAUGUUGAUGAGCUUUUAUGUCAAAGGAAAUCAGUCCACUUUGAAAAGUAUAACAUGUGUACUUUUGGUUGAGAUACAUCUAUGUUAUUGAGAUACAUCUAUUUGAAACGAAUAUAAUGCUUUCUCAAUAUAAAUUACCAUGUCUUUGUUUCAAUUUUUUUGCUUAAUUAAAAUGGUAGCAUUGCAUUAUUCUAAAUAUGUUCUAGAGGAUUCUUUAAUAUGUAGUCUUUGAUUUUGUAUACUCAUGAGAAUCGAUUAAUUAAUUUCUUUUAUUGUGGUUUAUAAUCCAUUCUCAAGAUAGUAUUCCUUUUGUUCUAGGAAAGAGUUCAAUUUCAUAUGUGCAUAUUUUCAUAUAGUUUAGGAAGCUUAGAAACCCGUUUGAGAUUCACUUAAUAGGAGUGAAUCUCAAAUAGUCCCCGUUUUGGGACUGUUCUUGUAUGUUUCGAUCUCACUUAGGUCGGUGUUAACGACUUGAGCACGUCUUUAUAUUUUUUGAAUUUUCGGUCAGUAUAUAUCUCUUGAUGUUCUUCGGGUGCAUAUUUAGACUACGAUGUGUUAGUCUAUUUCGUGUACUUGAAGACCAUGGGGGAGGUGCUGCCGAAAUUUUUGAAAAAUUUAAAGAUGUGUUCAAGUUAUUGGCAUCAGUGAGGCGACACAUCUAGGAAUGGGAUAGAAGCCUGACCCGUUAGAGUGGGAGAUGAAGUUAGGAAACUCAUAAGCUUGCAUAUACAUUAACUUGGAGACUUGAUUGUGUUUGUCUAACUUUCCAUAUAUAUAGCAGAUAGUUGUCCGAGAUGUUUGUUGAUCGAAGUUGGAUGGAACAUAGGGUAGCCACUGAUAGGAGUGGGCUUAGCUCUGAGUAUCGUAGUGGGGUUGAACAGUUUCUCAACUUCGCGUUUGAGCAAGUCAGCGGCGAUGAGAUCAGAUGUCCUUGUAAGAGGUAUGUGAAUGAAGUGUGAAGGAAAGGAGUGAUGUCAUGUGUGACUUAUUUGCGUAUGGGUUCAAGCAGGGUUAUACGACAUGGAUCUAUCAUGGGGAAACCUGGUUGGAUGAACAUAAAUCAGAAUCGGAAUCCAGAGGUGACAAAACCUUUGACUGUACUAACAUGAUAGUCUAAGCUGCUUGUUCAUAUACUUCCAGUGGAAUACAGAUAGGGAUGGCAGUAGCUUAGAGCAAGAGCCGAAUGAUGGGGCUAAGGGUUUCUAUGAUUUAUUGCAUGAAGCAGCGACGCCACUAUAUGACGGGCACGAAAAGCACACUGUCUUAUCUGUUGUGACUAAGUUUUUACACUUCAAGAACGAGCAUGACCGUAGCGGGAGAGGUUUUAAUGAACUGUUAAGCAUUGUGAAGGAGUGCUUACCUGCAGGCAAUAAGUUACCGAAGUCGUACUAUGAUAUGAAGAAAAUGGUCAAAAGGCUCAAUCUAGGGUAUGAGAAGAUUGAUGCUUGUGAGAAUUACUGUAUGUUGUAUUAUGGUGAUGUCAAUAAAGAUAAGAGGUCAUGUGAUAUUUGUGGUACAAGUAGAUACUGUGAACAGCGCAAGAAAAAGGGAAAACACGUGCUAAGAAAGAUCUUACGUUACUUUCCCAUUGCCCCGAGGCUUCAGCGGUUGUUCAUGUAAACACAUACCGCUGAGGAUAUGAGGUGGCACUCUACACGGGACAUAGUCGAAGGUCAACUGACGCACCCGAAAAAUGGGUUUGAGUGGAAAAUUUUUUAUAACAAGCACCCCUCGUUUGCUGAAGAGGUUCGUAAUGUUAGGCUUGGACUUGCUACGGAUGGGUUUAAUCCGUUUAACGGGCCUUACACAAAGUCCUACUCAACUUGGCCGGUGAUUAUUGUGGUGUAUAACCUCCCGCCUUCGAUGUGCAUGAAAGAUCCCUACAUGUUCCCGCCUUUACUGAUUCCGGGUGAUAAGAGUCUGAGUAAAGACAUCAAUGUAUACCUCAGGCCGUUAGUUGCUGAGUUGAAGAUGUUAUGGGAAAAAGGGGUUCAAACUUAUGAUGUAUCUCUUAAGAAGAACUUUGACAUGAGGGCAGCUUUAUUAUGGACAAUAAAUGACUUCCUGGCGUUAGGAAUGAUCAGUGGAUGGUCGACUCACGGGGGCUUGUCAUGUCCCUUGUGCAUGGGGUCAGUUAAAGCUAUGCGGCUCAAACAUGGGGGGAAAAUGAGUUUCUUUGCAACAUCCAGACAGUUUUUGUCGACUGAACAUCGUUAUCGACGGAUGAGUAGACAAUUCAAUCAAAAAAUAGAGAAACGUCAAGUACCUAGCCAUCUUUUUGGGUCAGCAGUGUUGAGUUAGAUUAGUCAUUUGAAGUUUCCACAUCCAGGGAAGAAUCAUAGAUUAGAGCGAGCUUAUGGUUAUGGAAAGGUUCACAACUGGACACACAGAUCCAUGUUCUUUGACCUGCCUUAUUGGGCUACACUCUACAUCCGUCAUUGUUUAGAUCCGAUGCAUACUGAGAAGAACGUAUUUGAUAACAUUUUUUAUACAGUCCUAGAUGCCAGUGGUAGAACAAAGGACAACAACAAGUCGAGACUUGAUUUGGUAGAAAUGAACAUUAGGGAAGAUCUGUGGCUGUAUCAAGAGGGUAGUAAGACGGUAAUGCCUAAAGUUGAAUAUACUUUGACCAGGGAACAGUUGAUAUUGAUAUAUAAUUGGAUCAGUGGACUGAAGCUCCCAGAUAGAUAUUCUUCGAAUGUAGCAAGGUGUUGUAAAGUUGAAGAGCUGAAGUUUUGGGGUCUCAAAAGUCAUGAUUGUCACGUAUUCAUGCAGAAGUUGAUCCCUGUGGCAUUUAUCGACUUGUUACUGAAACAUGUGGUUGAAGCACUGACAGAGCUUUCUAAUUUCUUCAGAGAUCUAUGCUUGGCGAAGCUCCAGCUCAAAGACAUAGAUAAAAUGGAGAGGCAGAUAGUGGAAAUAAUGUGCAAGUUAAAAAUGAUCUUCCCUCCAUCGUUUUUUGAUUCAAUAGAGCAUUUGCCUAUUCACUUGCCAUACGAAGCAAAGUUUGGCGGUCCCGUGCAAUAUAGAUGGAUGUAUCCAUUCGAGAGGUAAUGACAUUAAUGUUUUUAAUACGGUAAACUUAGAAUUCUUGUUUGCUAAUCUAUAUAUCACAUAGGUAUAUGCGACGUCUAAAGCAAAAGGUGAAGAAUAGAGCCCGUGUAGAGGGGUCAAUUGCUGAAAGUUAUGUUAUGGAGGAACUUGUUAAUUUCUGCUCGUUGUACUUUUAGCCGAAUGUUCAAACGAAGCACAAUCGUUUAUGUCAGAAUGAGGCUGUUGCGCACGAGGAAAAUGGAGAAUUAAUGGCCUUUAGUCAUCUUGUACACCCAUUCGGCAAUAAAAAAAGGCGAUUCUUGACCGAUAAUGAGUACGCAGCUGCCACAUUGUAUGCACUUGUCAACAUGAAUGAAGUAGCUCCAUACAUUAAGUAAGUAGUCAUAACUAUAUAUGUCUGGUGUAACUGGGAAAGGUUCUUUUACAAACACAUUAAGUAUAUAACUGUGUUACAGUCAAUAUGAUGCUGAAGUACGUGAAGCGAAUCCGAGUAUAUCGGAUGGGGAUUUACAAAAUUUGAGAAAUGGACAAUUUGUGCAAUGGUUUAAAGAUCAUGUAAGUCUAACCUUUACAAGUUCAAUGAAUCUACCAUUAUAGAUUUAUUCUUAUGGCGUAAUUAACUUUAGAAUAUGUUGUGUUAAUGUACAUUAGGUCCUCACAGAUGAGUUAGCUGACAAUCGGCUAAAGCUUAUAGCCGACGGCCCUAAAAGAGCUGUAGAUACUUAUACAUGUUGCAUUGUCAAUGGUUACAAAUUUAAGUGUUGUGAUAUUGGGGAAGUCGCUUCUGCUGAUUCUGGUGUUGUGGUGAAAGGUAGCUGCUACAAUAACAUUUGGGAUGACUGGUAUAGACGAUUGCUAGAAGUUAUCGUUCUCAAAUAUUGGGGUCAUAAAAAAUUAGUUUGCUUCAAUUACCAUUGGUUUGAUGUUGAGAAUGGAGUUAAAGUAGAUAAAAAAUCAGGACGGGUGACUUUUAACGUUAAGUCAAAACUAAGACUGAUGACUGGUAUGGACGAGCCUUUUAUUUUAGCAAGUCAAGCAACACAGGUGUACUAUGCGCGGAGUGUUAAGACUCCUGCAAGCCCAUUGUAUACUGUUAUAACCACCAAAGCCCGUGGUUUUCAAGGCACAACUCCUCGUCCAGACGAUGAACCUUUACAAGUCGAGUCUACUAGUGUCACACCUGCUGAUGUGACAAUUAUUAGUGAGUCUAGUGAAGAAGAGGAUGAUGUUUUCGCUGUCGAAAGUGAAGACGAUGUUGUUGAGGAGGUAGAUAUAAUUGAACAAAUCGUUGAGGAUGAUGAAGAUGGUGAUGACAAUGGUAGUGAAGAUCUACUACUCGAAGAUGAUGAUUCUGAUAUUGAUGGCUUUGAUGAUAUAAAUGAUUAGGAGUAUGUACUCUUUAUGUCCUUUUAGUUGUAUUCACCUUUUAAUUUUGUCAAUUAGAUGAUUGAACUGUCGAAUAUUUUCUUGAUCUCCUUCUUCUUCUUCUAAACUGUGAAGAGGAGGAGUUCAUCAGAGAAUUACUUGAUCUCCCUUUUUUCUCACUAUUUUUAGUUUUGAUAUCUCAUCUCUAUCCCUCUUCAUCUUUUCACAAAGCUUUACCAAGUAAAUAUCUUCUUGUGCUCUUGUUUUUUUUUUGACUAAAAGAGUGAAAACUGAGGUUCUGAUGAAUUGAUUUGAUGGAGAAGAAGAGAGAGAAUCUGAAUAGUCUAAAAUUUUAUGAUGGGUGGGAACAGAGCAAACACAGUGACUUUGGGGCAUAAAUGAUCGUGACUUUGUUGCCAUUUUUUAUAUUUAAGCCUAUAAAAAACAAUAAAUAAAUAAAAAAAAUAAAAUGAAAGAACAAACAAAUGUGGUAUCUACAUGUUGUAUCCUUUUAGUUGUAUCUACAUGUUGUAUCAUUUUAGUUGUAUUCAAAUGUCAUAGUUGUUUCCUUUUAGUUAUAUCUGCAUAUUGUAUCCUUUUAGUUGUAUGUGCAUGACGAUUCUGAUAUUUGUGUUUAUAUCAUUUUAGUUGUAUCCGCAUAUUAUCUUCUUGAUGAUGAUUUGACAGUAUAUAUAUACAGAUAUGGCGCGUACACCACACGGCGAUCGUGGUGGGCGUGCUGGUAGUUUAGGCCGUGGGGGCCGUGGAGGUAAUGCUGGUGAUGAUCAGGCCGUAUCAUCAGGUAUAAUUACAUAUUUGUUGUUAUACAUCUUAUUGUUUUUUAAUUUUAUAUAAUAUUGACAUUAUAUUCGUUUAUAUAAAUAUUGUUAUAUUUCACUACAUAGGUGAUCGACGUAGGCCUCCGCGGGGAAUAGCACGUGGAUUGCUAGGGAAUCCCCCCCAGGCCCCGCUUAUAUGCCGUGUGGGGACUACUAGGUAAUAUAUACAUUAUGUUUGUAUUAAUUAUUUAGUUCUUAUAUAUUCUUUAUAAUUUGGAAAUUUAAUAAUUUCAAUUUUAGUAUCCUUGACGCGACGCCAAGGAACACGUUGCUUGGGAUUGUCUACAACCGAUUCUCCAGCCCGUGGAUGAGGUGGGCGGAUGUGGAUGACCGCACACGUGAGCUGAUUAUUGCUGAGUUUAGGGUAAGAAGUCAUUCAUUCAUAUGUUAGUUUUAAUUUGUGCUUUUGAAUAUUUAUUUACCGCUUUGCUUUAUGUUGUCUACUAAGUAAUUGUUGAUAUUCAUAUGUUGUACUGCAGAGAUAUUAUCGCUUCGAGGACGGGCAUGAAGCCCACGGUAGCACUGUUCUCGGGAAGUAUCUCGAGAUGAAUUGGAAUAAGUGGGUCUACGACUGGAAGAAGAAGGCCCAGACCAAGAUGGCUGAUGGACAGACACUUAGAGAUUUCCGACCAGAUUUCAUUGGUGUUGUGGUGUGGGAGAAGAUGUGCGAUAUCUGGGAGGGUGAGGCGUUCAAGAAGAUGUCGGCACAGCGUACAGCUUCCCGACAAUAGAGUCGUCUCCCACACUGCACUGGGAGUCAGUCGUACGACCUCUACAGGGAGAGACUCGAGGAGAGUCUAAAGCACCGACAUUCCCACCUUGAGUUUUGGUGGCACGCUCACUAGAAGAAAGGUGAUGGUGGUUAUAUCUCACCUGAGGCAGAGCGCAUUGCGGUAAGUAAUUUAAUUAUUUCAUUUAGUUUGUAUUUGAUGGCUUUGAAAUUCUUUUGUAUUUUUUUGUGUAAUACUUGCUUUUUACCUAUUUCUGUGUUUUUUUAGACACAAUUUGAGGACCUUUCUGUGGUCCGGAGCAGCUAGAGAGGUGACACUCCAGUGGCUGAUGCUGAGCGUGAAGAUGAGGAGAUGGAGGACUGGCUGCAGAGUACAGGGGGGCCAAAGAAGGGUAGAGUUGUGGGCAUUCCCCAUGUCCCAGCCUACACUAUAGUCCCUGUUGCGUGAUCUCGACGUCGCCCACGCACCGGAGGUAGUGGUGUGAGUGGAUCAGGCGCAGGCCCUUCAUUAUCUGACGACUUCUUCAGGCGGAUCAUAGAGGGGUGCAUGGUGAGCAGUGUCGUGCAGUCAGGCGCACCAUCACGCCAGCGGAUCUACCAGCUUGCUCAGGAGGUUGUCCACGGCUCCAUAGAUCCUGUAACUGCCGCUGACGACCUCAUGGUUGUAGUCCGGGAGGAGGCUAUCCGUGUAUGUGCAGUUUUCUUGGCCAACAUCUUUCCUCCACAUAUUUGACAAGUAAAACUUAUUAUUGAUGUAUUUCCUUAUUUUUAAUUAUAUUGCUUAUAUAAACUGUCAAAUAACUAGUUAACACACAAACACAGGAAAUAGCACCGCAUAGGCAAUAGACACGCGUUACAACUGACGGGACUCGAUUCCGAUAUACGGAGCCCGAGUUCGAGUCUCGUCCGCCUAACUUGAGAAAACUUAGAAAAAUAGUCAAAAAAGAGACCAAAACACACAUCGGUCGUCCAAAUGACACGCAAACAUAGGCAAUAGCACCGCAUAGGCAAUAGACACGCGUUACAACUGACGGGACUCGAUUUCGAUAUACGGAUCCUGAGUUCGAGUCCCGUCCGUCUAACUUGAGAAAACUUAGAAAAAUAGUCGAAAAAGAAACCAAAACACACCUCGAUCGUCUAGUUGACACGCCAACACAAGCAAUAGUACCGCAUAGGCAAUAAACACGCGUUACAACUGACGGGACUCGAUUCCGAUAUACGAAGCCCGAGUUCGAGUCUCGUCCGCCUAACUUGAGAAAACAUAGAAAAAUAGUCAAAAAAGAGACCAAAACAUGCCACGGUCGUCCAAAUGACACACAAACAUAGGCAAUAGCACCGCAUAGGUAAUAGACAUGCGUUACAACUUACGGGACUCGAUUCUGAUAUACGGAGCCCGAGUUCGAGUCUCGUCCGCCUAACUUGAGAAAACUUAGAAAAAUAGUCAAAAAAAAGACCAAAACCCGCCCCAUUUGUCUAGUUGACAUGCAAACACAAGAAAUAGCACCGCAUAGGUAAUAGACACGCGUUACAACUGACAAGACUCGAUUCCGAUAUACAGAGCCCGAGUUUGAGUCCCGUCCGCCUAACUUGAGAAAACUUAGAAAAAUAGUCGAAAAAGAGACCAAAACACACCCCGGUCGUCCAAACGACACACAAACACAUGCAAUAGCACUGCAUAGGCAAUAGACACGCGUUACAACUGAUGGGACUCGAUUCCGAUAUACGGAGCCCGAGUUCGAGUCCUGUCCGCCUAACUUGAGAAAACUUAGAAAAAUAGUCGAAAAAGAGACCAAAACACACAUCAGUCGUCCAAAUGACACGCAAACAUAGGCAAUAGACACGCGUUAUAACUGACGAGACUCGAUUCCGAUAUACGGAGCCCGAGUUCGAGUCCCGUCCGCCUAACUUUAGAAAACUUAGAAAAAUAGUCGAAAAAGAGAACAAAACACACCCCGGUCUUCUAGUUGACACACAAACACAGGCAAUAACACCGCAUAGGCAAUAAACACGCGUUACAACUGACGGGACUCUAUUCCAAUAUACGGAGCCCGAGUUCAAGUCCCGUCCGCCUAACUUGAGAAAUAUUAGAAAAAUAGUCAAAAAAGAGACCAAAACACACCUCGGUCGUCCAAAAAACACGCAAACACAAGCAAUAGCACCACAUAGGCAAUAGACAUGCGUUACAACUGACGGGACUCGAUUCCGAUAUACGGAGCCCAAGUUCGAGUCCCGUCCACCUAACUUGAAGAACACAAACUAAAAUAAUGUAAAUAUGUUUUCAUUUUAACUUUGUUAUUAAUAUUUUAAUUUUGUAGGGUCUUGUUGACGAGACUCGUGGAGGUGAAGGUGGAGGUGGAGGCACUGGUGAUUACCGCUGAGCUGAUAACGAGCAGCCUCCUCCAGUACAAGGCGAUGACCGUCGAGUUGAUGACGAGCAGCCUCCUCCAGUACAGGGUGAUGACCGCUGAGACGAUGACAUGGAGACAGGCGAUGGGUUGUAGUUAGUUUAGUUUAUGUUAUAUUCUGAGUUUCAUGUAUGUACUUGUACAGUUUUUGAGUUGUACAGACGGCCAUUAUAUUUUUGAUCUAUAUAUUUGAUUUGGAUUACUAUUUCAAUGGUGAAUUGUAUGAUAUUUACUUAUUAUUUGAUGGUUGUUAUUAGUUUAUAACAGGUGUACAUUUAUAUUUGUAAAUGAACAGAGAAAUUUUUAAAUUAUAAAAAAAAUUCAAAAUAUAUAUAGUCAUUGCCGACGGGGGUAAUGGCGACGACAUUGCCGUCGCCAAUGACAUAUAGUGACAGUCAUGAGUUAAAGGCAUUGCAGACGGCCAAAAAAGUCAUUGCCGACGGCCAUGCCGUCAGGAAUGAGGUUUUGCCCCAAAAACUUUAUGGAGUCUUUGCCGACGGAUUCGCCGUCGCUAUAGUCGUUGGCAUUGACAUUGUACCGUCGCCAAUGACACCCGUCACCAAUGACAAUGAUGCCGACGGCUGGUGACGGGAACCAUGGGUGACGACCUGUGGGGCGAAUGGCGUACCGACGGCAUCAGCCGUCGCCAAUGACAUCAAUGCCGACGACACUAUAGUCAUAGGCGACGGCAGUAGCCGUCGGCAAUGACUAUUUUUUUUGUAGUGAUUUAAUGACUAUUAAGAAGAACCUAAAGAAAGAAUUUCAGCCCCAAUACCCACUCAAAGAAAGUGAAAGUAAUUUUGAUUUUAGCCUAACUUUUUUUCUGUCUCUUUUUUUUUCUGGGUCUUUUCCAGAUCCAAUCGAAAAAAUAGGGAGUUUUGAGAUUGGAGUUUGGAAAAAAAAUAGAAAUAAUUCUUCUUUAUUGACUUUUUUUGUGGGGAAUUCGUCGGUUAACGGGUGGAAUUAGUGGCAUAAUAAUUGUGGACAAGAAAACACACAGAAUUUUAAUUUUUCUUCUUCUUCUCUCUUUGUAUGUGAUUAUCAAGUGAUACAAGUGAUACAGAGGAAGUUUAGGGAGAAGGGUUACCCCUGGAGUUUAUCCCGAACUCUCGAAGGGAUUUCUCAUAGCCAAAUUCUUCCCGAAGUAAUUCACCAUAGUCUCGAUCCCGAAGUAAUCCACCAUAGUCCCGAUUCCGAAGUAAUCUUUUAUUAAUAUUUGCCAUCUACAGUUUAAUAUUGCAGAGCCUAGAAAAAAAUUGAAUUUGACCAAAACGACUUCGUUGGUCAAUUGACCUACCAUACUUAGCGUCUGCAGUUUAAUAUUGCAGAUGGUACUUAUUCCUAAUUGGCCCAAAAUACUCAACGUCCACAGUUUAAUACUGAGGACGAAAGACUUUUACAAGGAGGGUAUUUUGGAUAUUUGUCUCGUCUGCAAUAUUAAACUCCAGAAUACUGGAAACUAAACUGCAGAUGAGACCUCUAUUAAACCGUUAGAUCAUAGAAUGGACGCUCACAAUGUGUUGUAAGGCUACUCUUUUUUACAACGUUGGCUAUGGAUCGAUCCCCUAUAUAUAUAUAUAUAUAUAUAUAUAUAUAUAGAGAGAGAUAAUCAAAACAAAGUACAUUUAGGAGUUGUAUGUGGAUUAUACAUGAAUUUAGUAUUUAGUGUUUGAAUCCCUUCUAGUACACUUUCUCUCAAAUUUCAUCCAACACACUAAUUUUUUAUAGUUAUAACUAGUAUGAUAUCAGUCAACUGAUUUAUUAUAUUAAAUAGCAUAAUUAUUUUAAAAAUAAAAAUAAUUCGACACUUUUUUUACCAUUUGAUAAAUAUGUAGAUUUUUCAUCAAAAUUUCAAUAAAUCGAAUGAAAAAAUAUUUAGACUUUUAAUUGUGAAUUUUUUAUAAUUUUAAUUUUCUAUAGGAUUGAUCUUAAUUUAAUCAAGUAUUUAUUAACAUAUUUUGAUUAUUAUUAAUAAAAUUAAUAAGAUCAAAUAAUUAGUAUAUUAAAUAGAAUUAGGAGAAAUGUGUAAUGAAUUACUAGAGCCAAAUCUAUUAAUUUAGGCAAACAUGCUUUUAAAACAAGUGAAUGCCUGAUUGUAGAUAAAUAAUAUAUUUUUUUCCCCAUAUGACUUAAAAGUCACUAAAUGGGCAUUCUAAAGUUCUGUAAUAUCAACAACAACAAAAAAAUUAUACAGAUUGUCGUUCUGGUAAAACGAAUUUUAUAAAAUGACAAUUUUUAGAUUUUUUUGAAACAGACAAUUAUAAGGUUAGGUAUAUAUGAUUAUUAUUAUUACUAUAAAAAUAGGGUAAUUGUAGCUCAAAUUUUAAGUCUAAAACAAGUGUCUUAAAUGAUUUGAUAUCAAUACAUUGAUGGGAUAAAUCACUUAAGACUGGCUAUAUAUAUAUAUAUAUAUAUAUAUAUAUAUAUAUAUAUAUAUAUAUAUAUAUAUAUAUAUAUAUAUAUAUUAUAAAUUUUUACCUUUUAUCAUAUUUAAUUCCAUAUCAUUUUUAAGACACAGUUGCCUAAUUAGUUUAUGAAAGAACUAGAGAUCAGCCAUAAAUUCGGAGGUUUUGAGUUCAACUCCUACUCAAAGUGCUAUAAGGGUCACGGACCUUGUUCGGAGAGAGGAGAUAUACAUGAUUAAAUGACACUUCUGUCAUUUCAAAUGUACAACUGCUAGAAAUUUGGGCCGACUCGACAUAAUUACAUCAUGCGAAAAUCUCCUUCCCAAUUGCUCACCACCGAGGUCCGGUGAACCCCAACCAGAACUGUGAAGAUGGGCCCCUAUUUUUGGGCCAUGGCCACGAAUACAAGAUGGGGAAGGUUUGAGCCUCCUAAGAGAUGGAGAUGACCUAUAUAAUAGGCCAUGCACCACCAGCUUCAGGUGCUACAUUUUUUUUCUCAGGCCCAGGUGACAAAUAAAAAAAAGACUAAUAUAGAAUUUUGUGGGGAAGGACUCCAUGGCAGAAUUGAGCGUUUGUGGGAUUUCUCACUUAUGUGGCAGAAUUUUGGAUUGUCUUUUUUAUAGGAAUUGUUACAAUUAAACUAAAAGAUGAGCAUUUUUUCAUGGUAUAAGAAUAAGGCCGUAAACGAGUCGAAUCGAUUCGGAUUCUAGGCUGCUCAUAUUUGAUUCGAUACAAAAUUGUCUUACUCAUAUUCGAUUUGAAUUCAAAAUAGAAUUUAAACAAUGUACUUGUGUUCGACUCGAUGCAGAAAAUGGUACUCGAAGAUCUAUUCGAUUCGAUUCGAUUCGAAAUUAUGUUCGAACUAUUUGUUUUUAAACAAACUCAAGUACAAACGAGCUUGUAUAAUAUUAUUGAUUCUAAAUUUACAGUUUACAAUAUACAAUUUUGAAAAGUUUAAGGCAUAUGAAUUAUAAAAUACACAUUAGUAGCAGCAGCAUUAACAUUUAAGUUUAUAGCAGCAGCAUUAACAUUCAAGUUUCUAACAGUAGCAUUAACAUUCUAGUUUUCAGUAGCAGUAGUGCAAGUUUCCAAGUCCAGUAACAACAUUCAAGAGUCCAAGUUCAAGUCCAGCAGCAACAUUUAAGAGUCCAAUAGAACUGAUCAAUGUUAAUUACAAAAAUUCUAAGUUCUAAAUAAAACAAAAAACAAACAUUAAUAAUUUACAACAACAUCAUUCAGUUUAAAAUAUAAAAAAAAUAGCAACACACCAAACAUAUGAAGUUAAUACCAAUAGGCAAGGCAGUAGCAAACAAUAAUAAUUAAGUUUACAACACAAUCGAAAUAGUAUAAAUCCUCACUUCCACUCAACCGAAUAAACAAAAGAAAAAAAAUGAUUAGCAUCACAAUUUACAGCAACAGACAACAGACAACCUUCAUAAUCACAAGUGGAGAAAAUGAAAGAAUAAGUAUCAAAGAAAAGACCAGAGAAGAAAGUAAUUCUUAUUUAGAGCAAACAAGUGGAGAAAAUGAGAAUAUCUUGUAUCAUAUCUCCAUCCCAGGUAAAAGCAGACAGUACAAAUGAAGAACAAACAUCCAAAUACUUCAUGCAAAGUGAGGUAAAAUAUCAAAGGUCUAAAAUUCCAAUGCAACUACAUAUUGCAGUCAAAUAAUUAAAAAUAACUUGGUAAAUAUUUAAAAAUAACUUGGAAAUUUCAAAUGUUCCUAAUACAACUCUAAAUGCAAUAAUUGUUCCAAACUACAAUAACAACAUACAAAUGCCAGGAGUUAAAAUUUAAAAAAUACAACCAAACAAGAUGAAUGCAAGUUAUCUGCUCAUACUGCCAAACAAUUCAUUAAAACCAAUAGAGAAAACUUACAGGAGGGCUGCACAAACAGCCGUGUGUUUCCUCCCCUAGAAAGUCCUUCUUCAUCCUUGAGAUAUUUUUCGUCUUCUUCCUCUUCUGUAAGCUUUGAUGCAUGACGACCCCUGAACCAUACAAUUAUAAACAAUUAAACCAUCAUUGAAUCUAUUGAAUAUUAGAUUAUAUAAGACAUCUAAUUCCAUAUUAUGAUUUUAACAAAUAAAAACAUUCCAUAGUCGGAAAUUAGGAACUCAGUUUUUUGGAAAGAGAAAAAAACAAUCCGUAGUAGGAUGUGCUAUAUAUUGUGAGUUUAUGAUUGUAUUAGUGGCUGCUCCAUUUUUCUAUGAUAUUCUAGCAACAAUACUAACAAACAUACAAGAGAAGAUACUACCUUCUAAUUAAUAAGGAUGUCAACACCAGUAACAACAAUGCAAAGCUUUAGAACAUCUUCAGACAAUAGAAUACUAAAUUUUCCCUCAAUUACUAAUAUCCUCAAUAAACUAAUUACAUUCCAACUAAUGUUUUCGGCAGAACAGAAACAAACUCAAAUGAUAUCUCUAAUGAUCGUUUUCUCACAUAUAACUUACUUGGGUGAAACGAUGAUCCUCGAUUUGUCAUUCUUUUUUACUACUAACAAGUACGUAAGAAAGCCCAAGAGGGAAAGAUUUUUUGGGCACUCAUAAGUGUCCAUCCACACAAUAAGGAUUAGUACACCUGCCUAUGUUAAAUGUGUGCUCUUUUAGUGUACAGGACAUGUACACUACUAAAAAAUCAAUCUACAGCGACGGUCGUCGACCGUUGCUAUAGAUGAAAAGACCGUCGCUAUAUGCUAUAGCGACGGUCGGACACCAUCGCCAUAUAAGUCGUCGCUGAAACCUAUAGCGAUGGUCCUUUCUCCUAUAGCGAUGGUCAAAACGUCGCCAGAAAACUUCACAAAAACGCGCUUAAAGCUUUAUACCAACGGUCAGAGAAUAGAUAUAGCGACGGCCGUAACCGUCGCUAUAGAAGAUUUGGCGCGAAUGGUUAAGAUCUAUUGCGACGGGCUGGCCGUCGCUAUAGAAGAUUUGGCGCGAAUGUUGAAAUGUAUUGCGACGGUCGUGGCUGUCGUUUGGCGCAAAAUUUUUUUGCCCUUAGCGACGGUCCCGACCGUCGCUAUAUCUUUUCCAAAUUUUUAAAGAACUUGAUGUUCUUAUACAAUAUUUCUUAUUUAUUUUACCUGUUAAGAAGCAUAACUACAUUCAACCAUGCAAUCUGAAUAUAACAUUUACAACUAAAAGAACAAAACAAAUAAAGUCUAUUAAUGUAUAAUAUCAUCUAAAUAUACAUAACCAUCAAAAAUAUUGUUACUAUGUAUCAAAACAGUACAUAACCAGUAGCACAUUUAACAUAUUUUCAGUAUCACAUCUAACAAAUUUUCAUCCAAAAUAGUGUUACAUCUAACAAAUUUCCAGCAACACAUGUAACAUAUCUCUAGCAGCACGAGACAUGUCAUAGGUCCUCUAUAGGAUUAUUUGAUCCACUAAUAUCACCAUUAUCUCCUUCUGUGGAUCGAUCCUAAAAAUUAAUUAUCAAGUAAACUUGUUAAUCCAUACAAACAGAGUGAUAGAGCAAAAAUUUUAAGUAUAAGUGGAGUGAGAGAGCAACACCUGAUUGUUGGAAUGAGCAUUUGGAACUGAUGACUUCUUCAUAAAUUUUGUCAUGAUUGAUAAUAGUUCAUCCACUUUCCUUGCAGUAUCGUCUCCUUUUUCCCGCACCUUUUUCAACUCAACUUUUAAUUCUUGAUUCUCACGUUGUACCUCAUUAUUUGUGUCACGAGGCCCCCAAGUGUAGCUGUGGCACCAACUCCACCUUGUUGAAGUCUACCAUAUCGCUCCGGUCCAAGCACUUGUGCAAGUAUAUCAUUCUGUCUUGUACUAUUGCUUUCACCAGUCGAUUCCUGAGUCUUCUUUAACUCAAUAAUUUUUUUCUGUGAAAAUAUACAUAACUUAAAUAUACAAGGCAGUUCAACAUAACUUAAAGAAGAGUAGCAAAUAAUUUCUUUCCAAGGCUGUAUCCAAGCUUGUUUGCUUAGUCUUUAUCAGGAUUCGGUCACAUACUAAGUUGUUGCAUUAGCUUUUUGGCUAGAAUUUCAAUCUAUGGUACGUGUCUCAGUUAUUUUGAUCUCAUUAGUAAAAUACACAACCAAGUUUAAAAAAAUCAAAUAAUUAGUAAACUAACCAAUUUAUCCAUUCUUCAAAAUUUGCCUUCAAUUCCUUUGAUUUUUUCAUACUUAUGCAAUAUAUAAAUUUCCAUUUUAUACAUAUAUAACAUCCAGUGCUUAUCCCCCUUUUUGCUUAUUCAGUUAUACAAACAUUUGAUAAACUUUUACUAAUCAUAUAGUAAUCAGUUAUAUUCAAACAUUAUAUUCUUAAUGAAAGCAUAAAGACUAUAACCAUCUAGAAUCAUACCCUCGAUAAAGAGCUUAAAGACAAUAUAGAAUAAAGAGUUAAAAGACCCCAUUGUUUGAGGAUUGAUAAAUACGUACCACAUUCGAGGAUGCUCCCGGUAAAAUUGAGUUAUCACUUCGAGUGUGGGACUGUAUAUACAUAUCCGCUCGAUCAAUCUCUUUUUUUAUUUAUUUGGUAGUACAAAUAAAACAAAAAUUAGUACAUAAUUCAAGAAAUGCUCUAUUCAUAGAAGUCAAAUACAUGAUUAACGACAAAAAAUAUUGAAAGAACAUCAAAUAUUACCAAUUCAUGCUUCUUUUUUGGAAUUGAUUUAGUGCCCAACGUAUGACCUACCAACAUUUUUUUUUUCCGAUUUUCACAAUUUUUUGUUGCUAUAUCCUGCAUUGCAUGUAUUUAUAAAUUAAUAAUAUAAUAUCACAAUAACUAAGAAUUAAUAAUACAUAAAAUUAGAAUAAACACAACCUGUGCAUCAUCAGUUAGCCAAUAACCAACCAACGCAACCUAUUGAUUAGGAUUUACUCGAUCAUUGUUUAUAGUAUUCGCUAUAGAUUUGGCACGGUCACCAGCCACAAAAUUAUUACUCUUUAAGUUAGACUUCCAAUCUCUCCACCUAUUGUUCAUGAUAGCCAUCAGUUUUCUUUUAGCAUUGGGGUGAUCUGUGGUAAAUCAUUUCUACAACAAACAAAUUUACACAUAUAUUAAAUUACCUUCAAAGUGCUUAAUGUCAAAUUCUAUAAAAUAUUAUGAUUAAUAACCUGAAUUUCUUCCCAAGCCCUUGUCAUGUUAGCCUUUGUCAUAUUGAACCAUGUUGGAGUACUUAUUGGAAAAAAUUCUCCAUUACGAGCAAGACACCUGAGAAAGGUUGUUAACUUGUUGGUGUCUCCCCCAACAGGUUGACCACUUAAUUUGCAUCAUAAAUUACUUUCUUGGGUGCAUCAAUAUUUGACCAUAACUUUGCUCCCAUCGUUGGUCCAUGCUUUCUUUUAGGUCGAGAACCUAAAAGAGAGAAAGAAUCAUGAAAGAAAAUGAAAGAAACAAAGAGAAAAUAGCUACCUAACAACACAUCAAGCAACAUCGGAGGAGAGGCAAUUCAAAACGAAGAUAUAUUGACACAAUGUUGUUGUAGCUACAAGGUAGAAACAAUUGGAGAAGAUUUUCUAAUACUCAUUUAUAUCUACAACUGAUUUCUAGUGGAUAUGAGACAUUGUUUCACAACAAGUUCAGACAAAACUUUGUGGACUGUGGAGAGCCACAAAUUUAACUUAAAAUAGCCACCAAAGUCCAAAAGUAGCAAGACCAACUACAUGGGCAGCUCAACAAAACCAUGUAUCCAUGUCAGAACCAGGUAAGACAGAUAUUUUUGAAAAAUACUUUAUAGCUAUUUAUAACCAACUCACCCAAAGAAAAAUUCAGGUGAUUAGUGUUAAAGAACAUAGAAAUAUUACAAGACCUCGCAAAAGUAGCGACAUACAAGUGGCUUUCAAGCAACAAUUAUUGUGCUAAGAUCUAGAUUUAUUGGAACAAUGCAACACAAUUUUAAUAUAAAACCUCAAUAAUCUCAAUUUGAACUUAGCUUGAAGAAGUACAUUAUCAGCAAUUAUUAUAAGUGUAGAAGUUUCCUUCAUGACAAUGCAAGUAUAAGUGUAGAUAUAUGCAUGGUACUAGUUUCAGAAACUCUGCUGCCUAUACUUGAACUAGUGCCAGUUUCAAGAAUCAAGAUGCAUUGUGUUUAUGUUCUUGUAUUCAGUGUCUGUAAUAAGUUGAAACACUGUUGUAACUUAGAAUAAUGUAUUCCUGUAGUGAUUAUGUUUUAUGGAACUCUUUAUUAUCUCUAAAAUGUGGUUGAGUUUGUGUAACAAAUUCUGAACUUAAUUUGUACACAAAUAAUUGAUCCUUUGUGUAUGACAUUCUAAUUUUCACACAAAUAAAUAAUUGAGCCUUUGUAACACAUUCUAAACUUAAUUUGUGCUUGUUCAUUAGUAAUUUGAACCUCCUUAUGGUGUUGGACUUGGACCUGUCAAGGGAUAGCUAGCGAAAGUGGUUGUGUUGCCUUGCACCAUAUGUAUGUAUUUGCAAACCAUUUAUUAGACUCAUUUAUUUUUAGAGGUAUAUACCUUCAGCAUUCUCAUGAAUACUUUUCUCCUUUGCAUUCAUCGGCAUGGAUAUCAUUAUCUUCAUUUUCAUUAAUUUUCGGGCCAUUGGAACAGUUAGCACGAGAUCUAGAUGUUCUGUUAGAAGCCAUUAAAGCAACUUGAGAAACAAAAAUAUGAAUUCAAAAUAGUAAAGAAUAUCAAUUCAUAAGCUCAACAGUACUCCCUAAUCAAUACAUCAGCUCCAAGCAUAUUAGUAUAUAGGAGAAAAACUUAAUAGUACUCCCUAAUCAAAGGCCAGCAGAAAGAAAGGUAGUAGGAAAAGUCAAAAAACUUUCAAGCAUAUGAAUACAUUAGUAGUAUGUAUAUGAUCCUCACUCUUGCAGACAUUUUGGAUAUUCAUUAAAAGUAGCAAAACCAACCUAUAAUUAGUUCGAAAGUAGCAAAACAUAUUAUACAAUUAUGAAAUGCAGAUUCAAAUAUCUAUCUUUUGUUAGACAUAGACAUGAUCUAUCAAUUGUGACGUUUAUCCUCUUCAUUCUUCCUCAUCUUCAUUUUCCUCACUAUCACCCUCCUCUUCAUCUUCGGGACCCUCAUAUUCUCUUUCUCCUUCGUCUCCGUCUUCGUCUUCAUCUUCAUCAACAAUAUGUUCAAUCAUUCAUCUUUUGAAACGAGAUAUAUAAAUUUGAGAUCCUAUUUUUCACUUACUUUUAAUUCUUUUUCGUCCAUUUUCAACUAAUUCAGCAUCAAUGUCAUUCCUAACCCAAUUUAUGUUUUCAAUAUCAACUUCUACAACUAGAGUGAUGAAUUCUUCAUUGGUAUUGGGUAACUCGUCACUAUCAGAAUCUACUUCAGCAUCUUCACAUAAAUCUCUCGAAUUUAUUCGUAUAAACACACGUCAAUUGUUUUCCCUUUGAUCAUCAACAUAAAAUAUUUGUUGAACCUGAGAAGGCAUUACAAAGGGCUCAUCGGUUGAACCAAACUUUUGAUAAUUUACAAGCGUGAAGCCAUAGUCAUCAGUUUUGACCCCUCUAUCACGUGCUAAACUGUCAUACCACUUAAAUUUGAAUAGAACAACUUUGCUAGAUCCAUAAUAAUCUAAUUCAACAACAUCUUCCAAAAUACCAAAGUAUUCAACUACAUCUUCCUUAGGAUUUCGGUCUCUAGCAAAGGAAUAUCCACGAGUAGUUGCUACCACAUAUACCCCACUAUUAUGCGUUCUCCUCUUACUCAUAACUUGUAGAAUGUAAUCGAUACCCAUUUACCAAAUAACCAUCUCCUCUCCUGCUUAUCAAAUUUGGGCCAAAUGCACGAGCUUGAACUUCCUUUGAAGCAUCAUUAUUCAUAGUUGCCAUCUACAAAAUGGUUGCGAUAUAAGCAAAUUCCAUCCAUUUAUUAUUAAUAACCAUUACAAAAUUUUGCAUAAAAUUACGUUCACAUAAUGUAGUACUUAUAUAAUUCUUAAACCAUUCAGGAAAUUCCUUUUUCUUAGCAUUGUUAAUUUCCCUUGGCGUCGGUUUUUGCUUACGCUUUCCACGUCGUAACAUAUAUGAAUCUUUCCAAAUACUACAAACAAAUAAACAAACAAUUUUUUUUAUCAUAGCUAGCUGGCCGGCUAACAAAAGUUAUUAAUAUUGCUCAAAUAAAUGUCAUUCUUUAUUUACUCACCUUAGAUAUGACUCAACCUCUGUACAAUUGAAUAGCACAUAAAUGCGUGCACUCUUGACAUCAUCGCCACAUAGAGUACAAACUUUUGUGACAUUAAGAAAUCGACCUAUGUUUUUGAAUACAGAGAAACUUGAUUCACCUUGUUUGUAUCGAACUUCAUUUCUUCCAACUCGUUUCCAUGCAGUAUUAUUUUGACUCAAAUAUCUUGAGCAAAAUGUAACACAUUCUUCAGCAAUAUACCUGUAAGACCCCAACUUUUAUGAAUAAAGAAUGAUUUUUCUCGAAAUAUAUUUUUGAAUAUUAUGGUGUGGAUAUGAUAUUAUGUUAUAGUUGUGGGUAAUAUUUAUAAAUUUUGCAAAGUAAGCAAGUUGUUAUAAAAUAUUCGAUUGGUCGGGGAAUAUUCAUUUUAACAGGGAAUAUUCGUACGACGGCACAAUCAUUCGUGGACCCCACAACGGAAGUAUUUUCGUAGUUAGAAAAUGACAGAAUUAUCUUUUUAUAAAAAUAACGGCAAAAGUUUUACCGUUAAACUAUUGAACCACCCGGUGGUAAAAGUACAGUAAUACGCGUGGUUGCAUAGUAGCACACAGUAUUGAUUAUUGAUGCUUACGUGAGAAGUCACUCAGUUAUACUUAAUUAUUGCUACAGUAAUUACUGCAUAAUAUCUCUCAUAUUAUUGAUUCAAUUAUUUUCACAUUAUCAAUAUUUUAUAUUAUUAAAUCAAUAAUUGAGAUGACAAAAUUAUUCAUAUUGUUAUUUGCAAUAUUGACGAUGUCUAGAAAGUUCUGUCGAGGAGAGGUUUGGUCACUUAAUUGCGCGCCAAUAGGGAGAAAUCCUUAUUAGAAAGCCCCCUCUUUCCUAAGAAUGAUCUGGUUAUUAAAUAUUAUGAGUUAUAAUAUUAAUGAUGAAUAAGUUCAUGUUGAUUAAAAAUGAAAUUGAUAGUUCCAUUGUGUUGGGAUUAUUAGUGUUAGUGGAAAUCGACAUUUAUUUUGAUAAUAAUUGAUUUCUGACCAAUCGGGUAAUUAAUCGGAUAAAUGAGCAAUUAAUUUCUUUUAAUUCACAUGCUUAUAACUAUUUGUUCACAUAUGUGUAUUAUUGAUUUACAUGCAUGUACUAUUAGGGGAGGUGGUACAAGAUUGAUAAUACUUGCAUGACUAAAUUAAAAAUGGAGGUAUAGAUAAAUGUACUAUACUGUAACUAUUUUUUUCACAUGUAUAGAACUAUCGAUUCACAUGAAUGUACUAUUGAUUCAUAUGAUGUACUAUUAGGGGAGGUGGUGCAAGUUUGAUAAUACUUGCAGGACUAAAUUAAAAAUGAAGGAAAAGAUGAAGGUAUUAUGCUGUAAUAUUUCGAGUCCCAAAACGUGCAAUUAUCGAAACUAUAUUUUCCUAUAAAUAGAAGCUCAUUCUUCUAUCAUUCUCACCAAUUCACUAAGACUCAAAAGAGCAAUUAUAGAGAGAGAAGCUUUAGAGAGAGAAGAUAUAGAGAGAAAGAAGAAGAGAAGUCUGCUACUUCACUAUUCCAGUAUGCAGUCUUCUUCUAAGGUAAUGGAUGUUAUUUAUUUCUUAUUCGUAAGGGAUAUUAUUUUGUUCAGUAUUCAUAAGGAAUAAUAUUUUCUUCCAUACUCUGUAGUAUGUGAGUAAUAUUAUUUCAUCCCGUAUUCCUGAUUAUACCCUCAUUUUGUUAAAGUAUUGCUUCUAUACUCCGUGAAAUUAGUAGAAUAUCCUUGAAAUUUGUGCUUGAUCUAGUAUCGUUUCACAAGGAUAUUUUCUGCACAUUCUUGUUAAAUUUUAAGCUUUUCAUGCCAGAGUACUGUCCAUGAGUACUAUUAAUUUAUACGGUACUAUUCAUAAAGUACUAUUCGCGGAUACUUUUCACAAAGUACUAUUCAUGAAGUACUAUUCACGAGGUACUAUUCCUGAAGUACUAUUCACGGGGUAUUAUUCACCCAGGUACUAUUCACCCGGAGUACUAUUCAUGACAAAAAUUGAUUUCUUUUCGGUCCAAAUUAUUUUUGAUACAAUAUCAUUCUUGAAUUUUACUCCAUAAAGCAGUAUUAUGUUGGCAAUUUGAUUAUUAUUGAAUUCUAGAUAAAUUAAAUUAUAAAUAUUUAAAAAUUUAUCCUUUGUUUUCUUUUAAUUGAAUUCUUAUAUCAUUGUCAUCAUCCUCAUACUUAUAUUGUGAUGAAAGUCAUCUUUGGCUUACGUGCAUAGAUGGACUGUUGAUUGGUAUGAUUAUGACCAGGGAUCAUUCGGUAUAAUCAUGACCCGUAAUGUUACAAAUGAUGUGGUAAAAGUCCUCAUUGGCCUGUAGUGCAUAAAUGGACAGUUGUUGGUAUGAUUAUGACCAGGGAUUAUUCGGUAUAAUCAUGACCAUUGAUGAUUACAUGAAUAUCCUUGGCCCGUAAUGCAGGGAUGAUUCGAUAAUGUGGUUUAUUUAUUAAGCUGAGUCUCAGCGAUAAAGUUGAUGAAAAACUUUUUAAAUCAUAGAAGAUAGUAGAUAUCAUGCUCUACUUGACUCUUUUAAUCGAUUGUUUUUUCCGCUGUAGUUAAACUUGUUGUCUAUUAUAUUCUAUCAGUUUAACAUUGUGGAAGGCUAACGAUAACUUAUUCUGCAUUAUCUUAGUCAUAAUAUUUUUUACUGGGCUAAUUGAGCUCACCCUUUUGCUUUCAUUAUUCUCUUUAGGAAAUGAGAACGUAGCCGGGACUAGUCGGGGAACAGAGUGAUGGUCCGAGAUGGUGUUAUAGUAUUCCUCACUAUUCUAUGAAAUAGUAUGACAAUAAAUGUAAUGAGGACUCCAUUUGAGUUUGGAUAUUGUCUAGAAGACAAUAUUCAUGUAAAAACUCAGCUAUGUUUUGUCGUAUUUUUAUACAACAGUUGUAUUAAAGAAGUUGUAUUUGAUUUUUGUACCAUGUAUUUGGCAACUCAAGAGGGGUGAUGUAUACAUAUUUUGGGGGCGUCAUAAUACCCUUCUACAAUUGACCCUUCUGGACAACUUCUGUUGCGAAUAUACCCUUUUAACUUGCCCAUGUAUCUUUCAAAAGCCCACAUUUAUCGAUAUUUCACAUUUCCAGUUAUCUUCGCCUCUUCAGCAAGGUGGACACACAAAUGUACCACUAUAUCAAAGAAAGCAGGAGGAAACACCAUCUUAAGCUUGCAAAGUAUUAACGGAAUUUUCUUGUUCAACCGUUCAUAAUCUUCCGAUGUGUUAUAGUUGGAACAUAAUUCUCUAAAGUAGUUACAAAGUUCAAUUAUUGUUGAGCAGACAUGUCUAGGAAAGUUGGUACAUCGUAUUGCUAUUGGAAGUAAUUGUUGCAUUAAAAUAUGGCAGUCGUGACUUUUAAGACCUGAGAUCUUACCCCCUUCAAAUUGAUGCAACGUGAAAUAUUUGAAGCAUAUCCAUCAGGUACCUUAACAUGUUUCAACACUUGCAAGAAAUCAUGUCUUUCUUUCUUAGACAUUGAGUAGCUUGCAGCUGGCAAAAGGUACUUUGAAUUGCUUGCUUGCACGGGUAUUGGUGUGAUGCCCCCAAAAUAGGUAUACAUCACCCAUCUUGGGUUUCCAAAUACAUGGUACAAAAUUCAAAUACAACUUAAUUAUACAACUAUCAUGUAACAUACGACAAAACAUAAGCUGAGAGUUUUAAAAUGAAUAUUGUCUUCUAGACAAUAUCCACACUCAAUGGAGUCCUCAUUACAAUUAUUAUCAAACUAUUUCACAGAAUAGUGAGGUCUACUAAUGCACCAUCUCGGACCAUCACUCCGUUCCCCGACUAGUCCCGGCUAUGUUCUCAUGUCCUGAAGAGAACAAUGAAAGCAAAAGGGUGAGCUAAACUAGCCCAGUAAAAAAUAUUAUGAUUAAGAUAAUGCAGAAUAAGUUAUCGUUAGCCUUCCACAAUGUUAAAAUGAUAGAAUAUAAUAGACAACAAGUUUAACUGCAGCGGAAAAAGCAAUCGAUUAAAAGAGUCAAGUAGAGCAUGAUAUCUACUAUCUUCUAUGAUUUAAAAAGUUUUUCAUCAACUUUAUCACAGAGACUCAACUUAAUAAAUAAAACACAUCAUCGAAUCAUCCCUGCACUACGAGCCAAGGAUAUUCAUGUAAUCAUUAAUGGUCAUGAUUAUACCGAAUAAUCCCUGGUCAUAAUCAUACCAACAACUAUCCAUCAAUGCACUACAAGCCAAUGAGGAUUUUUACCACAUCAUUUGUAACAUUACGGGUCAUGAUUAUACCAAAUGAUCCCUGGUCAUAAUCAUACCAAUCAACAGUCCAUCUAUGCACGUAAGCCAAAGAUGACUUUCAUCAUAAUAUAAGUAUGAGGAUGAUGACAAUGAUAUAAACAUUAAUAAAAAAAAAAUCAAGGAGAAUUAUUAAAGACUUUAAAUUUAUCCAGAGUUUAAAAAUAUCCAAAUUGUCAACAUGAUACUGCUUUGUGGGGUAAAAUUCAAGAAUAAUAUCCCUGUAUCAAAAAUAAUUUGGAAAGAAAGGAAAUAAAUUUUUUAGUGAAUAGUACCCCAUGAAUAGUACCCUAUGAAUAGUACUUCAAGAAUAGUACCUCGACAUGAAAAAUGCCCCGAAUACCUGAGUGAAUAAUAUUUGAGUGAAUAAUAACUGGGUGAAUAGUAACCUGUGAAUAGUAACUCGUGAAUAGUACCCCGACACGAAAAGUGCCCCGAAUACCCGAGUGAAUUAUAUUCUAGUGAAUAGUAACCUAUGAAUAGUACCCCAGUGAAAAUAUUGAUAUUUAAUAAGAGAGUUCAGAUCAAUAUUCCAAUAAAACAAUACUGGAUGAAGCGCAAAAAUCAAGGAUAUUCCACUAAUUUCAAGGAUUAUAGAAGCAAUAGUUACCAUAGUAAGUUUAAAUUUAAUAAUAUGAAAAGAAAUAACAUACGAAACUGCAAAUGGAUUUUCACCUGUCAUACGGUACGUAAUUCGCGUAGACAGGUUAUUCCGACAUAUUAAAGAAUGAAUACGAAAAAUAGUAUUCCUUCUGAAUACGAAAGAAAUAAUACCCCUUACGAAUACAACAAAUAAUAUCCCUUACCUUAGUAGAAGACUGGAUACUGGAAUAGUGAAGUAGUAGAAUGCUCUUCUUCUUGCGCUCUAUAGUUUCUCUUGUGAGUCUCAAUGAAUUGGUGAGAAUGAAAGAAGAAUUAAGCUUCUAUUUAUAGGAGAAAUGACUAAAUAGUAACUAAUUCACGAACAGCCCAGAUUAAUUUACUAUUAGAACGGACGGUCCAUAUUGAUUACUAUUAAAACCACAACCGACGGUCCAGAUUGAUUUACUUUUAAAACCACCUAUGACGGUCCAGAUUGAUUUACUAUUAAAACCACCAUCGACGGUCCAAAUUGAUUUACUAUUAAAACCACCAUCGACGGUACAGAUUGAUUUACUAUUAAAACCACCAUCGACGGUCCAGAUUGAUUUACUAUUAAAACCACCACCAAUGGUCCAGAUUGAUUUAACUUAUUACACUUUAGUACCCCUAAAGUUUUCCAAGUUUGCAUUAUUCCCCUCUAACUUUUAUAAUUCACUUAUCUUCAAUAAACACAUUCUUAAUACUUCAACAAUUAUUCAUCAUUAAUAUUAUAAGUCACAAUAUUUAACAACCAGAUCAUUCCUAGGAAAGAGGGGGCUUUCUGAUAAAGAUUUCUCCUUAUUGGCGCGCAAUUAGGUGACAAACCCCUUUCCUCGACAGAACUUUCUAGACAUUGUCAAUAAUGUAAUAAUCAUACGAAUAAAUGAGUUUUCUCAACUAUUGAUUUAAUAAUAUAAAAUAUUGUGCAGAUGAUACUGUGACAAUAAUUAAAUCAAUAAUAUGAGAUAUUAUGCAGCAAUUACUGUUGUAAUAAUUGAGUAAAACUGAGUGACUUCUCACGUAAGCAUCAAUAAUCAAUACUGUGUGCUACUGUACUUUUACCACUGGGUAGUUCAACAGUUUAACGGUAAAACUUUCACCGUUAUUUUUAUAAAAAGAUAUUUUUGUCGUUUUCUAACUACGACAAUACUUCCGUUGUGGGGUCCACCAAUGAUUGUGCCGUCGUACAAAUAUUUCCUGCUAAAACGAAUAUUCGCCGACCAAUCGAAUAUUUUAUAACAACUUGCUUACUUUACAAAAUUUACAAAUAUUACCCACAACUAUAACAUUAUAUCAUAUCCACACCAUAAUAUUCAAAAAUAUAUUUCGAGAAAAAUUAAUUUUUAUUCAUAAAAGUUGGGGUCUUACAAUUGGAUGGAGCUAUCUUCUUAUACCCAUUUUCAUCAAGUCCAAUCCUGCUUUUAAAUUAUCUUUUAACUUUCCUUGCACACUCAACAAUGUCCCAAUCAGGCUAUCACAAAUGUUUUUGGCAAUGUGCAUUCCAUCUAGAUUGUGGCGCAACAAAAGUAUCCGCCAAUAUGGCAAUUCAAAGAAAAUAGAUUUCUUCCUCCAAUUAUGUUUUAAGUCAUGGGGAAUGGUCUUCGUGCUAGUGGGUGUCUUUCCAAAAGUGACAUUAAUGGCAUUAACUUGUUCAAGAAUAUCAAAUCCUGACGGCACCACCGGAGCUUCACUAUGGUCACAUUCUCCGUUAAAUCUUCGUGUAUCAAACCUAUAACUAUGACCUGACUCCAGGAAACAACGAUGCCCGAUAUAACAUUCCUUGCUUUUUAUCUACAAGAAUGAGUGUUCAUUUGACAUGAUGGACAAGCCAACUUACCUUUAAUGCUCCAACCAGAUAACAUAGCAAGAGAUGGAAAAUCACUAAUUGUCCACAACAGUCCAGCACGCAUUUGGAAAUUUGUACCAGUAGAUGCAUCAUACGUUUCAACCCCAUAACUCCAUAGUAUCUUCAACUCCUCAAUUAAAAGUUUCACAUACAUCAAUAUCAUUACAUGUAGAGUUUGGACGAGGUAUUAACAACGAGAUGAUAAAAUACUCCUGCUUCAUAUACAUCCAUGGUGGUAAGUUAUAAACAACUGUCACUGACCAUAUACUAUACAUUGACCCAUGGGUAAAAGGACUCAUGCCAUCAGUGGACAGUCCGAGUCUUACAUUUCGAUGUUCUUGAGAGAAUGUAGGGUUCAUUGUAUCCAAAUACUUCCAAGCUACAGAGUCAGUUGGAUGACGAUUAACUUCAUCUUUCCGUCGCUUCACAUGAUGCCACGUCAUGUAUUUUAUAAUUUCUACAGACAUAAAUAGCCUCUGUAAUCUCGAAAUUAAUGCUAAAUAACGUAAUUGCUUCACAGCUACUUUGCUCCUCUUAGCAUUUGUAUCUAUUUGUGCCUUCUCUGGUACAACCAUCUCAGUCUGCUUCCAUCUCAAUGAUUUGCAAACUGUACAAGACUCUAAUUUUUCAUUCUCCCUCCAAAAGAGCAUACAAUCAUUCUCGCAUACAUCAAUCUUCUCAUAACUAAACCCUAAAUGGCCAACCAUUUCCAUUUUCUUCAUUUCAUAAAAAUUAUCAGGCAAGUUUGCAAAUGCUGGAAAUGAUGACUUGAACUUACGGAGCAAAUCAUCAAAGGACAAAUCAGUCCAUUUGCUAACAUUUUUAUGAUUGAAAAGCCAUAUAAUGAAUGAAAGGACUGUCUCAAUUUCACAUCUAGGAUAUAAAGGUUGAUUGGCCUCUGACAUGUACUUUUGGUAUUUUGAAGCUUCAGCCGACGAUUCCACACCGUGAUCCCUAAAUAUAUCAUUUAUCAUCUCAGGCAUACGAUGAUCAUCUUUGGAUUAUGAUGGUUCGUCGUGAACAUCAUCAUUGCUCACAUCCCUAACAAUCUCAUCUUCCCCUUGAUGCACCCAAUUCGUGUAGCCAAACAUAAAUCCAUCACAAAUCAAAUGUUCACGAAUAGUUGUUUGAAUCUGGUAUCUUCCAUUCACACAAUUCUUACAUGGACAAGGAAUUCUUCCUGUGACCAUGCCCACUUUUUCGAAACCAAAGUUCAGAAAUCUAUCUAGGCCUGCAAGAUAUUUGCUAGAAUAACUAGGUAAUUCUAUCCACCCCUUAUCCAUAAUAUUGUGUCCCUAAUUUAAAUUGAAAUACCAUCCAAUGUUAGGUACCAAACAAGAAGCAUCAAGAAAGCAUGUGGUAGGGACAAAGAGAAAUUGAUGGCGAAAAAAGAUGAUGAAAGUAAAAAAGGAAUGGAUAUGGACAGGGCAAAUCGUUGGAGGUCAACAUUGAACGAAGUUGUAGGCUUAGAAUGUGGUCCGAACAUCUCUUGUUAAUCAAACAAUAUAAUUCCUCUUAUUACAUCAAGGUUACAAAUCGAUCCGCCUAAGCAUAUUACAUCAAGAUUAUAAAUUUAUUCUAAAGAGUGUGAUCUUUUAGUUUAGUUUUUCGUUUUCCAUAUUCUCAUCAAUUUCAAAGACCGCAGUAAAUCCAUUUAAUAACUCGAACAAUGUAUGCAACCCUCAACCAUAAAAGUGAAACAAAUGUAAACAACAACAUUUGAAAUUAUGUGAAUGCAACUAAAAUCGGUCCGCCUAAGAAUAUUACAUCAAGGUUAUACAUUUAUUUUAAAGAGUUUGAUUAUUUAGUUUAGUUUUUCCUUUAUCAUAUUCUCAUUAAUUUCAACGACCACAGUAAACUCAAAUAAAAACUUUAUGUAAUAAACAAAAAUGAGUGUCAACAAUAGUAUACAUCUCUAGAAUCAAACUGAUAUAAACAAAAACUAAUGGUCAUAAAUGCAUAAAAAUAGUAAUUAAGACAAUUAAAAUAGUAGACUAGAGAAGUUAGGAAAAGAAACUUGUAGCACCGGUGUAAGAAGACAGUUGCCUACAUCAAAAAGAAGCAAAACUAUAUACAAUAUUCAGAAACGAAAUUACCUCAUUAAAAAAAACAAAUUUGCAUUAUAUGGACUUCAAGAUGCAUGUUAGAGAAUUUUCCCUAGUUUAUCAAUGAAGUAUUACGGCAACUAGGAAAUCAGGGUUCAAUUCUCAUUGCAAAUUAUUUAAUUUAAAAAAAAUAAAGAAAUAUUUAUGCAUGCCAAUUGUAAGGGAAGUUCUAAUAAUGUGUAGGGAAUUACUCUGUAGCCCAACCUAGCUGCUCAGCCAAAGGUAUGAUGCCUAUUAAGCUCGGGAAGAAGACCCAACCCUGAAAUCAUACUAAUAAUGUGUAAGUAUCAUACCUUUUAUUGAUGUAUGAUUCCUAGUAAGCUCAACCAAAGCUAUGAUGCCUAUUAAGCUCAGGAAGAAGACCUAAUAAUGUGUAAGUAUCAUACCUUUUAUUGAUGUAUGGCCUACUACCGAAAGAUUGAGAAAUGGUGAGCGAGGAGCGAGAUGGUUGAUCGAAGGACUGAGAAAUGGUGAGAGAUGAGCGAGAUGGGUGAUCGAUCGACUGAGAAAUGGUGACAGAGGAGCGAGAUGGUCGAUCGAUCGACUGAGUUUACUGAUUAGCAAAUAUCUAGACUGAUUUGGGUAAAUUGUUUUUACUAAUUUGGGGAAAAAUAGGAGCUAACAGAUUUUUAUGCGCCCAAAUUACCCUCAGCCCAAAAAAACUCCCUACAUCGACAGCCAAAUAGUGACCGUCGCUAUAUGUAUCCUAUAGCGACACUUCCUCCCCAACCGUCGCUAUAUAUUGAAUUUCUAGUAGUGUAAACAAGUAAAACUGUUGAACCAUCCAGAAAAGUGUGAGUUAUAUAAAUCAAUAUAUCGUGUUUAUAAAAUCCAAUCGAGUGCAACUCAUACCUUACCUUUUUGUUCUUCUGCGAUGAUUUGUCACCUUUGGCAAACCCUUUUCCCUUGUUAUUCUGUAUUAAAAAGAAAAACAUUACAAACCAUGAUACCACUACACCAACAAACUGAAUUAUGACUAAAACCCAAAAAGGGAUUUCCAUGGAACACACCAUAUUAGCGUUAAUAGCGACAUUUUGUUCAUCCAACAUUUCUUGUAUUUUUUGUUUCUUUAACCUCUGCAUCUCCCUCAACCUAGCCCUUUCACGCUUGCUAAUUUCACCAUUAGCCUCUGCAUUUCCAUCCUAAAAAUAAUAUUCCAAUAGACUGUGAACUAACAAUAAAAUGGUAAAACAAAAGACAAGUUAAGUUACAUUACUUUUUAAGUGAUUGAACUAAAAACAAUUGGAACAGAUUUGAGCAGAUUUUCCAGCAUGAAUUGGAACAAAAUGGAACAGAUUUUCCGACAUGAAUUAAAACGGAUUUUCCAUCAGUUCCAUCUUCGUCUGUUAUCCUCCUUUCACAAUUGGAACAAAUUUUUCAGCAUGAAUUUGAUAAGGACCAAUGUUGUGCCCGUUCAAUAUCACAUUCCUGAAAUAAAACAAGAAAUAGUAGUCAAUAUCCCAAUUUUAAAAAUACAGGAGAAUAAAUAUAUGAAUUCUCAGUUCCUUAUCUCAAGUUUUCAAUAAUAAGGAAUCAUCUAAUAAUCAUUCAAACAAAUAAUAAGUUCAGCAAAUUACAAUUUAAUACCAAAAUUCAAACACAACCAAUUCAAACAAAACCCAAAUAACAAACUCAGAGUUUUAAAGAAUUUUAGGAUGAGAGUUAAUUUAGAAGAAAAUAAAACUAUGGUUUCAUAUGAUUUGGGGAAAAUGAAAAUUAGGGUUAUAUAAAUGAAUUUGCGAACUGAUAAUUUACCAACAAUUGAAGUUAAGCCCUAUACCUCUUUAAAUUCUCUCAAAUCAUAGCCAUGCAUAGAUCUUGAAAUUGUUUACAAAAUAAAUGAUGAAAAAAGUGUAAAUUGUUAUUUCGUAGACAAAAAUUUAAGGCCUCUCUUACGAUUCUCUAACAAUAUUGAAGGAACUGAAUGAAGUAUUGAUUACAGACUGUCUGGGUCAGAAUUUUUUGUUAAUCUAUCGACUCGAUUGUUAAAAUACAUAGAGGAUGCUCAAAAGCAUGGGACACAAGUUUGGAUCAAUUUGAUACAAGUCCAAUUCAGAAAUUAGAGAAGAUUUUAUUUCCUAAAAUAAUAGACAGAUUAUACUGUAUUUUGUUGCCUUUUGUUUUAGGUAAUUAGCACGAUUUUAGGGAUUUUCAGAUACUUAUCAAAUUUUAUUAUAAUUAGGAUUUAUUAUUAGCUAAGAUUUACUUUCUAAAUAGGUUUCUAUUAUUGUAUAGAAAUAGGAAUUUCUAUUCCAAAUUGGUUUGUAAUUCCUAUUAGGAUUAUGAUUUUUGUAACUAGUAUAAAUAAGGGUUACAUCUAUUGUAAUUAACAACAUUUAAUAUCAUUAUUAUUAUUCAAUAUAUUUGUGAGGUUUAUUAUUUUCUUUGGUUCUUUGAAGAAUUCCCAAGUAAUUUCUUAGUUUAUUUUUUGAGAUUCAAUUUGACUUAUCAUACAACAAUACAUAUUUGUGUGUGGCGUCUUCUACCACAUCAAUCGUUGAUUGUAUCGAGGUUCCUGUUUCAAUAUAAACCAGGGGUUUAGGCAUCAUUGGUGUUCCAUUCAAUGCAGAUUUCAUUGCUAAAUUGAUUGUACCAAGGUUCUCGUCUCAAUAUAGACGUUGGGUUGAAGUGUCGAGAGAGUUCCACUCUAUCAACUGUGCUAGAAACGAUCCGGGCGACGACCACGUCACGCAAGCGUGUUGUGGAGCUAUCAUUUGGUAUCAAAUCUAAGUUUUUCUAGCUAGUUACUUAUCUUAAUUUUCUAUCGAAAUAUAAAUUGCAAAAAAAAAAAUUUAAAUUAGUGAAAAAAAGAGCAAAGAAAAAUUUUCAAAUUAUUUUUCUACUGUGCUAACCAAAUUUGUAGCACAUCAUCAAAUCAUCAAAUUCCAACCAAAAUUUCAUUUCGUUCCAUUCAUUAUCAAUUUCAACUAAGCAACAUCAUAACUUUUCGGAGAGUACAAAGCGAUCACCCAUAAUACUUUGUGGUAUCUCGAUAUUCAUACCUUAUAUAUUUUGUUCUUAAUAAGUUACUUUUGAAUUGCAUUGUAAAACUGUGAAUUUAUUUGGUGAAUUCAAAAAGAACCUAUAAGAAAGAAUAUUAGAGGUAAAAGGAAAGAGUGUGAGUUUAUUAGAGGGUAAAAGCCAAUUGAGCAAUACACGAGAGAUUCAUCAUUGUUUGAGUGAAACACGUAAGGGAGUGUGAGGAAAUUUUUUUUAUCUACUAACUUUUGUUUUGCAACGAACAUAUAUGGCUACAAUUAUGAAAGUUCUUAUGGGUCUCGAAGGAAUACUUUCCAAUGUAAUAUUGAUACAGAAGCAUAUCUGAGAUGGGAUAGAAAAAUGGAGCGAGAGUUUGACUAUUAUGAUUACUUCGAGCGGAGGAAGGUCAGCCGGGUAGUUCAAGAGUUCUCUAAUCAUGCAAUUUUAUGGUAGGAGUUUUGCAAAAAUUUUGGAAAGCAUUCGAUCGAGACAUGGGCAUAAUUAAAAAUAGCAAUGAAAAAGCGGUUUGCUUUAGUACAGCGAGAUAGGAGGGAGGACUAUACAUCUCAAAGACAUGUAAACCAACCUUCAAGGCAAUCAACAUUAGAAGACGAUAGAAGGGUUCACCGACAUGUAAACAAGGAGGAUUCCCAUUGGAGAAAACCACAAUUAAGACAUUUUAAAGGCAUCUAAUAACAUAAAAGAAGACAUCAUGGAGGCGUGUCGCAAGGGAUUGGAGGAUUGUUGGAUGCAACUACGAAACACUUCUAAGGUGCAAAGGGAGCAAGUUCAGCAGAGGGGGGAAGAAUAUAUAAUCGAAUAUGCAGUCCAAAGAGAGCUAUUGGGUUCUAAUGUUCACGAUGAUAUCCAUGAUCAAAAGCAAGUUGGUGAACAAUCGAAAGAAAAUGAUCAAGAGGAUAAGUUUGUAAAAAAAAUUACAUGUAAAAAUAAUCGACAAAAAGAAAUUUAUCUAAAGAUUGAUAGUGAAAUAGAAAAAGUUGAAAAGAGUGAGGAAGAAAACAAAAAAGAGAUUGAGAAAAUGAGAAUGAAAAAAUAGUGAGAUUAAAAAUGAUGAGAGAGAGAAAACAAACAAGAGAUUGAGAAAAAAAAUAAGUGACUAUGAAAAAGAGAGUGAGUUAGAAAGUGAGUUUAUUUUGAACAGUCAAUGACUAUACUCGUACAAGACCACACUUUUGAAUACCAAUAAGGUUAACUCUUCUUUGUCUAGUUCUGUUAUUUCUCUUGUGCAGGUUGUUGAUGAUAUACCUCGUGCUAUCAUUCCAUGUUGAUCAGCUGAUAGUAUUCCCGAGGAGACGAUGGAGUUACCGAGGCGGGUUGGAGAUUUGAUGAAAUUAAGUGGGUAUCGUGAGAGAAGACAUGAGUUCUUGUGCUAAUUAUGAUAUUGAUGAGUAGAUUUUAUACCUAUGAAUCCGAUAUUAUUAAACUUAAUUAUUGCUAUCUUUAAGUUUUUUUUUAGUAUCUUUUUAUGUGUUUUUGUGUUUAUUUCUUAUAGGUUGGAGCUGGAGGGACAAAUUGGUCAUUUGGGAGAAGAAAAAGAUCAAAAAUCACUAAAAUUAGAGAUGAGUGGCAUUUUUGUAAAUACAUGGUCCUAGUCAAGCGCCUAGGCGCUUGGAAAUAACCUGGGUUGAGCGUCUAGGCGCUCAUGUGCGGCUAAAGAGGGAUUUUGCCACUGAUGAGUUAAUUUUCGAAGCCAAAAAGGAAUUUGAAUAAGGGUUUUGACUAAUACAAAUAGGAGAAGACUUUAGAAAAGACGUAUCACUCAAUUUUUCAAGAGAUUUGCAGAGAGGACAACGAAGAAAAACACGAAGGAGAAUUGGAAGGGCUGAAGAUCAAAGAGAGAGUAUUGGAGCAAAUUCAGAGUUUCUUCUUCUCUUCCCUAGUUUUAUCUUUUGUAAUUAUCUGGGAUGUUUAGAUUAUUAAUCUGGAUGAUGUUUUUCUUUAUUAUUAUCAUGAACUAAAUUUUCAUUAAGAUUGUAACGAAACUUGGUAUGUAGUUUAAAUUAAACCUUCCCAUUAAAUAAAAGUUGGUUUUUAUUGAAUUGUUUAUUAUAUCGUUUGCUUAUUGAUUAAUUGUUUGGUCAGCAAUUACUGUGAUAAUCUAUAUAAAAUUGGAAGAUGGAAUAUAGAUUUAGAUCUGGAUAUAAUAACAUCUGUUCAUAUAAUCUGAUUAGGGUUAAUAUGAUUAGCAUAUAGGAUAGGAAUAUACCUAUGUGUCUUUUGUAUCCAUUGAAAGAAUUUGUGCGUAAAGCUCUAAUAAACUUGAUUCACAUAGGAAUAUAGUGAAUUAAUUAAAUAGGGUAUUCCUUGUAAUUAUGUGUCUUAAUGAUUGGAUUAAGGAGGAUUUGUUCACGUGUCUUUGGAAAACUUUAGGGGUACUAAAGUGUAAUAAGUUAAAUCAAUCUGGACCAUUGGUGGUGGUUUUAAUAGUAAAUCAAUCUGGACUGUCGAUGAUGGUUUUAAUAGUAAAUCAAUCUAGACCAUCGAUUGUGGUUUUAAUAGUAAAUCAAUCUGGACCGUCGGUGGUGGUUUUAAAAGUAAAUCAAUCUGGACCGUCGGUGGUGGUUUUAAAAGUAAAUCAAUCUGGACCAUCGGUUGUGGUUUUAAUAGUAAUCAAUAUGGACCAUCCAUUUUAAUAGUAAAUCAAUCUGGACCGUUCGUGAAUUAGUUACUAUUUAGUCAUUUCUCCUAUAAAUAGAAGCUUAAUUCUUCUUUAUUUCUCACCAAUUUACUGAGAUUCACAAGAAAAGCAAUAGAAAGAAAAACUAUAGUGAACAAGAAGAAGAGUAUUCUGCUACUUCACUAUUGCAGUAUCCAGCCUUCUACUAAGGUAAGGGGUUUUAUUUCUUUCGUACUCAUAAGGAAUGCUAUUUUUCGUAUUCAUCCUUUAAUAUGUCGGAAUAACCUGUGCGCGGAUUACGUACCGUAUGACAGGUGAAAAUCCAUUUGCAGUUUCGUAUGUUAUUUCUUUUCAUAUUCUUAAAUAUAAACUUACUAUGGUAAGUAUUGCUUCUAUAAUCCUUGAAAUUAGUGGAAUAUCCUUGAGUUUUGCGCUUCAUCCAGUAUCGUUUCAUUGGAAUAUUGAUAUGAACUCUUUUAUUAAAUAUCAAUAGUUUCACCGGGCUACUAUUCACGGGUUACUAUUCACCCGAUUACUAUUCACUAAAAUAUUAUUCACUCGGGUAUUCGGGGCACUUUUUAUGUCGGGGUACUAUUCACGAGUUACUAUUCACGGAUUACUAUUAACCCAGUUACUAUUCACUAAAAUAUUAUUCACUCGGGUAUUCGGGGCACUUUUCAUGUCGGGGUACUAUUCACGGGGUACUAUUCCCGAAGUAUUAUUCACAGGGUACUAUUCACCGAAAAAUUUAUUUCUUUACUGUCCAAAUUAUUUUUGAUACAUGGAUAUUAUUCUUGAAUUUUACUCCACAAAGCAAUAUCAUGUUGACAAUUUGGACAUUAUUGAAUUCUGGAUAAAUUAAAUUAUAAAUCUUUAAAAUUUAUCCUUUACUUUCUUUUAAUUGAAUUAUUAUAUCAUUGUCAUCAUCCUCAUGCUUAUAUUGUGAUGAAAGUCAUCUUUGGCUUACGUGCAUAGAUGGACUGUUGAUUGGUAUGAUUAUGACCAUGGAUAAUUCGGUAUAAUCAUGACCAUUGAUGAUUACACGAGUAUUCUUGGCCCGUAGUGCAAGAAUAAUUUGUGGACGUGAUACUAAUGAAUAUCCUUAGCCCGUAGUGCAGGGAUGAUUCGAUGAUGUGAUUUAUUUAUUAAGUUGAGUCCCAGCGAUAAAGUUAAUGAUAAACUUUUUAAAUCAUAGAAGAUAGUAGAUAUCAUGCUCUACUUGACUCUUCUAAUGAAUUAUUUGUUUCGCUGUAGUUAAACUUGUUGUCUAUUAUAUUCUAUCAGUUUAACAUUGUUGAAGGCUAAUGAUAAAUUAUUAUGCAUUAUCUUAAUCAUAAUAUUUCUUACUGGGCUAGUUGAGCUCACCCUUUUACAUCCAUUGUUCUCUUCAGGAAAUGAGAAUGUAGCCGGAACUAGUCGGGGAACGGAGUGAUGGUCCAAGAUGGUGUUAUAGUAGUCCUCACUAUUCGAUAAAUUAUAGUGUGACAAUAAAUGUAACGAGGACUCUAUUUGAGUUUGGAUAUUGUCUAGAAGAUAAUAUUUGUGUAAAAACUCUCAGCUCAUGUUGUAUAAUUAAAUUUGUAUUUGUAUUCAGUACCAUGUAUUUGGCGACCCAAGAUGGGUGAUAUAUACCUAUUUUGGGGGCGUCACAGUUGGUAUCAAAGCUUAGGGAUAUGAUCCCUGGCUGAGAUGUGAGACAAGAACUAAGAGGGGAGAGACGGAGAAUUCCUUCGCUAGUAUGACCUACCUAAGUUUAUUUGGUAUUUAAUUGGUCGGUCAGAGUAUAGGGAUAAUAUGUGACAUGUGAAUUAACCCUUGUUUUGUGGUAGUGUUUGAAAAUGGCAUCUGAAAAAUGUUGAGAUCAACAAUGAAGCACAUAAGACCGUUGAGUCACCAACGAUCAAUACCUAGGAUAAUGUGAAACAAGAAGACAAUAAUCCUCAGGUAAACAACAACACCGAUCAAAUGAUAAACGAUGGGAUUUUCAGAGGCUUUAUGCAAUUUAUGCAACAUCAGGCGAGAGCGGCUCCUGUUCAAAAUGCAGCUGGAAACACUGGCAACUUACAGAUGGUCACCGCUAAGUAAUUCAAGGAGUUGGGACCAUCGAAGUUUUGGGGAAAGCCAGAACCACUUAAGGUGGAGACGUGGAUAAAGCAGAUCACCAAGAUAUUUGAUGUCUUGGGAUGCUCCGAGGAGCAAAAGGUUCCCUUUGCCACCUUCAUGUUGAGAGGAGAAGUAGAUUACUGGUGGGAAUCAGUAAUGCGUACUCAGCCUGCCGCACUCAAAAUGUCUUGGGAGAAGUUCGAAGAGUUGUUCAACGACAAGUAAUUUCCCGAAAGUAUUCGUCACAUAAAGGAGGUGGAGUUUAUCAAGUUGGAACAAAACAAUAUGACCGUGUCACAGUAUGAGGCUAAGUUUGCUGAGUUGUCCCGGUUCGCAUCCCAUUUGGUUGAUAAUGAGGAGAGAAUGACGUGAAUGUUUCUACGAGGUUUGAGACCCGAAAUACAUCAAUACCUCAUUUCUCACAAACUAUGUUUGUAUUCAGAUGUUGUAAAUUGGGCUCAGUUAUUGGAGCACGAUAAUGAGUCAACCCAACGAAGAGAGAGCAGCCGGCAAGUCGAUAAUACCAGUGGUAGCAGUCAUCAAAGCGGUGACAAAAAACGUGGAGGGAAUCAAUAUGCUUAAAUGGUAACCACUCCGGUGGUAAUCAUGGCUAAAAUAAUAGAAGUGGAAAUAUCAAGAAGAGGAGAUUCAAUAAUGAUGGAAAGACGUCAGCACCAACACCUGUUGUUUAGGAAGGAGAACGACUACCGGUCGUAUGUUACAAAUGCAGAGGAGAGGGACACAUCAGUCCAAACUGUACACAACAGUCCAAAGAAUGUUACAAUUGUGGAAGAGAAGGUCACCUAGCCCAAUUUUGUCGUGCACCAAAGUCAAGUCCAGCUGAGAUGGAGGCAUCAAAGGCCGUCCCAGACAAGACAAAACUGAUAGUUUAAGGGAGAGCGUUUGUCGUAACCUCCCAAAAAGCAAGGAAUCUAAAUGAGGUGAUCACGGGUAAGCUAAGCAUACACUCUAAUGAAGUCUAUACCUUAUUUCAUACCGGUUCUACCCAUUCUUUUAUUUCUCCUACUUGCGCUCAACGUUUAAAUUUGACUCCGGAGAAAUUAGACUUUAACUUAUCGGUUGAAACUCCAUUGGGGGAAACCUUUAUUACAUCCACUGUUUAUAAGUCUUGUUUGAUUCAAAUCGGUAACCGCACGUUACCUGUCGAUCUUAUUUCCUUAAAAAUACUUUGGUUUGAUGUGAUUUUAGGGAUUGAUUGGUUAACUUCUCAUCAUGCAAAAAUUGAUUAUUUUUAUAAGGUUUUUAGCUUUCAUAUUCCUAACCAACCUAUUAUGCGAAUUUAAGCGACCAAACCACUAAAGUCAAUCAUUGUCAUAUCAAGCCAUAAAGCUAUUCGUUUAUUAAAAAAUUGAUGUCAAGCUUUCUUAGCCCAUGUCAUAGAUUUAAAUAAAAAUAUGUCAGAUUUGAAUGAUAUUUCUAUUGUUAAUAAAUUUCCUGACGUAUUCCCUGAAGAACUUCUUGGCCUACCCCCAGAGCAUGAAAUUAAAUUUUGUAUCGACCUUGAACCCAGUACAAAACCCAUUUCCAAAGCCCCAUAUCAAAUGGCUCCUGUUAAACUUCAGGAGUUAAAGACCCAACUGCAGAAAUUGUUAGACAUCGGUUUCAUUCAUCCUAGUACAUCUCCUUGGGGUGCUUCUAUUCUCUUCGUAAAGAAGAAAGAUGGAAGUAUGUGACUUUGUAUUGAUUAUCGGGAGUUGAAUCAUGUCACCGUCAAAAAUAGGUACCCGUUGUCACGCAUUGAUGACCUGUUUGACCAGUUGCAAGGCGCCAAAUUCUUUUCAAAGAUCGAUCUUCGUUUCGGAUAUCAUCAGUUAAAGAUUAAAACCGAUGACAUCCCAAAGACUGCUUUCAGAACUCGGUACGAGUAUUAUGAAUUCCUAGUCAUGUCUUUUGGAUUGACUAAUGCUCAUGCUGCCUUCAUGGAUAUGAUGAACCGAGUAUUCAAGGAAUAUUUGGAUCAUUUUGUAGUCGUCUUUAUUGAUGAAAUCUUCAUAUAUUUCAAAAGCCGUGAAGAUCAUAAGCAACACUUGAGGCUGAUACUCCAAAAGCUUUGUGAAAACAAGUUUUAUGCCAAGUUGAAGAAGUGCGAGUUUUGGCUUGAGGAAGUAGCAUUCCUUGAACACGUGAUAUCAAAUCAUGGAAUAUCUGUUGACCCAACAAAGAUUGAAGUAAUUCAAAGCUGGGAGCAACCCAAGUCAGUGACCGAAGUACAUAGCUUUCUGGGCUUAGCUGGUUAUUAUCGGAGAUUCGUGGAAGGAUUUUCUCGAAUCGCUACUCCAUUAACUCAGCUGACUCGAAAAGAUAAAAAAUUCGGUUGGAGCGAGGAAUGUGAGAAGAGUUUUCAAGAACUCAAAGGGACACUCAUUUCAGCACCUGUUCUGACAAUACCAUCUGGCUCGGAGGGAUUCGUCAUCUACAGUGAUGCUUCAGGCAAAGGGUUAGGAUGUGUUCUCAUACAAUAUGGGAAAUUCAUAGCAUAUGCCUCUUGACAACUCAAAGAUUAUGAGAGGAAUUAUCCUACUCAUGAUCUAGAGUUGGUAGUUGUUGUCUUCGCACUUAAAAUUUGGAGGCAUUACCUGUAUGGGGAGAAAGUGGAGAUCUAUACGGAUCAUAAAAGCCUUAAAUAUUUCCUCACUCAAAAGGAACUCAACAUGCGGCAACGACGAUGGCUUGAUCUGUUGAAAGAUUAUGAUCAUACCAUCCAAUACCAUCCUAGAAAAGCGAACGUGGUAGCUGACGCAUUGAGUAGAAGAUCAUAUGCGGGUACAAGUGCGAUAUUGUCAAUGCAAAGGCCCAUUUUGUAUGACUUACAAAGGAUGAAGAUAGAGUUAAAGACUCCAGGGACCCAUGUGAUGAUGGCGAAUAUACGAGUAGAACCGACUUUAAUCAAUAAAGUUAAAGCUGCUCAAGUUACAGAACUGGAGCUGAUGUGUAUGAGGAAGAAAGUGAAAGCAUGUGCUAUUUCGGAAGCAAGAAUCGAUGAAGAAGGAAUAAUUCGAGUCAACUCCAGACUUUAUGUUCCUAACGAUUCUGACAUAAAGUAUAAAAUCAUGAUAGAGGCGCACAACACACCGUUUGCAAUCCAUCCUGGAAGUACCAAAAUGUAUCGUGAUCUUCGACAUACAUUUUGGUGGAGCAAUAUGAAGAGAGAGAUAGCGGGGUUUAUCUCAAGGUGUUUAACUUGUCAAGGAGUUAAGGCGGAGCAUCAAAUGCCAAAAGGUCCUUUGCAACCACUUGAAAUUCCAGAAUGGAAGUGGGAGCACAUUACCAUGGAUUUCGUUACUGGUCUUCCCAAGGUUUCUCAAGGCAUUGAUGCGAUUUGGGUUAUUAUUGAUAGAUUAACCAAGUCUGCUCAUUUCUUACCUAUACGAGAAACUUAUACACUUGAACGUCUUGCUCAUAUGUACAUAAAUGAGAUUGUAAGACUGCAUGGCAUGCCAGUAUCCAUAGUUUUUGAUCGAGACCCAAGAUUCACUUCACGAUUUUGGGUUAGUUUAAAAAAAGCUAUGGGCACGAAUUUACGAUUUAGUUCGACAUAUCAUCCUCAAACGGACGGGCAGUCGCAGAGGACUAUUCAAACUCUUGAGGAUUUAUUAAGACUUUGUGUCCUUGACUUCAAAGGAAGUUGGGACAAAUUCUUGCCAUUAGUGGAAUUCUCCUAUAACAACAGUUAUCAAGCAAGUAUUGGCAUGGCUCCAUUUGAGGCGUUGUAUGAACGCAAGUGUCGUUCUCCAGUAUAUUGGGAUGAGGUGGGUGAAGCAACGUUGUUGGGACUAGAGUUGGUACGUAUGACUACGGAAAAGAUUCAAACGAUCCGACAACGUAUAAAAACCUCACAAGAUCGACAAAAGAGUUAUGUUGAUCUUCAUCGAAAGGACGUGGAAUUCAAUAUCGGAGAUUAUGUGUUGUUACGUGUUGGUCCAUGGAAAGAAGUUACAAGAUUUGGAAAGAGAGGAAAGCUCAAUCCUCGAUUCAUUGGCCCAUUUGUAAUCCUCGAUCGAGUAGGAACUGUGGCCUAUAGACUCGCCUUAUCGCCAAGUAUGUCUCGUGUUCAUAACGUUUUUCACAUAUCUAUGUUACGUAAAUAUGUGAAAGACCCAAAUCACAUUAUUGAAUUAGAAUCGGACGAGAUAACGGAAGAUUUAACGUAUAAAGAGGUAGCUGUUAAAAUCUUGGAUAAGAAGGAUCAUAUUCUACGCUCCAAGGUUAUACCUCAAUUCAAGGUUUUGUGGAGAAACCACGAUGUUGAGGAAAUUACCUGGGAAUUAGAAUCCGAAAUGAAAUCAGGGUAUCCUCACCUAUUCAAUAUAUCAGGUACGUAUCCUAAUUUCGAGGAUAAAAUUUCAUAAGAAGGGGAGGUUGUAAGACCCCAACUUUUAUGAAUAAAGAUUAAAUUUUUCUCAAAAUAUAUUAUUGAAUAUUAUGGUGUGGAUAUGAUAUAAUGUUAUAGUUGUGGAUAAUAUUUGCAAAUUUUGCAAAGUAAGCAAGUUGUUAUAAAAUAUUCGAUUGGUCAGGGAAUAUUCAUUUUAGCAGGGAAUAUUUGUACGACGGCACAAUCAUUGGUGGACCCCACAACGGAAGUAUUGUCAUAGUUAAAAAAUGACAGAAAUAUCUUUUUAUAAAAAUAACGAUGAAAGUUUUACUAUUAAACUGUUGAACUACCCGGUGGUAAAAGUACAUUAAUAUGCAUGGUCGCAUAGUAGCACACAAUAUUAAUUAUUAAUGCUUACGUAAGAAGCCACUCAGUUUACUCAAUUAUUGCUACAGAAAUUAUUGCAUAGUAUCUCACGUUAUUUGAUUCAAUUAUUAUCACAGUAUCAUCUGCAUAAUAUUUUAUAUUAUUAAAUCAAUAAUUGAGGUUACAAAGUUAUUCAUAUUAUUAUUUGUAAUAUUGACGAUGUCUAGAAAGUUCUGUCGAGGAGAGGUUUGGUCACCUAAUUGCGCGCCAAUAAGGAGAAAUCCUUAUCGAAAAGCCCCCUCUUUCCUGGGAAUGAUCUGGUUGUUAAAUAUUGUGAGUUAUAAUAUUAAUGAUGAAUAAUAGUUGAAGUAUUAAGAAUGUGUUUAUUGAAGAUAAGUGAAUUAUAAAAGUUAGAGGGGAAUAAUGCAAACUUGGAAAACUUUAGGGGUACUAAAGUGUAAUAAGUUAAAUCAAUCUGGACCAUUAGUGGUGGUUUUAAUAGUAAAUCAAUCUGGACCGUCAAUGGUGGUUUUAAUAGUAAAUCAAUCUGGACCGUCGGUGGUGGUUUUAAUAAUAAAUCAAUCUGGACCGUCGGUGGUGUUUUUAAAAGUAAAUUAAUCUGGACCGUCGGUGGUGGUUUUAAAAGUAAAUUAAUCUGGACCGUCGAUUGUGGUUUUAAUAGUAAUCAAUAUAGACCGUCUGUUCUAAUAGUAAAUCAAUCUGGACCGUUCGUGAAUUAGUUAAUAUUUUGUCAUUUCUCCUAUAAAUAGAAGCUUAAUUCUUCCUUCAUUCUCACCAAUUUACUGAGAUUCACAAGAGAAGCUAUAGAGAGAGAAACUAUAGAGAGCAAGAAGAGUAUUCUGCUACUUCACUAUUACAGUAUCCAGCCUUCUACUAAGGUAAGGGGUAUUAUUUCUUUCGUAUUCAUAAGGAAUACUAUUUUUCGUAUUCAUCCUUUAAUAUGUCGGAAUAACCUGUCUACGUGGAUUACGUACUAUAUGACAAGUGAAAAACCAUUUGCAGUUUCGUAUGUUAUUUCUUUUCAUAUUCUUAAAUCUAAACUAACCAUGGUAAGUAUUGCUUCUAUAAUCCUUGAAAUUAGUGGAAUAUCCUUGAGUUUUGCGCUUCAUCCAGUAUCGUUUCAUUGGAAUAUUGAUAUGAACUCUCUUAUUAAAUAUCAAUAUUUUCAUCGGGGUACUAUUCAGGGGUUACUAUUCACCCGAUUACUAUUCACUAAAAUAUUAUUCACUCGGGUAUUCGGGGCACUUUUUAUGCCGAGGUACUAUUCAUGAAUUACUAUUCAUAGGUUACUAUUCACUCAAAUAUCAUUCACUCGGGUAUUCGGGGCACUUUUUAUGUCGGGGUACUAUUUACGGGGUACUAUUCCUGAAGUACUAUUCAUAGGGUACUAUUCACGGGGUACUAUUCACCAAAAAAUUUAUUUCUUUUCUGUCCAAAUUUUUUUUGAUACAUGGAUAUUAUUCUUAAAUUUUACUCCACAAAGCAGUAUCAUGUUGACAAUUUAGACAUUAUUGAAUUCUGGAUAAAUUAAAUUAUAAAUCUUUAAAAACUUAUCCUUUACUUUCUUUUAAUUGAAUUUUUAUAUCAUUGUCAUCAUCCUCAUGCUUAUAUUGUGAUGAAAGUCAUCUUUGGCUUACGUGCAUAGAUGAACUGUUGAUUGGUAUGAUUAUGACCAGGGAUAAUUCGGUAUAAUCAUGACUAUUGAUGAUUACACGAAUAUUCUUGGCCCGUAGUGCAAGAAUAAUUUGUGGACGUGAUAAUAAUGAAUAUCCUUGGCCCGUAGUGCAGGGAUGAUUCGAUGAUGUGAUUUAUUUAUUAAGCUGAGUCCCAGUGAUAAAGUUAAUGAUAAACUUUUUAAAUCAUAGAAGAUAGUAGAUAUCAUGCUUUACUUGACUCUUAUAAUGGAUUGCUUGUUCCGCUGCAGUUAAACUUGUUGUCUAUUAUAUUCUAUCAGUUUAACAUUGUUGAAGGCUAAUGAUAGCUUAUUCUGCAUUAUCUUAGUGAUAAUAUUUCUUACUGGGCUAGUUGAGCUCACCCUUUUACUUCCAUUGUUCUCUUCAGGAAAUGAGAACGUAGCUGGAACUAGUCGGGGAACGGAGUGAUGGUCUAAGAUGGUGUUAUAGUAGUCCUCACUAUUCGAUAAAAUAGUGUGACAAUAAAUGUAAUGAGGACUCUAUUUGAGUUUGGAUAUUGUCUAGAAGACAAUAUUCAUGUAAAAACUCUCAGCUUAUGUUGUAUAAUUAAGUUUGUAUUUGUAUUCAGUACCAUGUAUUUGACGACCCAAGAUAGGUGAUGUAUACCUAUUUUUGGGGCGUCACACAAACCUUUUCUCCAAGCCAAUCAUACACUCUAGACUUUCAGGAUCAAGUUCCUAAUUAUGAAGAAGAAAGGAUGUCAAACUUGGAGGGACUUCUUUUCAAGUUCAUGGUUUUGAUUGAGGAGCAGACGAAUAGUCAAGAGAUGUCGAUUCAAAAUCUUGAGAACCAGAUGGGAAAACUUUUCAAUGCCAUUAUCAAUCGCCCUCAAGGAGAAGUGUCAAGUAACAUGGUUCCCGAGACUGAUGGAUUGCCCACGCUAAAUCUGGAAUCGGAUGUGCCAAAAAAAAAGGACGUGGAAAGGGAGGAGACAAGUGGGGAGCAGGAAAAGAAGGUUGCCAAAGAUCUAUCCUUGAGUUCCGACAUAGAUGAACUGAUUUUGAUAGUGCCCCAUAUAUCUUCUCUACCAAAUUUUAAGGAUCCGGCUAGAUUUGCAAUCUCGUGCCCAAUUGGUAGUCAUUUUUUCGAUAAAGCUAUAUAUGACAUGGAAGCUAGCUUAAAAUUGGUGACAUGGUGUGAAGAGAAUGGGAAGAGUGAUGAAGAACCAGUUGUUCUAGAAAAGCUUCAACGUAAGAAUUCAUUCACAGAUACAACUCAGAAAAUGCCUAGUUAUUUGAAGGUUAUAAAAGAGAAUCUACCUAUAAAGAACAAGCUAGGUGAAUUUGAAUUAAUGACCCUUACUAGAGGGUUCCUUAAUUUUCAAAGGGGAAUUGUAUAGAGAAAGUUAAAGCAGUCGGGCUGAGGACGUUAAACUAAGCGCUCACUGGGAGGCAACCUAGACUUGCAUUUUAUCUCUUUAAAUUUUAGUUCAUUAAUUUUAUUUUAGUAUUUUAGUUCAUUUAGCUAUGUAUUUUAUCUUAGUUUAGGGUUGUAUGUUCAGUUGUAAUCUCCUUGCAAAUGAUAACUGAGAAUUGGGUUCAUGGCUUGCAGGUUAGAAGGAUAAAAGAGCACAAAUUUUGGCUAAGGUUGGCCCAAGCACCUAGGCGCCCAAAACAAGCAUAUUCCAAGCACCUAAGCGCUUAAUUGCAGAAUGUCCAGACAUGCCCAAGCGCCUAGGCGCCCACUUCAAGCUCUUUUCAAGCGCCUAGGCGCUCCAACCUUCACAAUUUCAAGCGCCUAGGCGCUCUACAUGUGCACUUGAAAAAAAAUAAAGCCCUAAGCCAGGAAAUUCUAAUUCAAACCCAAUUCCUUUCACUCCUAAUUCAAAAGCAACUCCUUCCAAGACCAUGCACCUCAAUAACACCAACUCUUGCACUCUCUCAAUCAAAAUCUAAUUCAUCUUCUCCAAACCACAAUCAAGAAGAAAUCAAUCUAAAGUCAACUUCUUUAUCUCCUACUUGGAUUCCAACAUCAACAAUUCAAAGCAAGGUUCAAGCUUCAAGAUUUGCUCUAAACCAAGUUUAGGGGAGGUUAACAUAGGGGUCUAAGCCUGCAAGUGAUUGACGCUCCAUACCAGUUCCCACCACCUCCACCCUUGUCUGUGUACCCCCCGACUGACUUAGCUCUUGAGGUUGAUGCUAAUACAGAAGUAGUAGAUGAUGCUGAUGAAGAGUAAAGCUUCAAUCUUUCACGGAAGUCCUCAGUGCCUAAUUUCUUAUGUUUUUUAUAUACAAUGAGGACAUUGCAUAUGUUAAGUUUGGGGGUGCAUUCUUCUAAUUGCAUUGCAGUCAUUUAGUAGCAUUCAUUUAGUAUUUGCAUUCGUUUAAUAUAACACAUUUAUCUUGUAGUUUUGCAUGUAGUUGUCAUUCUAAUUUCUAAAAAAAAAAAUCUUGCAUUUAGUUAGUUCAUAUUACAUGAAUCCGAGCAUGUCAGUUAGUGUGAGUUUGACUUGGCCAAUGAUGAGAUUUGGAUCGCGUGUAUAUUUGAAUAAUAUUACAACUAAGACAUGGAUGUAGUGUCGUAUCAUGAUGUAAAUCUUAUCCUAUUUGAAACUGAUGUAACCAGCUAGCACGUUAGAUUGACCAUUUUGAUCAACUUAGUUUUAAAUGAUCGCAUAAUUGUCUUCUCGGGGAAAAUCUUGGUUUUAAUGAAGAAAAAUUGAUAAACUUGUAAUAAAGGCUAGGAUGACGUAAAAACUCAUGUUUGGGGGAAAAUAUAGGAAUUCUAUUGAAAAAAAAUAAUAGAAAGAAAAUCCAAAAAAAAAAAUUCAUACGAAUAAACACUUUAGCUAUUUUAUUUAUGUGGCCUUUGAUACUUGACUAGGUAAGCUCUUAGCUAGUUUAUUUGCAUUGCUUGGGGACAAGCAAUUUGUUAAGUUUGGGGGUAUUUGAUGAGUAGGUUUUAUACCUAUGAAUCCAAUAUUAUUAAACUUAAUUAUUGCUAUCUUUAAGUUUUUUUAGUAUCUUUUUAUGUGUUUUUGUGUUUAUUUCUUGUAGGUUAGAGCUGGAGGGACAAAUUGGUCAUUUGUGAGAAGAAAAAGAUCAAAAAUCACUAAAAUUAGAGCUGAGUGGCAUUUUUGUAAAUACGUGGUCUGGUCAAGCACCUAGGCGCUUGGAAAUUACCUGGGUUGAGCGCCUAGGCGCUCAUGUGUGGCUAAAGAGGGAUUUUGCUACUGAUGAGUUGAUUUUCGAAGCCAAAAAGGAAUCUGAAUAAGAGUUUUAACUAAUACAAAUAGGAGAAGACGUUAGAAAAGACGUAUCACUCAAUUUUUCAAGAGAUUUGCAGAGAGGACAAUGAAGAAAAACACGAAGGAGAAUUGCAAGGGCUGAAGAUCAAAGAGAGUAUUGGAGCAAAUUCAGAGUUUCUUCUUCUCUUCUCUAGUUUUAUCUUUUGUAAUUAUCUGGGAUGUUUGGAUUAUUAAUUUGGAUGAUGUUUUUCUUUAUUAUUAUUAUGAACUAAAUUUUCAUUAAGAUUGCAACGGAACUUGGUAUGUAGUUUAAAUUAAACCUUCCCAUUAAAUGAAAGUUGGUUUUUAUUGAAUUGUUUAUUAUAUUUUUUGCUUAUUGAUUAAUUGUUUGGCCAAUAAUUACUGUGAUAAUCUAUAUAAAAUUGGAAGAUGGAAUAUAGAUUUAGAUCUGGAUAUAAUAACAUCUAUUCAUAUAAUCUGAUUAGGGUUAAUAUGAUUAGCAUGUAGGAUAGGAAUAUACCUAUGUGUCUUUUGUAUCCAUUGAAAGAAUUUAUGCGUAAAACCCUAAUAAAAUUGAUUCACAUAGGAAUAUAGUGAAUUAAUUAAAUAGGGUGUUCCUUGUAAUUAUGUGUCUUAAUGAUUGGAUUUAGGAGGAUUUGUUCACGUGUCUUUGGAAGAAGUGCAUGAGCACUAUUAAACAUUCUUGGAUAAUGAUUCAUAUUAAUUAAUUGAUUUAAAUGAGAAGUAAAUUGGUUUAAAUGAAAUACCAAGGGAAGUUGUAAUCUUAACCUGUUAAAUCUAUAAUUAUUCUUGUGAAAUUCUAAUUUUAAUUAUUAUUUUUGUUAAGUUUAAUUUUUAAAUUACAAAUAAUAUUUCGUAGUUUAUAGGAUUAAUUGCAUUGGAAUUAGUAAUUGAUAAAUAUUAGUCUAUUUCCUCGUGGGAACGAUAUCUUUGCUUGCUGAAUAUUAUAAUUGAACGCGUAUGCUUGCCUGUUAAAGUGUUAUUAAGAAAUUAGGCAACAGAUAUCAUAGUAUCUACGGGGGAUGGGACAACGAGUUUCUGCAUCGAUUUUGAAUUGGUAAACAAGUUUCAUUAUUCUUUUCUUUUUUUAGAUAAUAUGUUUGAUAGAUUGCAUAAUACUUGUGUUUUAUCGAGAUGUAAUGAUCAUGUGAUAACCACGCCUAAUCAGUUUAGCAUGAGAAAAUGUGAUAAAUGGGAAAUUAUUUUAACAUGUGAAUUAUAUAGAUGGAUAGUUAUUUCUAAUAGAUUAAAUGAUUCAUUUAGUGUUUCAUGAGUUAUUUAAAACAUGUUUUCCAUGCUUCUAUUGGUAAAUUUAUUUUUAGCUACUUUGAGGUUAGAAUCAUCUUUAUCAUAAACUAUGUCGGAUAUUUUAUCUUUGUUGAGUUACUUUAUGAUCAUGAUAUAUAUUCUCGUUUUCAAUGUUCGUACUUGCAUGACAUUCAUUCUAGUUCUUCUUAUCCAUAUAUUGAGUUAGGGUUUCAUGCUAGUUAAUCUUUACAUAAGAUGUCGUUAAUUGACAAUGGUAGUGUUCAUGCUUGUCUGUUCAAGAAAUUUUCAUGGCAUGAGGAACUAUAAUAUGGUUUUGAUUUGAGAAAUGUUUAUCAUCAAGAUGGAUUGAGAUAUGAGUUAUUUGCAUGUUUAGUUAGUUCACUUGGAUUAACUAAGGCAUUGCAUACUUCCAUGGGAUUGUUGAAUCAUAUUUUGUAUUCUUUCAUGAAAAAAUUUGUUAUUCUCUAUUUUGAUGAUAUUCUGAUUUUUGUCAAUAAUUUGGAAAAUUCUGUAGCAUAUGUUGAGUUUGUAUAUCAUGAUAAGUAUGAUAUUGAGUUUUUAUAUUGUGAAGUUGGUUGUGACCUUUUUAUUCCGUUUAUAACUAUAUGAUCUUGACUGUGUUAAUGUCAAUGAGAAGAGAAAGGUUAAAUUUGUUUUACAUGUUCUUGAUGGGUUCAUAUUCAUCAAGAAGGAAAAUACGAAUUGUUGGUUAAUAAAUCAAGAAAACUAUUCAUAUGGGCACCAUUAUGGGACGUCAUACCAACAAGCACCAAGACUAAUCUAAUUCUGUACAGCCACGCAUUCAGCCAACUUGUAAAGGAAAUCCUAUUACAAAUAUCAUGCGGGCCUACUAUUUGGAAUAUUAGAUUCAUUCAUAAGCUAAAGUGGUAAAGCAUGUGGAUGUGGGAAUGGAUGAGUCCUUCUACAGGGAUAUUUUUUUUUAGAUAGUCUGUACAAUCCUAUUCUUGUAUACGUAUCCAAAUUAUAUAUAAAAUACUAUAUUUUGUAAAAAUUCUAAUUGAAAUAAAUAUUAUACAUUUUGAAAAAUCACGAGAAAAAAUAAUUAAAAAUGUCCAAUAUUCUAGUUGGACAAACCUGUCCACCAAGACUUAUUGGGGAAUGGAUAUUCAGGUACAUAAUGUGUGGGCCACGAUUAAAAAAAACCAGUAUUCAUCAAGCUAAGCAUUACAUGGAAAUUCAAAGCAAAUCUUGCAAAUCAAGUCGCACGGAAAUUCAGUUGGUUUCACGCGGCAACAUAAGAUCCGGACACAACAAGAAAAGAAAAUAAUUACACGACAAUUGUGGAUUUUUGGAGUUCUAGAAAAUUGUUUUUUUUUUCAAUUCUAUUGAAUUAGGAUUUAUUAUUAGUUAAGAUUUAUUUUCUAAAUAAGUUUCUAUUUUCUUAUAGAAAUUAGGGUUAUGGUUUGUAAUUUCUAUUAGGAUUAGAAUUUUCGUAACUAGUAUAAUUAGGGGUUACAUCUAUUAUAAAACUACACUUCAAAUUCAAUAUACUUGUGAGGUUUAUUCUCUUCUUUGGUUCUUUGAAGAAUUCCCAAGUAAUUUCUUAGUUUUUUCUUUGAGAUUCAAUUUGACUUAUCAUACAAUAAUACAUAGUAUAGUUGUGUGUGGCGUUUUAUACCGCAUCAAUCGUUGAUUGUGUCGAGGUUUCUGUUUUAAUAUAAACCACGGGGUUUAGGCGUCGUUGGUAUCCCAUUCAACAUAGAUUUCAUUACUUGAUUGAUUGUACCAAGGUUCUCGUCUCAAUAUAGACGUUGCGUUGAGGUGUCAAGAGAAUUUCACUCUAUCAACUGUACUAGACAUGAUCCGGGCGAUGACCACCUCACGCAAGCUUGUCGUGGAGUCUAUCAAAUAUACUGUAGGAGGAAGUGGAAGUACCGAACUAACCCAACUGGGGAAGAGAAAUAGUUAAAAACUCAGCCGCCCAGGAAUCUGUAAGGAAUAGGUAGGGAUAUAGAAAUAAAUAUAGGAUUAGUGGGGCAUAAUGGUAAUAGUGGUAUUCUAAGUAAAUAUUGUAAGACCCCAACUUAUUAUAAAUGAAAUUGAAUUUCCUCUCUUUAUUAUUUUGAAAUAGUAAGGGUUGAUUUGAUUAAUGUGGUUAGUUAUGGGUAAAAUGCGCAAAUAUCUUAAAUAAGCAAGUGGUUAUAAAAUAUUCAUUGUUGUCGGGGAAUAUUCGUACGAUGGCGCAGCCUUGUGUGGGCCCCAUAACGGAAAGCAGUCGGAUGAAAAAAACGACAAGUAUAAGUUUUUAUAAAUAGCGACGUAAUUGUUACCGUUAACACUGUUGGAAUACCCGGUGGUUAAAACACAGUAAUAUGCGGUGUUGCAUAGUAGCACACGGUAUUGCACCAAUUAUUGAUUCUUACGUAAGAAGGCACUACUCAAUAAUUGUUACAGUAAUUACUGUUCAAUAUUUUAGUAAUUCAAUAAUUGCUACGUUGAUAUUUAUAUUAUUGUUGUUUCAAUAAUUGUCACUGCACAGUAUUUUCCAUUAUCAGAUCAAUAAUUCAUAUUAUUUGAAUAAUAUUAUUAGAUAACAUUAUUGGCAAUGUCUAAGGAAGUUCUGUCUAAGGAGAGAUUUGGUCACCUAAUUGCGCGCCAGUAAGGAGAAAUCCUUAUUGGAAAGCCCCCUCUUUCCUAGGAACGACUUGGUUGUUAUUAUUGUGAUUUUGUAAUAUUAUUUGUGAAUAAUUAAUUAUUGAUUUAUAUGAUAAGGAAAAUAUUUAUUUACGUGGAUAUAAAUGGAGGAAUUUUUAGAAAAGUGACAAUUGUUGAGAAUUGAUAUUUUAUCUAUUUUGAUAAAAUAAAUCAUUAUGCCAGAAUAUUGGUAAAAAAAAAAUUUCUUUCAAUAUCAUUAUGCCGGAAUAUUGGUAAAAAUUUUCUUGUAAAAUUCUUGUCUUUUUGUGUCGGGGUUACUAUUCACGUAUACGACACUAUUCACAGAAAAAUUAAAAUUUUCUUUUCUUUGUUUAAGUUGUUUAUUAUGAUUACUAGCUUUGAUUUUAUCCAUGUUUUGAAUUUCAUUCUUGAAUUUUGCUCCACAAUGGUUUAUUAUGGAGUAUUUUUGAACUUAGAUAAGCUAAAGUACGAAUCCUUAAUAUUUGUUCUUUUGUCUCACUGGAUUCAUUUUCUUUAAAAUAUUUUUCAUCAUCCUCAGUCCUAAAUGAUGAUAUUACUGAAUAUCUUUGGCCUGUAGUGUAAAGAUGAAUAUUUGAUUCAAAAUGUAUAUUGAAUGAUGCUACAGGGAUAAAAUAUUGAUGAUGGACUUUUAAAUCAUAGAAGAUAGUAGAUUUCAUUCUCUACUUAACUCUUCUAAUGAAUUGUUAUUUUCGCUGCGAAUAUUGAUCUGAAACUUGUUGUUUAUUAUAUUCUAUCAGAUUUUUCCUUGUUGAGGAGUAAUGAUAAUUUUUUAUAUAUUAUCUUAGUCAUAAUAUUCUUUACUAGGCUAGUUGAGCUCACCCUUUUCUUUUUUGUUCCAUUUUUCUUCUCAGGAGGCAAGAAUGUAGCGAGUACUAGUCGGGAUAUAGAAUAAUGGUUCUAGAAAGUUGUUUUAGUAGUCCUCACUAUUUUUGUAAAAUAAUGUAUCAAUAAUUGUAGUGAGGACUUAUUUGAGUGUGGAUAUUGUCUAGAAGAUAAUAUUUGUAUUUAAACUCACAGUUUAUGUGUUUUCGUAUCUUGUACGGCAAUUGUAUUAAUAAAGUUGUAGUUGUUUCUGUAUCAUGUAUUUGGCGACUCAGAAUGGGUGAUGUAUACCUAUUUUGGGGACGUCACAGUUGGUAUCAGAGCUUAGGGAUAUGGUCUCUGGCAGAGAUCGGGGAAUAGAACUAGGAGGAGAGAGACGAGUAACUCCUUCGCUAGUGUGUCCUACCUAAGCUUAUUUGUUGGUUGGUCAAAAUAUAGCGAUAUUAUGUGAUAUGUUAAUUUCUUUAAUUAACCCUUGUUUUAUGGCAAUAUUUGAGAGUGGCAACUGAGAAUGUUAACAGUGGAGUAAAUGAGACCGUGGAGACACCAUUAAUCACCAACGAGGAGAACGUGCAACAGGCCGGCAAUGUUCCUCCUGUAAACAACAUCACUGAGCAGACAAUGAAUGAUGAGAUGUUUAGAAGCUUUUUGCAGUUCAUGCAAAACCAAACGAGGGAGACUCCUGUUCAAAAUGCGGGUAGAAACAAUGGCAACUCAUAGUUGGUCACUGCUAAGCAAUUCAAGGAGUUGGGACCGCUGGAGUUUUGGGGAAAGCCGGAUCCGAUCAAAGUAGAAACGUGGGUUAAGCAAAUUACCAAGAUAUUUGAUGUCUUGGGAUACACGGAGGAACAGAAGGUUCCAUUCGCGACCUUUAUGUUCCGUAAUGAGGCAGAUUACUGGUGGGAAUCUGUGAAGCGUACCCAUCCAGCCGCACUCAGCAUGUCUUGGGAGACAUUUCAGAAACUGUUCAAUGACAAGUACUUUCCUGAAAGUAUUCAUCAUAUGAAGGAGGUGGAGUUUAUUAGACUGGAACAGAACAAUAUGACGGUAUCCCAGUACGAGGCGAAGUUCGCAGAGUUAUCCAGGUUUGCACCUUAUUUGGUGGAGAAUGAGGAACGUAUGACGCGGAUGUUUCUGAGAGGUUUGGAACCCGACAUACGUCAAUAUCUCAUUUCUCACAAAUUUUCUCUAUAUUCAGAUGUUGUCAACAUGGCUUAAUUAUUAGAGCGAGAUAAUGAGUACGUUCAACUGAGGGACCACAACCAGGGUCAUACCGGUGAUAGCAGUCAUCGAAGCAAUGAUAACCAGCGGGGAGGGAAAAUUUCAGACAAAAGCGGUAACCACUCUGGUGGUAAUCGUGGCCAUGAUAAUAGGAGAGGCGAGUCAAGUGGAAGUUUCAAAAAGAGGAGAUUCAACAAUGAUAAUGUGAAGACGUCAGCACUAAUAACAACUGUUUCUAAGGGAAUUGAACGACCACCAGUCGUAUGCUAUAAAUGUGGAAAAGAGGGACACAUCAGUUAUAAUUAUGGAAAGGAAGGACAUAUCGCUCGAGAUUGUACUGUAGCGAAACCAAGUCCAGCGGGGGUGGUGACUCAAAAGGCUGUCCCAAAAAAGUCAAAGUCAACGGUUCCUGGAAGAGCAUUUGCCGUGACUGGCCAAAAUGCGAGGAACCCAAACGAGGUGAUCACGGGUAAGAUAAUCAUAAAUUCUUGCGAAGUUUAUACCUUACUACCCAUUCAUUUAUCUCUUCUGCUUGUUUUCAAUGUUUAAACUUGACUCCGGAGAAAUUAGACUUUGACUUAUUUGUAGAGACUCCAUUAGGAGAAACUUUCAUUACAUCCAUUGUUUAUAAAUCUUGUUUGAUCCAAGUUGGCACCAUCACAUUACCUGUUGACCUUAUCUCUUUAAAGAUAUUUGCAUUUGACGUGAUUUUAGGGAUUGAUUGGUUAACUACUCAUCAUGCCAAAAUUGAUUGUUUUCUUAAGGUUGUUAGUUUUCAUAUUCCUAACCAACCUGUUAUGCGAAUUCAAGCAACUAAACCACUAAAAUCAAUCACUGUCAUAUCAAGCCAUAAAGCCAUUCAUUUAUUGAAAAAUGGAUGUCAAGCUUUCUUAGCCCAUGCUAUGGAUUUGAAUAAAGACACAUCAGAUUUGAAUAAUAUUUCUGUUGUUAGUGAAUUUCCUGAUGUAUUUCCUGAAGAACUUCCCGGUCUACCCCCAGAAUGUGAAGUUAAAUUCUUAAUUGACCUUGAACCUUGUACAAAGCCAAUUUCUAAAACCCCAUAUCGAAUGACUCCUAUUGAACUUCAAGAGUUAAAGGUCCAACUACAGGAGUUAUUGGACAUCGGUGUCAUUCGUCCUAGUACAUCUCCUUAGGGUGCUCCUGUUUUAUUUGUAAAGAAGAAAGACGAGAGCAUGCGACUUUGUAUUGACUACCGGGAAUUGAACCAUGUCACCAUCAAGAAUAGGUAUCCGCUACCUCGCAUGGAUGACCUAUUUGACCAGUUGCAAGGAGCACAAUUCUUUUCAAAGAUCGAUCUUCAUUCUGGAUAUUAUCAAUUGAAGAUUAGAACUGAGGAUAUUCCGAAGACUGCCUUUAGAACUCGGUACGGGCAUUAUGAAUUUUUAGUCAUGUCUUUUGGAUUGAUUAAUGCUCCUGCGACUUUCAUGGAUAUGAUGAACCAAGUAUUCAAGGAAUAUUUGGAUCAGUUUGUUAUUGUCUGUAUUGAUGACAUCCUCAUAUAUUCCAAAAGUCGUGAAGAUCAUGAGCACCAUUUGAAGCUGGUACUCCAAAGGCUUCGUGAAAACAAGCUAUAUGCCAAGUUGAAGAAAUGUGAGUUCUGGCUUGAGGAAGUAGCAUUCCUUGGGCACGUUGUGAUGCCCCUAAAAUAGGUAUACAACACCCAUUCUAAGUCCCUAACUACAUGGUACAAAAAGCAAACUACAACUUCAAUAAUAUAAUUGUCGUGCAAAAUACGACAACACAUACUGUGAGUUUAAAUACAAAUAUUGUCUUCUAGACAAUAUCAACACUCAAAUAAGUCCUCAUUACAAUUAUUCAUACACUAUUUUACAAAAAUAGUGAGGACUGCUAAAACAUCUUUCUAGAACCAUCACUCCAUACCCCAACUAGAUCCUGCUAUGUUCUCACCUCCUGAGAAGAAAAAUGGAACAAAAAGGAAAAGGGUGAGCUCAACUAGCCCAGUAAAGAAUAUUAUGACUAAGAUAAUAUACAACAAAUUAUCAUUAGUCUUCAACAGGGAAAAAUCUGAUAGAAUAUAAUAGACAACAAGUUUUAGAUCAACAAAUGCAGCGGAAACAACAAUCCAUUAGAAGAGUCACGUAGAGAAUGAAUUCUACUAUCUUUUAAGAUUUAAAAGUUCAUCAUCAAUAUUUUUAUCCCUAUAACAUUAAUCAAUAUAUAUCUUUAAUCAAAUAUUCAUCUUUGCACUACAGGUCAAAAAUAUUCAUUAGUUAAUCAUUCAUCUUUGCACUACAGGCCAAAGAUAUUUAUUUAUAUCAACAGUCGGUCAUGUUCAUCUCAACACCUGCUCAUCUUUGCACUACGGGCCAAAGAUAUUCAAUAAUAUCAUCAUUUAAGGACUGAGGAUGAUGAAAAAUAUUUUAAAGAAAACGAAUCCAGUGAGACAGAAGGACAAAUAUUAGGGAUUUGUAUAACAGUUUAUCCAAGAUCAAUAAUACUCCAUAAUAACCAAUUGUGAAGCAGAAUUCAAAAAUAAAGAUCAAAACAUGGAUAUAAUCAAAGAUAGUAACCAUAAUAGACAUCUUGGAUAAAAAGGAAAAUUUUCAUUUUUUGGUGAAUAGUGUCAUAUUCGUGAAUAGUUCCGUAUACGUGAAUAGUAACCCCGACACAAAAAAGUUCCAAAUUUGAUUAAAAAGUUCAAACCAAUAUUUCGGUAUAAUGAUAUUGAAGAAAAUAAUAUCAUUUCGAAAGAAAAUAACAUCCCUUACCUCAAAAUAACCGUACUUCUGACUGAAUUUCGGAUAUAGUGCUGACAGAAACUUGCACCGUAUAGCAACACUCAAAGUAUCAAAAUACUCACAAGAAUACGCUCGAUAAUAUAGAGAGAGAAAGAGAGAAAACUUAUUUCUGGUGUGAUUUCCAAUUCUAACUUAGCCCUCUAUUUAUAGAAAAAUGCUAGAAUGUCAAAGGAGACUAAAUUAAUAAAAUAUUAAUAAUUCUUAUCUUUUCUCUACACAUGCUAGGCUGGACAAUCAGCCAUCUUUGAACAAAAUUAGCAGCCCAUGUGCAUUCAACACCAACCAAAAAGUGGGUCCCACCCAUAAUUUAAUAAAAAUCAUUUUAUUUUCCGAAACUUCAGUAAUUAAAAGAAAAUAGCCCGUUUAUCAGAAAAAUAUGAAUUUUAUGUCCAUUCCACACGAAAUUAAAUUCUCUACAACUUUGUAGCUUUGAGUUUCUCCAAAUUCCAAACCGAAAAUAUCUAAAAUCCACAAACGGAUGAUUUUUAAUACCUCCAUUCCGACAAAAAUACUGAUAAAACACCUCAGCAUUAAUUCCUUCAUUUAUAACCAUAUAAAAUAAAUAAAUCCAUCAUUUAUAUCCACAUCAAAUAAAUAUUUCUUUAUCAUAUAAAUCAAUAAUUAAUUAUUCACAAAUAAUAUUACAGAAUCACAAUUAUGACAACCAGACCGUUCCCAGAAAAGAGAGAGAUUUCCAAUAAAAAUUUCUCCUUACUGACGCGCAAUUAGGUGACCAAACCUCUCCUUGACAGAACUUUCUAGACAUUUCCAAUAAUGCUAUCUAUUAAUAUUAUUCAAAUAAUAUGAAUUAUUGAUCUGAUCAUGGGAAAUACUGUGUAGUGAUAAUUAUUGAAACAACAAUAAUAUUAAAUAUCAACGCAGUAAUUAUUGAAUCAAUAAAAUAAAAUAUUGAACAGUAACUACUGUAACAAUUAUUGAGUAAUGCCUUCUUACGUACAAAUAAAUAAUUCAACAAUACUGUGCAAUACCGUGUGCUACUAUGCAACCACGCGUAUUACUAUAUUUUAACCACCAGGUAAUCCAAUAGUGUUAACGGUAACAAUUACGUCGUUAUUUAUAAAAACUCAUACUUUGUCGUUUUCUUCAUCCGACAGUUAUUCUGUUAUGAGCCCCACGAAUGGCUGCGCCGUCGUACGAAUAUUCCCCGACAAAAAGAAUAUUCCACGACCAAAAGAAUAUUCUCCGACAAAAAUGAAUAUUUUAUAACCACUUACUUAUUUUGUAAAAUUUGCACAUUUCACCCAUAACCAAAGCAUUAUAUCAAAUUAACACCUUAUUAAUUUAAAAUAAUCAAUAGAGAAAAUUCAAUUUUAUUUAUAAUAAGUUGGGGUCUUACAACCUCCCCUCCUUAUAAAAUUUCGUCCUCGAAAUUGACGUACGUACCUGGUGUUUCGAAUAGGUGAGGGUACCUCGCUUUCAUUUCCGAUUCCAACUCCUAGGUCAUUUCCUCAAUAUCAUGGUUCCUCCACAAAACCUUAACUUGUGGUAUAACCUUGGUGCGUAGGACAUGUUCUUUUCUAUCCAAGAUCCUAACAGGUACCUCCUCGUACGUUAAAUCUUCAACUAUCUCGUUUGGUUCUAACUCAAUAAUAUGGUUCGGGUCUUUCACAUAUUUACGAAGCAUAGAUAUGUGGAAAAUAUUGUGAACACGAGACAUACUUAGAGGUAAUGCGAGUCUAUAGGCUACAUUUCCUAUUCGGUUAAGAAUCUCAAAUGGACCAACAAAUCGUGGAUUGAGCUUUCCUCUCUUCCCAAAUCUUAUAACUCCCUUCCAUGGAGCAAUACGUAAUUGUACAUGAUCUCCAAUAUUAAAUUCCACGUCCUUUCGAUGAAGAUCAGCAUAACUCUUUUGUCGAUCUUGUGAGGUUUGAAUACGUUGUUGAAUCAUUUGGAUCUUUUCUGUAGUCAUGCGUACUAAUUCUGGUCCCAACAACGUUGCUUCUCCCACCUCGUCCCAACAUACUGGAAAACAACACUUUCGUCCAUACAGCGCCUCAAAUGGAUCCAUGCCUAUACUUGCUUGAUAACUAUUAUUGUAGGAGAAUUCCACCAGUGGUAAAUACUUAUCCCAACUCCCUUUGAAGUCUAGAACACAGAGUCUUAAUAAAUAUUCAAGAGUUUGAAUAGUCCUCUCUGAUUGUCCGUCCGUUUGAGGAUGGUAUGCUGAACUGAAUCGUAAAUCCGUGCCCAUAGCUUUCUGCAAGCUAACCCAAAAUCAUGAAGUAAUCUUGGGUCACGAUCCGAAACUAUGGAUACUGGCAUGCCAUGCAAUCUCAUAAUCUCAUCCACGUACAUACGAGCAAGACGUUCAAGGGAAUAAGUCUCAUGUAUCGGCAACAAAUGAGCAGACUUGGUUAAUCUAUCAAUAAUAACCCAAAUCGCAUCUAUGCCUUGAGAAACUUUGGGAAGACCUGUAACAAAAUCCAUAGUAAUGUGUUCCCACUUCCAUUUCGGAAUCUCAAGUGGUUUUAAUGGACCUUUUGGCACUUGAUGCUCCGCCUAUACUCGUUAACAAGUUAAACACCUCGAGAUAAACUCCGCGAACUCUCUCUUCAUAUUGUUCCACCAAAAUGUGUGUCGAAUAUCAUGAUACAUUUUGGUAUUCUCAGGAUAGAUUACAAACGGGGUGUUGUGUGCCUCCAUCAUGAUUCUAUGCUUCAAGUCAGGAUCAUUAGGAACACAAAGUCUAGAGUUGACUCGAAGUAUUCCUUCUUCAUCGAUUCUUGCUUCUGGAAUAGCACCUUCUUGCACUUUCUUCUUCAUACGCAUCAGCCCCCAGGUCCGUAGCUUGAGUAGUUUUAACUUUAUCGAUUAAAGUCGAUUCUACUCGUAUAUUCACCAUCAUCAUGUGGGUCCCUGGAGUCUUUAACUCAACCUCCAUCCUUUUUAAAUCGUACAAAAUGAGUCUUUGUGUUAACAACAUUGCACUCGUACCUGCAUACGAUCUUCUACUCAAUGCGUCAGCUACUAUGUUUGCUUUUCCAGGAUGAUAUUGAAUAGUGUGAUCGUAAUCUUUCAAUAGCUCAAGCCAAUGUCGUUGCCGCAUGUUGAGUUCUUUUUGGGUGAAGAAAUAUUUGAGGCUUUUAUGAUCCAUAUAAAUCUCCACUUUCUCCCCAUACAGGUAGUGUCUCCAGAUUUUCAACGCAAAAACGACUGCUGCCAACUCCAGAUCAUGAGUAGGAUAAUUCCUCUCAUAUUCUUUAAGUUGUCGUGAGGCAUAGGCUAUGACUUUCCCAUGUUGCAUGAGAACACAUCCUAACCCUUUGUCUGAAGCAUCGCUGUAGAUAACAAAUCCAUCCGAACCAUAUGGUAUUGCCAGAACAGGUGCCGGAAUGAGUCUCCUCUUAAGCUCUUGGAAACUCUUCUUGUAUUCCUCGCUCCAUACGAAUUUUAUAUCUUUUCGAGUCAGCUGAGUUAACGGAGUAGCGAUUCGAGAAAAUCUUUCCACGAAUCUCUGAUAAUAACCAGCUAAGCCCAGAAAGCUACGUACUUAAGUCAUCGACUUCGGUUGCUCCCAACUUUGUAUUGUUUCAAUCUUCGCCGGAUCAACAGAUACUCCAUGUUUUGACACCACGUGCCCAAGGAAUGCUACUUCCUCAAGCCAGAACUCACAUUUCUUCAGCUUGGCAUAAAGUUUGUUUUCACGAAGUCUUUCAAGUAUCAGCUUCAAAUGGUGUUCAUGAUCUUCACGGCUUUUGGAAUAGAUGAGGAUGUCAUCAAUAAAGACAACAACGAACUGAUCCAAAUAUUCCUUGAAUACUCGGUUCAUCAUAUCCAUGAAAGUAGUAGGAGCAUUAGUCAAUCCAAAAGACAUGACUAAGAAUUCAUAAUGCCCGUACCAAGUUCUGAAUGCAGUCUUUGGAAUAUCCUCAAUUUUAAUCUUCAGCUGAUGAUAUCCAGAACGAAGGUAGAUCUUUGAAAAGAAUUGUGCUCCUUGUAACAGGUCAAACAUGUCAUCAAUGCGAGGUAGCGGAUACCUAUUCUUGAUGGUGACAUGGUUCAAUUCUCGGUAGUCAAUACAAAGUCGCAUACUCCCAUCUUUCUUCUUUACGAAUAAAAUAGGAGCACCCCAAGGAGAUGUACUAGGAUGAAUGAAACCGAUGUCUAAUAACUCAUGUAGUUGGACUUUUAACUCCUGAAGUUCAAUAGGAGCCAUUCGAUAUGGGGUUUUAAAAAUAGGCUUUGUACCCAGUUCAAGGUCAAUAAAGAAUUAAACAUCACGUUUUGGGGGUAGACCAGGAAGUUCUUUAGGAAAUACAUCAGGAAAUUCUCUAACUACAGAAAUAUUAUCCAAAUCUGACUUGUCUUUAUUUAAAUCCAUAACAUGGGCUAAGAAAGCUUGACAUCCGUUUUUCAAUAAACGAAUAGCUUUGUGGCUUGAUAUGACAGUGACUGAUUUUAGUGGUUUAGUUGUUUGAAUUCGCAUAACAGGUUGGUUAGGAAUAUGAAAACUAACAACCUUACGAAAAUAAUCAAUUUUGGCAUGAUAAGUGGUUAACCAAUCAAUUCCUAAAAUCACAUAAAAAACAAGUAUCUUUAAAGAGAUAAGAUCAACAGGUAAUGUGAUAGUGCCAACUUGGAUCAAGCAAGAUUUAUAAACUGUAGAUUUAUCGAAGGUUUCACCCAAUGGAGUUUCAACAGAUAAGUUAAAGUCCAAUUUCUCCGGAGUCAAGUUUAAACGUUGAGCACAAGCAGGAGAAAUAAAAGAAUGGGUAGAACCAGUAUCUAGUAAGGUAUAAACUUCACAAGAAUUCAAGAUUAGCUUAUCCGUGAUCACCUCAUUCGGGUUCCUCACGUUUUGGCCAGUCACGACAAACGCUCUUCCAGGAACCGCUAAUUUCUACUUAUCCGGGACAGCCCUUGGAGUCACCAUCCCCGCUGAACUUGGUUUUGCUACAGAACAAUCCCGAGCUACGUGACCUUCCUUUCCACAGUUAUAACAUACCUUGGAUUUUUGUGGAAAAUUUGGGCAGAUAUGUCCCUCUUUCCCGCAUUUGUAACAUCUAACUGGCGGUCGUUCUCCUCCCCUAGAAUUUGUUGUUGGUGCUGGUGCUGCUGCUGAUGUCUUCCCAUCAUUGUUGAAUCUCCUCUUUCUGAAAUUUCCACUUGACUCACCUCUCCUAUUAUCAUGGCCACGAUUACCACCCGAGUGGUUACCGCCUUUGUCCGUAUUUUUCCCUCCUCGCUGGUUAUCAUCGCUCUGAUGACUGUUGUCACCGAUAUGACCCUGGUUGUGGUCCCUCAGUUGAGUAUACUCAUUAUCUCAUUCUAAUAAUUGUGCCCUGUUGACAACAUCUGAAUACAGAGAAAAUUUAUGAGAGAUAAGGUAUUGACGAAUCUUGGGUUUUAGACCUCUCAAAAACAUCCGCGUCAUACGUUCCUCAUUCUCUACCAAAUGAGGUGCAAACCUGGAUAACUCCGCGAACUUCGCCUCGUACCGAGACACCGUCAUGUUGUUCUGUUCCAGUCUAAUAAACUCUACCUCCUUCAUAUGAUGAAUACUUUCAGGAAAGUACUUGUCAUUGAACAGUUUCUGAAAUCUUUCCCAAGACAUGUUGAGUACGGCUGGCUGGGUACGCUUCACAGAUUCCCACUAGUAAUCUGCCUCUCCAUAGAACAUAAAGGUGGCGAAUGGAACCUUCUGUUCCUCUGUGCAUCCCAAGACAUCGAAUAUCGAAUAUCUUGGUAAUUUGCUUAACCCAUGUUUCCGCCUUAAUCGGAUCGGGCUUUCCCCAGAAAUCUAGUGGUCCCAACUCCUUGAACUGCUUGGUUGUGACAGACCGCGCGUUGCCAUCAUUUCCACUCGUAUUUUGUACACGAGUCUCCCUCGUUUGAUUUUGCAUAAACUACAAAAAGCUCCUAAACAUUCCAUCGUUCAUCGUUUGCUCGGUAGUGUUGUUUACAGAAGGAAUAUUGCCAUCCUAUUGCACGUUCUCCUGGUUUGUGACUAAAGGUUGUUUCACAGUCUUAUACACUCCAUUGUUAACGUUCUCAGCAGCCAUUCUUAAAUACUGCCAUAAAAUAAGGGUUAAUUAAAAAAAUUAACAUAACACAUAAUAUCCUAUAAUAGGACCAACCAACAAAUAAGCUUAGUUAGGAUAUACUAGCGAAGGAUUUACUCAUCUCUCCCCUCCUAGUUCUAUUCCCCGAUCUCCGCCAGAGACCAUAUCCAUAAGCUCUGAUACCAACUGUGACGCCACCAAAAUAGGUAUAAAACACCCAUUCUGAGUCGCCAAAUACAUGAUACAGAAAGCAAACUACAACUUCAAUAAUAUAAUUGUCGUGCAAAAUACGACAACACAUACUGUGAGUUUAAAUACAAAUAUUGUCUUCUAGACAAUAUCAACACUCAAAUAAGUCCUCAUUACAAUUAUUCAUACACUAUUUUACAGAAAUAGUGAGGACUGCUAAAACAUCUUUCUAGAACCAUNNNNNNNNNNNNNNNNNNNNNNNNNNNNNNNNNNNNNNNNNNNNNNNNNNNNNNNNNNNNNNNNNNNNNNNNNNNNNNNNNNNNNNNNNNNNNNNNNNNNNNNNNNNNNNNNNNNNNNNNNNNNNNNNNNNNNNNNNNNNNNNNNNNNNNNNNNNNNNNNNNNNNNNNNNNNNNNNNNNNNNNNNNNNNNNNNNNNNNNNNNNNNNNNNNNNNNNNNNNNNNNNNNNNNNNNNNNNNNNNNNNNNNNNNNNNNNNNNNNNNNNNNNNNNNNNNNNNNNNNNNNNNNNNNNNNNNNNNNNNNNNNNNNNNNNNNNNNNNNNNNNNNNNNNNNNNNNNNNNNNNNNNNNNNNNNNNNNNNNNNNNNNNNNNNNNNNNNNNNNNNNNNNNNNNNNNNNNNNNNNNNNNNNNNNNNNNNNNNNNNNNNNNNNNNNNNNNNNNNNNNNNNNNNNNNNNNNNNNNNNNNNNNNNNNNNNNNNNNNNNNNNNNNNNNNNNNNNNNNNNNNNNNNNNNNNNNNNNNNNNNNNNNNNNNNNNNNNNNNNNNNNNNNNNNNNNNNNNNNNNNNNNNNNNNNNNNNNNNNNNNNNNNNNNNNNNNNNNNNNNNNNNNNNNNNNNNNNNNNNNNNNNNNNNNNNNNNNNNGCUCGAUAAUAUAGAGAGAGAAAGAGAGAAAACUUGUUUCUGGUGUGAUUUUCAAUUCUAACUUAGCCCUCUAUUUAUAGAAAAAUGCUAGAACGCCAAAGGAGACUAAAUUAAUAAAAUAUUAAUAAUUCUUAUCUUUUCUCUAUGCAUGCUAGGUUGGACAAUCAGCCAUCUUUGAACAAAAUUAGCAGCCCAUGUGCAUUCAACACCAACCAAAAAGUGGGUCCCACCCAUAAUUUAAUAAAAAUUAUUUUAUUUUUUGAAACUUUAGUAAUUCAUAGAAAAUAGCCCGUUUAUCAGAAAAAUACGAAUUUUAUGUCCAUUCCACACGAAAUCAAAUUCUCUACAACUUUGUAGCUUUGAGUUUCUCCAAAUUCCAAACCAAAAAUAUCCGAAAUCCACAAACGGAUGAUUUUUAAUACCUCCAUUCAGACAAAAAUACUGAUAAAAUACCUCAGCAUUAAUUCCUUCAUUUAUAACCAUAUAAAAUAAAUAAAUCCAUCAUUUAUAUCCACAUCAAAUAAAUAUUUUUUGAUCAUAUAAAUCAAUAAGUAAUUAUUCAUAAAUAAUAUUACAAAAUCACAAUUAUGACAACCAGGCCGUUCCCAGGAAAGAGGGGGCUUUCCAAUAAGGAUUUCUCCUUACUGGCGCGCAAUUAGGUGACCAAACCUCCCCUUGAUAGAAUUUUCUAGACAUUGCCAAUAAUGUUAUCUAAUAAUAUUAUUCAAAUAAUAUGAAUUAUUGAUCUGAUAAUGGGAAAUACUGUGCAGUGAUAAUUAUUGAAAAAACAAUAAUAUUAAAUAUCAACGCAGUAAUUAUUGAAUCAAUAAAAUAAAAUAUUGAACAGUAACUACUGUAACAAUUAUUGAGUAAUGCCUUCUUACAUACGAAUCAAUAAUUCAACAAUACUGUGCAAUACCGUGUGCUACUGUGCAACCAUGCGUAUUACUGUAUUUUAACCACCAGGUAAUCCAACAGUGUAAACGGUAACAAUUACGCCGUUAUUUAUAAAAACUCAUACUUUGUCGUUUUCUUCAUCCAACAGUUAUUCUGUUAUGAGCCCCACGAAUGGUUGCGUCGUCAUACGAAUAUUCCCCGACAAAAAGAAUAUUCCAUGACCAAAAGAAUAAUUCCCGAUAAAAAUGAAUAUUUUAUAACCACUUACUUAUUUUGUAAAAUUUGUACAUUUCACCCAUAACCAAAGCAUUAUAUCAAAUUAACACCUUAUUAAUUUAGAAUAAUGAAUAGAUAAAAUUCAAUUUUAUUUGUUAAUAAGUUGGGGUCUUACACACGUGGUAUCAAAACAUGGAGUAUUUGUUGACCCGACAAAUUUUGAAGCAAUACAAAGUUAGGAGCAACCAAAGUCGGUGACCGAAGUACGUAGCUUUCUGGGCUUAGCUGGUUAUUAUCGGAGAUUCGUGGAAGGAUUUUCUCGAAUCGCUACUCCGUUAACUCAGCUGACUCGAAAGGAUACAAAAUUCGUAUGGAGCGAGGAAUGCGAGAAGAGUUUUCAAGAACUCAAGAGGAGACUCAUUUCUGCACCUGUUCUGACAAUACCGUCUGGUUCGGAUGGAUUUGUUAUCUACAGCGAUGCUUCAGGCAAAGGGUUAGGAUGUGUCCUCAUGCAACAUGGGAAAGUCAUAGCCUAUGCCUCGCGACAACUUAAAGAAUAUGAGAGGAAUUAUCCUACUCAUGAUCUAGAGUUGGCAACAGUCGUUUUUGAGCUAAAGAUCUGGAGGCACUAUCUAUAUGGGGAAAAAGUGGAGAUAUAUUUAGACCAUAAAAGCCUCAAAUAUUUCUUCACCCAAAAGAAACUCAACAUGCAGCAAUGACGUUGGCUCGAACUGUUGAAAGAUUACGACCACAUCAUUCAAUACCAUCCUGGAAAAGCGAAUGUGGUAGCUGACGCGUUGAGUAGAAGAUCAUAUGCGGGAACGAGUGCGAUGUUGUCAACACAAAGGCACAUUUUGUGUGAUUUACAAAAGAUGAAGAUAGAAUUCAAGACUCCGGGGACCCAUGCGAUGAUGUCAAGUAUACGCAUAGAACCAACUUUAAUCGAUAAAGUUAAAGUUGCUCGAGCCACAGACCCGGAGCUUAUGCGUAUGAAGAAGAAAGUACAAGAAGGUGUUAUCCCAGAAGCAAGAAUCGAUGAAGAAGGAAUACUUCGAGUCAACUCCAGACUUUGUGUUCUUAACGACUCUGAUUUGAAGUAUAAGAUCAUGAUGGAGGCAUACAAUACACCGUUUACAAUCCAUCCUGGAAGUACCAAAAUGUAUCGUGAUCUUAGACAUACAUUUUGGUGGAACAAUAUGAAGAGAGAGAUCGUGAAGUUUGUCUCGAGGUGUUUAACUUGUCAACGUGUAAAGGCUGAGCAUCAAGUGCCUAAGGGUCCAUUACAACCACUUAAGAUUCUGAAAUGGAAGUGGGAACACAUUACCAUGGAUUUCGUUAUGAGUCUUCCCACGGUUUCUCAAGGCAUAGAUGUGAUUUGGGUUAUUGUUGAUAGAUUAACUAAGUCUGCUCAUUUCUUGCCGAUACAGGAGACUUAUUCCCUUGAACGUCUUGCACGUAUAUAAGUAAAUGAGAUUAUGAGAUUGCAUGGCAUGCCAGUAUCCAUAGUUUCGGAUCAUGACCCAAGAUUUACUUCACAAUUUUGGGUUAGCCUGCAGAAAGCUAAGGGCACGGAUUUACGAUUCAGUUCGGCAUACCAUCCUCAAACGGACGGACAAUCAAAGAAGACUAUUCAAACUCUUGAAGAUCUAUUAAGACUCUGUGUCCUAGACUUCAAAGGGAGUUGGGAUAAGUAUUUACCAUUGGUGGAAUUCUCCUACAACAACAGUUAUCAGGCAAGUAUAGGUGUUGCUCCAUUCGAAGCCUUGUAUGGACGAAAGUGUCGCUCUCUAGUAUAUUGGGAUGAGGUGGGUGAAGCAACAUUGUUGGGACCAGAGUUGGUACGUAUUACUAUAGAAAAGAUCCAAAUAAUUCGACAACGUAUACAAAUGGCACAUGAUCGACAAAAGAGUUAUGCGGAUCUUCAUUGAAAGGAUAUGGAAUUUAGUAUUAGGGAUCAUGUAUUGUUGUGUGUUGCUCCAUGGAAGGGAGUUACAAGAUUUGGAAAAAGAGGGAAGCUCAAUCCAUGAUUUAUUGGUCCAUUUCAGAUUCUUGACCGAGUAGAAAAUGUUGCCUAUAGACUCGCGUUACCUCCAAGUAUGUCUCGUAUUCAUAAUGUUUUUCACAUAUCUGUGCUUCGUAAAUAUGUGAAAGACCUGAACUACGUUAUUGAGUUAGAACCAGACGAAAUAGCUGAAGAUUUAACGUAUGAGGAGGUACCUGUCAAGAUCUUGGAUAGGAAGGAGCAUGUCCUACGCACAAAGGUUAUACCACAAGUCAAAGUUUUGUGGAGGAACCAUGCUAUUGAGGAAAUGACAUGGGAGUUGGAAAUGGAAAUGAAAGCGAGGCAUCCUCACCUUUUUGAAAUACCAGGUACGUACGUCAAUUUCGAGGAUGAAAUUUCAUAAGGAGGGGAGGUUGUAAGACCCCAACUUAUGUGGGCCCCAUAACGAAAAGCGAUUGGAUGAAGAAAACGACAAGUAUAAGUUUUUAUAAAUAACGGCGUAGUUAUUACCGUUAACACUGUUGGAAUACCCGAUGGUUAAAACACAGUAAUACGCGGUGGUUAAAACACAGUAAUACGCGGUGUUGCACAGUAGCACAUGACAUUGCACCAAUUAUUGAUUGUUACGUAAGAAGGCACUACUCAAUAAUUGUUACAGUAAUUAUUGUUCAAUAUUUUAUUGAUUCAAUAAUUGCUACGUUGAUAUUUUAUAUUAUUGUUGUUUUAAUAAUUGUCACUGCACAGUAUUUUCUAUUAUCAUAUCAAUAAUUCAUAUUAUUUGAAUAAUAUUAUUAGAUAGCAUUAUUGGCAAUGUCUAAGGAAGUUCUGUCUAAGGAGAGGUUUGGUCACCUAAUUGCGCGCCAGUAAGGAGAAAUCCUUAUUGGAAAGCCUCAUCUUUCCUGGGAACGACCUAGUUGUCAUUAUUGUGAUUCUGUAAUAUUAUUUGUGAAUAAUUAAUUACUGAUUUAUAUGAUAAGGAAAAUAUUUAUUUAUGUGGAUAUAAAUGGAGGAAUUUUUAGAAAAGUGACAAUUGUUUAAAAUUGAUAUUUUAUCUUUUUUGAUAAAAUAAAUUAUUUAAAUAUAUUAUUAUAUUAUAAUAAUAUAAUAAUGGUGAUAUUUUUACAUUGAAUGUGUGAUUUAUGAAUAAAUGAGGAGGAAGAGUAUUUUUGUUACAAUAAAUGUUAAAAACAUGUUAAACAUGUUGGUGGGCCCCAUUUCUUGACUGAAAUUUGAUUAUAGCCUGCAAAAUCGCCCGUAUAUGGAUUUCGGUUAAUUUCUGCUUAGAAUUUAGAAAAACUUAAACUUACAAAGUUGUAGAGAAUUGAAUUUCCUAUGGUAUGGACAUAAGAUUCAAAUUUUUCUAAUAAAAGGGCUAUUUGUUAUGAAUUAUUAAAGUUCCGGAAUAAUUGAUUUUUGAAGUUUUAAAUAUUUUUUAAAAGAAAAAUGUUUUAUUCAUUUUGGUGGGCCCCACAUGUGUGGUAAAUGAGAUGAAUUAAGUUUUCUUUCGUGUGCGUAGGAAAAAUUUAAGAAAUAUUAUUAGUUUAUUAAAUUUUUUGCUUUGGUGUUCUAAGCAAUUUCCUAUAAAUAGAGUGCUUAGGUUAGAAUUAAAAAUCACACCAGAAACUAAAGUUUUCUCUCUAUAUAUAUAUAUUAUCGAGCGUAUUUUGUGAGUAUUUUGAUACUUUGAGUGUUGCUAUACGGUGGAAGUUCCUUCAGCACUAUAUCCAGUAUUCCAGUCAGAAGUACUGUCCUUUUGAGGUAAGGAAUGUUAAUUUUUUUUUACAAAUGAUAUUAUUUCUUUCAAUAUCAUUAUGCUGGAAUAUUGGUAAAAAUUUUCUUGUAAAAUUCUUGUCUUUUUGUGUCGAGGUUACUAUUCACGUAUACGGCACUAUUCACGUAUACAGUACUAUUCACAAAAAAAUUAAAAUUUUCUUUUCUUUGUCCAAGUUGUUUAUUAUGAGUACUAGCUUUGAUUGUAUCCAUGUUUUGAACUUCAUUCUUGAAUUUUUCUCCACAAUGGUUUAUUAUGGAGUAUUUUUGAACUUGGAUAAAUUAAAGUACGAAUCCUUAAUAUUUGUUCUUUUGUCUCACUGGAUUCAUUUUUUUUUAAAUAUUUUUCAUCAUCCUCAAUCCUAAAUGAUGAUAUUACUGAAUAUCUUUGGCCUGUAGUGCAAAGAUGAAUGAUUUCCUGAUGAAUAUCUUUGGCCCGUAGUGCAAAGAUGAACAAGUGUUGAGAUGAACAUGACCAACUGAUGAAUAUUUUUGGCUUGUAGUCCAAAGAUGAAUAUUUGAUUCAAAAUGUAUAUUGAUUGAUGUUACAGGGAUAAAAUAUUGAUGAUGGACUUUUAAAUCAUAGAAGAUAGUAGAUUUCAUUCUCUACUUAAUUCUUCUAAUGAAUUGUUAUUUCUGUUGUGAAUAUUGAUCUGAAACUUGUUUAUUAUAUUCUAUCAGAUUAUUCCCUGUUGAGGACUAAUGAUAAUUUGUUCUAUAUUAUCUUAGUCAUAAUAUUCUUUACUGGACUAGUUGAGCUCACCCUUUUCCUUUUUGUUCCAUUUUUCUUCUCAGGAGGCGAGAAUGUAGCGAGUACUAGUCGGGGUAUGGAAUAAUGGUUCUAGAAAGUUGUUUUAGUAGUCCUCACUAUUUUUGUAAAAUAAUGUAUCAAUAAUUAUAAUGAGAACUUAAUUGAGUGUGGAUAUUUUCUAUAAGACAAUGUUUGUAUUUAAACUCACAGUUUAUGUGUUGUCGUAUCUUGCACGACAAUUGUAUUAAUAAAGUUGUAGUUGUUUCUGUACCAUGUAUUUGGCGACUCAGAAUGGGUGAUGUAUACCUAUUUUGGGGGCGUCACAAAUAUAUAGCUGAGUUGUAAUUGUAUUUAGGAUCAGUGAAUAAUAAUGUGAUAUUUUCCUUCUCUCUCUACAGUUUUAUCUCCUUAUUCUCUUCUCUCUCUCAACUCAAUUUUCUGUUUCUCCUCUCCUGAAUUCCCGUGAUAAUUUCAGUUAUGUUUCUCCAAUUCAUUACAGAAUCAAUGUAAGACCCCAAUUUUUUUUUAAAUAAAAUCGAAUUGCCUCUAAUUAUUAUUGUGAAUAAUAAGAAGUUAAUUGCAAGUGGUUAUAAAAUAUUCAUUGUUGUCGGGGAAUAUUCGCUUAGUCGUGGAAUAUUCUUGUUGUUGGAGAAUAUUAGUACGACGGCGCAGCCAUUCGUGGGCCUCAUAACAGAAUAACUGUCGGAUGAAGAAAAUGACAAAGUAUGAGUUUUUAUAAAUAACGGCGUAAUUGUUACCGUUAACACUGUUGGAAUACUUGGUGAUUAAAAUACAGUAAUUCGCAAGGUUGUACAGUAGCACAUGGUAUUGCAUAGUAUUGUUGAAUUAUUGAUUCGUACGUAAGAAGGCACUACUCAAUAAUUGUUACAGUAGUUACUGUUCUAUAUUUUAUUUUAUUAAUUCAAUAAUUGUUGCGUUGUAAGUUUAUAUUAUUGUUGUUUCAAUAAUUGUCACUGCACAGUAUUUUCCAUUAUCAGAUCAAUAAUUCAUAUUAUUUGAAUAAUAUUAUUAGAUAGCAAUAUUGGCAAUGUCUAGAAAGUUCUGUCAAGGAGAGGUUUGGUCACCUAAUUGCGCGCUAGUAAGGAGAAAUCCUUAUUGGAAAGCCCCCUCUUUCCUGGGAAGUGCCCGGUUGUCAUAAUUGUGAUUCUAUAAUAUUAUUUGUGAAUAAUUAAUUAUUGAUUUAUAUGAUAAUGAAAUAUUUAUUUGAUGCGGAUAUAAAUGAUGGAUUUAUUUAUUUUAUUUGGUUAUAAUUGAAGGAAUUAAUGUUGAGGUGUUUUAUCAGUAUUUUUGUCGGAAUGAAGGUAUUAAAAAUUAAAUCAGUAUUUUUAUGAUAUAUUGCGUGAGUUAUAAUUUUUAAUCCGACCGUUGGAUCGUUGUGAUUUUUGGAUAUGUUAUACAUAUAUAAGUUGAGUAUAUGUCCACAAAUUUUGAACCGUUAAAAAUGAACGUAUGAUUUGUUAUGAAUUUUAAGAGGUGACUGAUUCGGAAAUUAGGUUUAAAAAUGAUUUUGGUGGAAAAUUCUAGAAUUGAGUGGGCCCUACUUGUGGUUGGUGAAUAAAUGUGCUGAAUUUUAUUUCAAAUAUGGUGGGUGGCAAUAGUAGUAGGUAAAUCAAUCAGGUAGCAGGUCACGUCUGCUUCGGCGUGCUAACAUUUUUCUAUAAAUAUAGGGCUAAGUUAGAAUUGAAAAUCACACCAAAAACAUAAGCUUUCUCUCUUUCUCUCUCUAUAUUAUCGAGCGUAUUUUGUGAGUAUUUAGAUACUUUGAGAGUUGCUGUUCAGUACAAGUUUUAUUCAGCAUCACUUCUGACCUUUCAUUCCGAAGUACUGUUUCUUUGAGGUAAGGGAUGUUAUUUUCUUCUUAAAUGAUAUUAUUUUCUUCAAUAUCAUUAUGCCGAAAUAUCGGUUUGAAAUUUUUAAUCAAAUUUGGAACUUUUUGUGUUGGGGUUACUAUUCACGUAUACGGCACUAUUCACGUAUACGACACUAUUCACAAAUAUGGCACUCUUCACCGAAAAAUGAAAUUUUUUCUUUUUGUCCAAGAUGUCUAUUAUGGUUACUAUCUUUGAUUGUAUCCAUGUUUUCAUCUUUAUUUUUGAAUUCUGCUUCAAAAUUGGUUAUUAUGAAGUAUUAGUGAUCUUGGAUAAACUGUAACACGAAUCCCUAAUAUUUGUCCUUCUGUCUCACUUGAUUCGUUCUCUAAAAUGUUUUUCAUCAUCCUCAGUCCUUAAUGAUGAUAUUAUUGAAUAUCUUUGGCCUGUAGUGCAAAGAUGAAUGAUUAACUGAUGAAUAUCUUUGGCCCGUAGUGCAAAGAUGAACAGGUGUUGAGAUGAACAUGACCAACUGGUGAUACAAAUGAAUAUCUUUGGCCUGUAGUGCAAAGAUGAAUAUUCGAUUAAAGAUGUAUAUUGAUUGUUGUUACAGGGAUAAAAUAUUGAUGAUGAACUUUUAAAUCUUAGAAGAUAGUAGAACUCAUUCUCUACUUGACUUUUCUAAUGGAUUGCUGUUUCCGCUGCAGUUUUGAUCUAAAACUUGUUGUCUAUUAUGUUUUAUCAGAUUUUUCCCUGUUGAAGACUAAUGAUAAUUUUUUGUAUAUUAUCUUAGUCAUAAUAUUCUUUACUGGGCUAGUUGAGCUCACUCUUUUCCUUUUUGUUCCAUUUUUCUUCUUAGGAGGUGAAAACAUAACAGGAUCGAGUCGGGGUAUGGAGUGAUGGUUCUAGAAAGAUGUUUUAGCACUAUUUCUGUAAAAUAGUGUAUGAAUAAUUGUAAUGAGGACUUAUUUGAGUGUUGAUAUUGUCUAGAAGACAAUAUUUGUAUUUAAAUUCACAGUAUGUGUUGUCGUAUUUUGCACGACAAUUGUAUUAUUGAAGUUGUAGUUUGCUUUCUGUACCAUGUAUUUGGUGACUUAGAAUGGGUGUUGUAUACCUAUUUUGGGGGCGUCACAGUUGGUAUCAGAGCUUAGGGAUAUGGUCUCUAGCGGAGAUCGGGGAAUAGAACUAGGAGGGGAGAGAUGAGUAAAUCCUUCGCUAGUGUGUCCUAUCAAAGCUUAUUUGUUGAUCGGUCAUAAUAUAGGGAUAUUAUGUGAUAUAUUAAUUUGUUUAAUUAACCCUUGUUUUAUGGCAGUAUUUAAGAAUGGCUGCUGAAAACGUUAAUAAUGGAGUGUAUGAGACUGUGGAACAACCUUUAGUCACAAACCAGGAGAACGUGCAACAGUAUGGUAAUAUUACUCCUGUAAACAACGCUACGGAGCAAACGAUGAAUGAUGGAAUGUUUAGGAGGUUUUUGCAGUUCAUGCAAAAUCAGACGAGGGAGACUCGUGUACAAAAUAUGGGUGGAAGUGAUAGCAACGCACGGUCUGUCACAACCAAGCAGUUCAAGGAGUUGGGACCACCAGAUUUCUGGGGAAAGCUCGAUCCGAUUAAGGCAGAAACGUGAGUCAAGCAAAAUACCAAGAUAUUCGAUGUCUUGGGAUGCACGGAGGAACAGAAGGUUCCAUUCGCCACCUUUAUGUUCCGUGGAAAGGCAGAUUACUGGUGGGAAUCUGCGAAGCGUACCCAGCCAGCCGCACUCAACAUGUCUUAGGAAAGAUUUCAGAAACUGUUCAAUGACAAGUACUUUCCUAAAAGUAUUCAUCAUAUAAAGGAGGUAGAGUUUAUUAGACUGGAACAGAACAACAUGACGGUGUCUCGGUACGAGGCGAAGUUCGUAGAGUUAUCCAGGCUUGCACCUCAUUUGGUAGAAAAUGAGGAACGUAUGACGCGGAUGUUUCUGAGAGGUCUAAAACCCGAGAUUUGUCAAUACCUUAUCUCUCAUAAAUUUUCUCUAUAUUUAGAUGUUGUCAACAGGGCUCAAUUAUUAGAACGAGAUAAUGAAUAUACUCAACCAAGGGAUCACAACCAGGGUCAUACCAAUGACUGCAGUCAUCGGAGCGAUGAUAACUAGCGAGGAGGGAAGAAUACGGACAAAAGUGGUAACCACUCGGGUGGUAAUCGUGGCCAUGAUAAUAGAAGAGGUGUGUGACACCCCUAAAAUAGGUCCACACGACCCAUUCUGAGUCGCCAGAUAUCACUCCAUAAAAAUCAAAUACAAAUUUCAUUUAUACAACUGUUGAACUGUCGUGCAGAGUACAACAACAGAUAAGCUGUGAGUUUCAAUACCAAAUCUAUGUAACUCUCAUGGUGCCUCGACCACAACACCUUACAAAGGUAGUUUACAUAAAAGUACAGUCAAUAACUGUUUUAGAAAUUAAAAUCUUUGGGAAAAGCUCAAGGAAGCCUUCAUACAUAGGAGGCCAUGAAUCUAAGUUAUGAUAGAUAUCAUAUGCCCAGAGAAUUUUCCUUGGUUGGUCCAAUAGACCCCAAAGAAAAAUGAGAAGAUUACUAUCAUAUUCCUUCCAAUGAUGAGUCUUCUCUUGACAUAUAAUUAUCUCAGUUAUCUCCAAGUGAGAAUUAUAUCUCAAAUAUACUCCAAGAUCAUAUAGGUAGUGCUUGUAGAUAUACUCAGCAAGUGGAUGUGAACGACCCUGUCUUAUGAUAACAUGAGAUUGUAUGUCAUUAGACAUCUUGUAUGAUAAUGGCAAAACACCCUUCCAAAGUUGGGUUCUCAUCAACCUAUUGUUGUUCACCAAAAUCAAUUAUCAAGUGACGUAUAAAAUACGACACGCACAUCUUAGGUCCUCAAUGCAAAUAUAUAUUGCAUGUCAUGCCGUUUUAUAAUGUAUUGAGAAACUUCAACAGUCUCGGACCAUCUCACUAUUUCCCUGUUAUCCCCGCUCGACCCAGCUACACUCUUAUUACCUGAAAGGAAUUGUGAAGCAAAAGGGUGAGCACAACUAGCCCAGUAAAGAAUAUCAUGACUAAAGAUAAUUAAAUUAUCAAUAGCAUUCAUCAAUAAUAAAUCAAAGAUUUAGAACAUAUGGUAGAUGAUAAAACUUUUCAACCAUAGUUGCAGCGGAACAAGCAAUCCAUUAAAAGAGUCAAAUAGACCAUCAGGUCUAUUAUCUUCUCCAAAUUAAAAGUCCACCAAUAAUGUUUUAUCCCUGUAACAUCAAUCAACAAUUCCUGUCCACAAUCAUAUGAAUAACUCAAUAUCAUAAUUGUGAUUUGAAUUACUUUUCGCACCUAGGACGGAGAUAAUUUUCAUCACCUAUCUUCACCUAAAACAUCAAAAAUCAUGGUUAUAGUAAAUCACAAUUUCUGCUCAUAAUCAUACUAAUAAAUUCAUCUUUACACUACGGCCAAAGAUAUACAACUGUAUAACUAGUAACCAACAGUUCAUCUUUGCACUACAGGCCAAAGAUAUACAACUGUAAAACCAAUAAUGCUGAGACUCAGCUUAAUAGUAUCACGACCAUGAAUUAUCCAUGCACUACAGGCCAAGGAUAUUCGUAUUUUCAAUUACGGUCAUGAUUAUACCGAACAAUCUCUGGUCAUAAUCAUACCAAGUCCAUCUAUGCACUACGGGCCAAAGAUGACUUUUACCACAUCAUUUGUAACAUUACGGUCAUGAUUAUAUCGAAUAAUCCCUGGUCAUAAUCAUACCAAGUCCAUCUAUGCACGUAAGCCACAGAUGACUUUCAACACAAUAUGCAUUAGGAUCAUGACAAUGAUAUAAAGAAUCAAUCAAAUGAGAUAAAGGAUAAAUAUUAAACAUUUAUAAUAUAAUUUAUCCAGGGUUCAAGAAUAUCCCAAUGUUAUCAAUCACUUAAUAAUCUCAUAAUCUAAUAUCAUUAAUAUUAUAACAAUAUUUUAAUCACUUCUUAAACUUAUAAACAAUUUAUUUCAAUUAUUUACACUUUACCACAUAAUGCAUUUAAUCAUUCAAAAAUGCCAUACUCAUAAGAUAUCAUCACCAAUGAUCAAAUCCCUUAUCAAAAAUAUGCAUAUACCCUAUAUAGGAUUCUCAAGCCAUAAAAUCCUAUUUUCUAAUUUUGUUACUUCACAUAACAUAUUUAACUCAUAUGUUCGUAAGUAAACCAUUUUCAUGAAAAAUACCAAAUCAGUUCCAAAAAUAUUUCUUUUCUGGGAUUUAGCAGAAUAUAGUCCCAUAAUUAACAUAUAUUUUUCUCAGAAUUUUUAAAAUUCAUUUACUAUUUUUCAAAAAUCAAUUUCUAAUUAAUUCCUUAAGAAAUUAGCUACCUCAAGUUUAACUCCAAAAAUUCCCAAAUCUUGGCAGAAUCUUACACAUGUUAACGUGAGCUUCUAGUUUAAAUUUCAUGGUCAUCGGAGUUAUAGAACUCUGAUUAUAGCAUUUUUCGUCGAAAAAACCUAAAUAUUGAAAUGGUCAUAACUUGCUCAUUUUAAGAUGGAAUGAGCUCAUUUUUGGACAGGAGGUACUUUAUACCAUAUACUUUCAUGUCCCAAAAGGCCAGAAUUUUUCGCAUAAAUUAAGUGGCCGAAACAGCCCUUUUAAAUUUAUGGGCAGUAGUUUUUUCGUAAAUUGCAGCUUUGGACUCCUUUGCUAAAAUCAGUCCACACGAAAAUCUACAACACCUUUUCUAGUGAUUCCACUUGGAUAAGUUACAAAACUCAUAGACCUAACUCUAGAACUUGACCUCACUCAAAAAUUCAAAAUAUAAUAGGAGAUAUGGUCAAUUGAAUUUCAUGUUCCGUUUUCACCAAAAUCUAAUUUUCAACCCUUUGUGAUUUCUAAGAAACUUUCAUGUUUUCACAUAUUAACCAACAUAACUUAUCAUAACACUUACUAACACUACAUAUACCCAUGGUUUUCAUUAAUCCAUUACUUUUAUUAUGACUUCCUUCAUAAUCAACAUAACCAGAUCAUUUCCACAAUUUAAUAAGGAAUGAAUACAAAGGAUCAUUCACCAUGCAUGUGGUAAUCCACAUAGACAGGUUAUUCCAACAAAUUAAUAAAGAAUGGAAUAACAGAAUGAUUCACCAUGCAUGCGAUAGAGACCGCACAGACAGGUUAUUCUCAACAGAAUAAUAAAGAUGGAACCAGGUCCGACGUAAAACACACAGACAGGAUAUUCCAACAGAAUAAUAAAGACGGAACCAGGUCCGGCGUAAAAUGCACAGACAGGAUAUUCCAACAGAAUAAUAAAGAAUGAAAUAACAACAGAAAUCACCAUGCAUGCGAUAGACCGCACAGACAGGUUAUUCCAACAGAAUAAUUAAUGGAACCAGGUCAGGCGUAAUACGCACCGACAGGAUAUUCCGACAGAAUAAUAAAGAACAGAAUAAUAGAAGAAUUUCACCAUAUAUGCGGUACUUUGCAUAAACAGGUUAUUCCAACAUAAUAAUAAAAAAUGGAAUAACAGAAGUUCUCUUCAUGAAUACAAAAGAAUAACACCCUUUACGAGUACAAUAAAUAAUAUCCCUUACCUUAUAAAGAAACUGGAUAUAGAAGUAGUGAAGUAGCAGAAUACUCUUCUUCUUUCUCUCUAUAAUUUCUCUCUCUAGAGUUUCAGUGAAUUCGUAAGAAAUAAUGAAGGAAUGAGCUUCUAUUUAUAGAAAAACUGAGAGUGGCUCUUGGUCUUAACGAAGGGUCAAAAUGACUCUUGGUAAUAUUGAAGAGACAACUACUAUUUACGAAGGGGCAAUUAACCCUUGGAACACCGAAGAGGCAAGUAACUCUUGGUAAUAUUGAAGAGACAACUACUAUUUGUGAAUGAACAAUUAACCCUUAGAACACCGAAAGGGCAAGUUACUAUUAAAACUUUAAAUCAACGAUCCAUAUUGAUUUACUAUUAUAAUUUCAACCAACGGUCUGAAAAAUUAGCAUAUCUCCUCAUGGAAUAAUAUUGUACCCAAAAAUGAUUUGGAUUGAAAAUUAAUAUACUGUUCUGGUGAAUAGUACCCUAUGAAUAGUACUCAUGAAUAGUAACUCUUGAAUAGUAACUCAUGAAUAGUAACUCGUGAAUAGUAACUCAUGAAUAGUAACUCGUGAAUAGUACUCCGACACGAAAAGUGUCCCGAAUACCCGAUUGAACAAUAUAACCUUCAGACAUCAAUUAUUAUCGAAAUAAAUGUCGAUUUCCACUAACACAAAUAAUUUCAACACAAUGGAACUAUCAAAUUCAUCUUUAAUUAACACGAACUUAUCCAUCAUUAAUAUCAUAAUUCACAAUAUUUAACAACCAGGUCGUUCCCAAGAAAGAGGGGGCUUUCCAAUAAGGAUUUCUCCCUAUUGGCGCGCAAUUAGGUGACCAAACCUCUCCUUGGCAGAACUUCUAGACAUUGUAAAUAUUGCAAUUUAAUAAUAUGAAUAACUUUGUCGUCUUAAUUAUUAAUUUAAUAAUAUAUAAAAUAUUGACAAUAAUUGAAUAAAACUGAGUGACUUCUCACGUAAGCAUCAAUAAUUUAAGAUAUUGUACAAUACCGUGUGCCACUAUGCAACCACGCGUAUUACUGUACUUUUAUUAAUUUAACCGUUUACUAAAUAAAAUAAUAAUUAUAAAAAUUAAAUACUUUCAUUUCAUAAAAUUCGGGGUCUCACAAGGUGAGUCUAGUGGAAAUUUCAAAAAGAGGAGAUUCAACAAUGACGGGAAGACAUCAGCAGCAACACCAGCAUUAACUGUUGCUAGGGGAGGAGAACGACCACCGGUCGUAUGCUAUAAAUGCGGGAAAGAGGGCAUAUCAGUCCAAACUGCCCAUAACAGUUCAAGGUAUGUUAUAAUUAUGGAAAGGAAGGACAUAUCGCUCGAGAUUGUACUAUGGCGAAACCAAGUUCAGCGGGGAUGGUGACUCAGAAGGCUGUCCCAAAAAAGUCAAAGUCAACGGUUCCUGGAAGAGCGUUUGUCGUGACUGGACAAAAUGCGAGGAACGCGAACGAGGUGAUCACGGGUAAGCUAGUCAUAAAUUUUUGUGAAGUUUAUACCUUACUAGAUACCGGUUCUACCCAUUCAUUUAUCUCUCCUGCUUGUGCUCAACGUUUAAACUUGACUCCAGAGAAAUUAGACUUUGACCUAUCUAUGGAGACUCCGUUAGGAGAAACUUUCAUUACAUUCACUGUUUAUAAAUCUUGUUUGAUCCAAGUUGGCACCAUCACAUUACCCUUUGAUCUUAUCUCUUUAAAGAUACUUGCAUUUGAUGUGAUUUUAGGGAUGGAUUGGUUAACUACUCAUCAUGCCAAAAUUGAUUCUUUUCAUAAGGUUAUUAGUUUUCAUAUUCCUAACUAACCUGUUAUGCGAAUUCAAGCAACUAAACCAUUGAAGUCAAACACUUUCAUAUCAAGCCAUAAAGCCAUUCGUUUAUUGAAAAACGGAUGUCAAGCUUUCUUAGCCCAUGUUAUGGAUUUGAAUAAAGACACGUCAGAUUUGAAUAAAAUUUUUGUUGUUAGUGAACUUCCUGACGUAUUUCUUGAAGAAUUUCCUGGCCUACCCCCAGAGUGUGAUAUUGAAUUUUGUAUCAACUUUGAACCCGGUACAAAACCCAUUUCUAAAUUCUCAUAUCGAAUGGCUCCUAUUGAACUUCAGGAGUUUAAAACCCAAGUACAAGAGUUGGUACCCGAGCCUCUAUCUCGUGACUUCCUUUAUGGAAUGCACUAAAGCCAGACUCUCCGUAGGAGACUCUAUAUUUGUGUGGUCGUAAAAUGAUAGGUACCAUUGUCACGUGUUAUCCAAGAUUGGGAUAUGAAUCACAGUUGAGAGCAACCGAAGUUGGUGACCAAAGUACGUAACUUUCUGGGCUUAGCUGGUUAUUAUCGGAGAUUCGUGGAAGGAUUUUCUCGAAUCGCUACUCCGUUAACUUAGCUGACUCGAAAAGAUACAAAAUUCGUAUGAAGCGAGGAAUGCGAGAAGAUUUUGCAAGAGCUCAAGAGGCGACUCAUUUCGGCACUUGUUUUGACCAUACCAUCCUGGAAAAGCAAACGUGGUAGCUGACGCGUUGAGUAGAAGAUCGUACGCGAGUAUGAGUGCAAUAUUCUUGAACACAAAGACCUAUUUUGUAUAAUUUACAAACGAUAAAGAUAUAGUUAAAGACUCUAGGGACCCACGUUAUGAUGUUAAAAUAGAAUCGACUUUAAUUGAUAAAGUUAAAACUGCUCAAGCUGCACACCGGAGCUGAUGAAUAUAAAGAAAAAGGUGCAAGAAGGCGUUAUUCUAGAAGUAAGAGUCGAUGAAGAGAAAAAAGCUCAAACCUUCAAUUUAUUUGAAAUCCUCGAUCGAGUAGGAACUGUGGCCUAUAAACUCUCCUUAACGCUAAGUAUAUCGCAUGUUUAUAACGUUUUUCACGUAUCGAUGUUACGUAAAUAUAUGAAAGACCCGAAUCACAUUAUUACGUUAGAACCAGACGAGAUAGCCAAAGAUUUAACGUACGAGGAGGUACCUGUCAAAAUCUUGGAUAGGAAAGAGCAUGUCCUACGCACAAAGGUUAUACCACAAGUUAAGGUUUUAUGGAGGGACCAUGCUAUUGAAGAAAUAACCUGGGAGUUGGAAUCAGAAAUGAAAGCAAGGUAUCCUCACCUUUUUGAAACACCAGGUGCGUACGUCAAUUUCGAGGAAGAAAUUUCAUAAGGUGGGGAGGUUGUAAGACCCCAAUUUUUUUUAAAUAAAAUCAAAUUUUCUCUAAUUAUUAUUGUGAAUAAUAAGAAGUUAAUUUGAUAUAAUAUUUUGGUUAUGGGUGAAAUAUGAAAAUUUUGCAAAAUAAGCAAGUGGUUAUAAAAUAUUCAUUGUUGUCGGGGAAUAUUCGCUUGGUCGUGGAAUAUUCUUGUUAUUGGGGAAUAUUCGUAUGACGGCGCAGCCAUUCGUGGGCCUCAUAACAGAAUAACUGUCGGAUGAAGAAAACAACAAAGUAUGAGUUUUUAUAAAUAACGGCGUAAUUGUUAUCGUUAACACUGUUGGAAUACCUGGUGGUUAAAAUACAGUAAUAUGCGUGGUUGCACAGUAGCACACGGUAUUGCACAGUAUUGUUGAAUUAAUGUUUCGUACGUAAGACGGCACUACUCAAUAAUUGUUACAGUAGUUACUGUUCAAUAUUUUAUUUUAUUGAUUCAAUAAUUGUUGCGUUGUUAGUUUAUAUUAUUGUUAUUUCAAUAAUUGUCACUGCACAGUAUUUUCCAUUAUCAAAUUAAUAAUUCAUAUUAUUUGAGUAAUAUUAUUAGAUAGCAUUAUUGGCAAUGUCUAGAAAAUUCUGUCAAGGAGAGGUUUGGUCACCUAAUUACGCGCCAGUAAGGAGAAAUUCUUAUUGGAAAGCCCCCUAUUUCCUGGGAACUGCCUGGUUGUCAUAAUUGUGAUUCUAUAAUAUUAUUUGUGAAUAAUUAAUUAUUGAUUUAUAUGAUAAUGAAAUAUUUAUUUGAUGCAGAUAUAAAUGAUGGAUUUAUUUAUUUUAUGUGGUUAUAAUUGAAGGAAUUAAUGUUGAGGUGUUUUAUCAGUAUUUUUGUCAAAAUUGAGGUAUUAAAAAUCAAAUCAGUAUUUUUACGAUAUAUUGCAUGAGUUAUAAUUUUUAAUCCGACCGUUGGAUCGUUGUGAUUUUUAGAUAUGUUAUAUAUAUAUAUAUAAGUUGAGUAUAUGUCCACAAAUUUUGAACCGUUAAAAAUGAACGUAUGAUUUGUUAUGAAUUUUAAGAGAUGACUGAUUCAGAAAUUAGGUUUAUAAAUGAUUUUGGUGGAAAAUUCUAGAAUUGAGUGGGCCCCACUUGUGGGUGGUGAAGAAAUGUGCUGAAUUUUAUUUCAAAUAUGGAGGGUGGCAAUAGUAGCAGGUAAAGUCAUCAGGUAGCAGGUCAAGUCUGCUUCGGCGUGCUAACAUUUUUCUAUAAAUAGAGGGCUAAGUUAGAAUUGAAAAUCACACCAAAAACAUAAGCUUUCUCUCUUUCUCUCUCUAUAUUAUCGAGCGUAUUUUGUGAGUAUUUAGAUACUUUGAGAGUUGCUGUUCAGUACAAGUUUCAUUCAGCAUCACUUCCGACCUUUCAUUCCGAAGUACUAUUUCUUUGAGGUAAGGAAUAUUAUUUUCUUCUUAAAUGAUAUUAUUUUCUUCAAUAUCAUUAUGCCGAAAUAUUAGUUUGAACUUUUUAAUCAAAUUUAGAAGUUUUUGUGUCGGGGUUUCUAUUCACGUAUACGGCACUAUUCAUCGAAAAAUGAAAUUUUUUUUUUUGUCCAAGAUGUCAAUUAUGGUUACUAUCUUUGAUUGUAUCCAUGUUUUGAUAUUUAUUUUUGAAUUCUGCUUCAAAAUUGGUUAUUAUGAAGUAUUAGUGAUCUUGGAUAAACUAUAACAUGAAUCCCUAUUAUUUGCCCUUCUGUCUCACUGGAUUCGUUCUCUAAAAUAUUUUUCAUCAUCCUCAGUCCUUAAUGAUGAUAUUAUUGAAUAUAUUUGGCCUAUAGUGCAAAGAUGAAUGAUUAACUAAUGAAUAUCUUUGGCCCGUAGUGCAAAAAUGAACAGGUGUUGAGAUGAACAUGACCAACUGGUGAUACAAAUGAAUAUCUUUGGCCUGUAGUGCAAAGAUGAAUAUUUGAUUAAAGAUGUAUAUUGAUUGUUGAUAAACUAUUGAUGAUGGACUUUUAAACCUUAGAAGACAGUAGAAUUCUUUCUCUACGUGACUCUUCUAAUGGAUUGCUGUUUCCGCUGCAUUUGUUGAUCUAAAACUUGUUGUCUAUUGUAUUCUAUUAGAUUUUUCCCUGUUGAAGACUAACGAUAAUUUGUUGUAUAUUAUCUUAGUCAUAAUAUUCUUUACUGGGCUAGUUGAGCUCACCCUUUUCCUUUUUGUUCCAUUUUUCUUCUCAGGAGGUGAGAACAUAGCAGGAUCGAGUCGGGGUAUGGAGUGAUGGUUCUAGAAAGAUGUUUUAGCAGUCCUCAUUAUUUUUGUAAUAUAGUGUAUGAAUAAUUGUAAUGAGAACUUAUUUGAGUGUUGAUAUUGUCUAGAAGACAACAUUUGUAUUUAAAUUCACAGUAUGUGUUGUCGUAUUUUGCACGACAAUUGUAUUAUUGAAAUUGUAGUUUGCUUUCUGUACCAUCUAUUUGGCGACUCAGAAUGGAUAUUGUAUACCUAUUUUGGGGGUGUCACAAUCAAACUUAACUUUACAUAUAUUCAUAAUUGCGAACCAUAAUCGAACAUAUUCGAUCAAAUUCGUGGCGAAUGAUUUGAAAUCUAUCGAGUUACUCAUGAAGAAUUCUGAGUCUGUUUAAUUUUUUAUCGAGUCGACACCGAUCCGAGCCCUACUACUCGUUUUCAGCCCAGUUUGUUGACAAAUGGAAAUUUCAAUAUUCACUCGCAUGUGUAUCCUUUUAAAGCAUAUAUGACUAAAAUAGAUAUUAUUGGUAUUGGCUAUAAAGAUAUACGUCAAUAAUAAAUACGCAUAAAGACAGAUCAACAAAAGUAUAUUCAUAGUUGUUUAACAUAUGUUUAUUAAUAUAUCUGGAAUAUAACAAAAAAUUAUAAAAAAAAUUAAAAAAUUAUAAUUUUUUUCGAAUAUGUUUUUUUCUCCUAUUAGAGUUUAAAUUAGAGACAACAUUCUUCUUUAUCUGACAAUUUAGAUUUUUUGGAAGAAUUAAUUACUUAGUUUUCUCGUUUUAUCCCUAUAAAUAAACACUAAUUUGUUUCUCUUACCAUUGCAAUGAAUUUUAAAAAGUAAUAUUGAGAUUUUAUAUUCAAAUUAAUAAAUUAAACAAUUAAUUAUAUUUUUUCCAUGUACUUGCUCCUAAAACGUCAACUAAAAAUGAAUAUUGGAGGGCGUGAUAAAUUCUUAAUUUAUAAAUGUUGACAAAAUAGUAAAAUUAUAAUGGUAUAUUAUUAUGUUAUUUUGUACUAUUAUAAAAAACAAAAAUUAUACAUUUUUUUAAGUGCGACCCAGCUUACCAUUUUUAGCGACGGAUCGAGCGACGGUUUGGUCCGUCGCUAUAGAAUAGAUAAACGAUUUAUAUGUUAUGGCGACAGUUCGAUGCGUCACUACGCGAUGGAUCGAACCGUCGCCCGAUCCGUCGGUAAAGGUGGUGAGCAAGGUAUGUUAAAUAAAAAAAAAUGCAUGUGAUUCUCUCCGAUUAUAUAUAUAUAUAUUCCAGUUUCAAAUUCUAACAUCAAAAAUAAUAAAUGUAAAAUUAAAGAGGGAAAAAAUACGUUAAUGAAAAUAAAUUUAAUAAACUAUACUUCUGAAAAAUCUAACAUCAAGAACAAUAUUAAAAUAUAGUGUAUUAAAUGGUUUAAAAAAGCUCCAUUGAGUUUCAGGAUUUCAUUUCCAAUCUUAUUUUCACAAGUUUUCCAAAUUUCAUACACACAAUUCUAGAAUUUCAAUUUUUCAGCCCCAUCCCAAAUAAACAAGCAGAUCAAUUUUGCCAGUUCAGUUGUAAGUGGAUUAUACAUUUAUAAAGGUAAAUAUGCUUUUACUCAGAUUAAAACAGGUGUAUGCAUGAUUAUACAUAUUGAAACAAUUCGGGUCAAAUUCUGUAUUCAGAACAAAUCCCAGAUUAAGUCUUAAGUUCGAAUCAAAUAACAUUCAUUCAAAUAACGUCUUAAAUCACUGACCCAAUAGUAUCUUUUUGGAUAGAUACACCCAAAAAGUCAUGACUUGAAGGUAUUAUUGGUAAUAACUUAUUUACUUAUAUGUAGACAAAUUUUUCUUCUAUCUUUCGAUGUGAGACUGGGAUGUUACAAACUCCCCAACUUAAAUUUCUGAUAUCCCCAUCAGAACCAAUCACACACGGCCCAAAUAUCUUUACCUCUCUAGCCAUUGUGGGAUAAUACCAGUUGAUUUCGUGUCCCUACCUCCGAAACCUUCAUCUCUCAAUUGUGGGGUUAAAUGUUUUCUAAGUCACUGUAAUUUAUGUCAACUUACAACUAGAUCACUGAAUUUUUUUUUUCUUAUAGUCAACUCACUAUACUCGACUUUUCUAACACAAAGUUAAAAAACCGUUAAAAGCUUUGACUUUAACGAAAAAAGAUAGCUAGACAGCUGAGUUGUCCGUUAAAAAGCUGAUGUGACGUCCUUGCGUGACGUGACAGUGAUUAUGUGGAUUUGGAGAAAAUAAUUUAUGAAAAAAAUGAAAAAAAUAUUUUAAAGUAUAAUAUAAAUUUACAAGUGUGCCAAAAUAUAAGAAAAUAAAUAAAAUAUAUAUAUUUAAUUAUUUUUGUAAUUAAUAUCAAAUAAAAUUUUAUUUAUAAUUAAGCCAUUUAUAAAAUACAAAAUCCAAAAAUAUGCUAAUUAAAAUUCAGGGGAAUGUGAAAUAUAUUUAGGGGAAAUGAAAGAAAAUUAUAAUAAAAUCAGAAAAUUUAGCAAAAAAUACAUGGUAGAAAUUAAAAAAUAAAAAGAGUUAUUUAGUUAUUUUUGUAAUUAAUAGAAAAUGUAUUUUUAUAUAAUUAAUAACAAAUAUAAUUGAGGAAAUUAUAAAAUUUAAAAUAUUUUCAAAUGUGGACUAGGAUAAAUAUAAUAAUUAUAAUUUUAAAAAUAAGAUAAAUAAAUUUGUACUUUAAAAAUAUAAUUAAUAAUUAAAAAUAUAAUUAAUUAAAAUUAAUAAUUAUAAAUUUAAAAAUAUAAUUAAUAAUUUUUUUUUCUUUUCUAACUAGGAUAAAUAAAUGUGUACUUUUACAUGCAAAUAAUUUUUAUCAAAUAAUUUUUAAUUUUAUCAAAUAAUUUUUUAUUUUAAUUUUAUCAAAUAAUUUUUAUUUUAUCAAAUAAUUUAUAUUUUAAAAUUAUACAAAAUUUAAAUUUUAUAAUUUAAUUUAAUCAAAUUUAAGAAAUAAUUAUUUUUAUUAAAAAGAGCAUGAAAAAAAACCCAAACUGCUCUCUUUUUCUCUCUCUCUCCUCUGUUCCCUACUCCACUUGUUUAGGGGAACGAGCACCAAAGUAUCACCAGGAAUCACCACAUAGACAUCUUCUUAGGGCCAACGUCACCAUAAUCGCCACAAAAAUUAAAACCUUUACCAACAAAUAGGGACCAAAUCAGAGAGCAGAGGCAUGUGUAAUGAACUAGCUUAAUUAAUUCAGUACCUUAGCAGCUGAAAAUGAGACAUGUCUCAGUAAUUGGAUUUAUUUAGUGGAAUUUGACAGGAAAAUAACAGGAAAUAGAGUAAGGGAGAGGAAGAAAGAGAGAAUAAUAGAGAGAGAUAACAGUUAGAGUGGAGAAGAAGAUAGAGAGAGAAUUCAGAGAAUUAGGGAAGAAACAUAUAGUAUAUUCAUGCCCAUUUCCAUACAAUAGUUCAGUAUUAAUACUACUAGCUAAUUAACUUAGAAAGGAAAAGACUAACAAAGACUAACAAGUCCUUAUUGUAUCAAAUGUUAAGACUAAAAUAGCCUUAAGUAACUAACAACACUUAAUCAGCAAUUAGUUCUAACAGACUUCCUGACAAACCCCUCUCCAUCAGAACAACCUUGACCUCAAGGUUGAAAAUGGGGAUAUCUCUGGUGGAGUGAUUCCCAAUCCUCCCAAGUAGCAUUAUUUGGUAAAGUGUUAGACCACUGCACCAAUACUUGAGCAGCAGCAGCAUUAGCAUUUUUCUUCUUAACCAUUCUUCUAUCCAACACAGCCACUGGUUCCACAAGGAGCUGGCCAUCAUCAUCCAGCUGAGGCAAGAUAGAAGAACUAAUGCAUUCCUUUCCAAUUUUUUUCUUUAACAAAGACACAUGGAACACAGGAUGGAUUUUAGAAUCUGUGGGAAGAGUGAGCUUGUAUGCUACUGAAUCGAUUUUCUGUUCAAUAGGAAAGGGACCAAAAAAUUUAGGAGUUAACUUCCCAAACUUAGGAUAAGCUAGAGUAGUCUGCCUAUGAGGCUUAAUCCUCAAAUAAACCAAAUCCCCCACCACAAAUGACCUCUCAUUCCUGGCCUUAUCAGCAUACCACUUCAUUCUGGACUGGGCAUCAAUUAAAUUCUGUUUCAAAAGCUACAAAAACACAUUCCUAUCUUGACAAAAUUGCUUAGUAGCUGAAUCAGAAACCCUUCCAUACUGAUGAAAGUUCAGAUGAGGAGCUCUAUAACCAUAUAAUGCCUCAAAAGGUGUAGCUUUUAGUCCAUUGUGGUAGUGGGUAUUAUACCACCACUCAAAAAAAGGUAACCAACUAAUCCAAUUGUUGGGUUUCUGAGCCACCAUGUAUCUAAGAUAACAUUCCAGUAUUUGAUUCAACCUCUCAAUCUGUCCAUCAGACUGAGGGUGAUAAGCAGUACUCAAAUGCAAUUUAGUUCCAAUCAACUUAAACAAAGACUACCAAAAUAAACUAAUGAAGAUCUUAUCUCUGUCUGAAACCACAGUGGAAGGAAAUCCAUGCAGUUUAUACACCUGAGAAAUGAAUACCUGUGCUAAAUCAUGAGCAGUGAAAGGGUGUUUAAGAGGAAUGAAAUGGCCAUACUUUGUAAACCUAUCAACCACCACCCAUAUAACAGUAAACCCAUUAGAUUUAGGCAACCCUUCAAUAAAAUCCAUUGCAAUAUCUAACCAAGGACUAUCAGGUAUUGAUAAUGGUUGUAGCAACCCAGACAAAGCCACAUUCUCAUGUUUCUGUUGCUGACAUAUAUCACAUUCCUUUACAAAUUUAAGGACAUCAGCUCUCAUAGAAGACCAAUAGAAGUACUGACUAAGUCUUUCAUAGGUUCCCCGAAUCCCAGAAUGGCCACCAACAGGAGAAGAAUGAAACUCACCAAGUAAUUUAGUCUUCAGAUUCAUAUCAGAUCCAAUGACUAACCUGUCCCUAAACUUAAGCCUUCCAUGUACAAAAGUAUAAUCAGGAACAGACUGAGGAUCAAACUGGAGUUUAAGAAUAAUGUCCCUUAAUGUAACAUCAUCUUCUCACGACUGUGCCACCUCCUGAACCCAUUGAGGAACCACUACAGAUAAACCCAAAUAGCUGUGCUCUUGAUUUUGCAACUCAGAAUAGCGAGAUAAACAAUCUGCUGCCACAUUUUCUUUGCCUUUCCUAUAUUCGAUCUCAUAAUCCAAACCCAUCAAUUUUGUAACCCAUUUCUGUUGAUUUAUAGUAGUUAUUCUUUGAUCCAAUAGGUACUUCAAACUGUGAUGAUCAGUUCUAAUGAUGAUUUUAUUACCUAACAAGUAAUGCCUCUACUUCUGAACCGCAUGUACCACAGCCAUUAAUUCCUUCUCAUAAGUAGACCAACCCAAAUGUUUGGAAGCAAUAGCCUUACUGAGAUAAGCAAUAGGUUUCCCUUGCUGCAUUAGAAUUUCACCCAAACCAAAAUAGGAAGCAUCUGUCUCCAAUACAAAAGGUUUAGUAAAGUCUGGUAAAGCUAAAACUGGAGCUUUCACCAUGGCCUCCUUUAAAGCUAAGAAAGCUUUUGUAGCCUCUUCAUUCCAAAAAAACUUAUCUUUCUUAAGCAAAUCUGUGAGAGGUCUGCUAAUAAUACCAUAAUACUGAAUAAACUUUCUGUAAUAUCCUGUUAACCCCAAGAAUCCUCUUAAACUCUUAAUAUUUUGAGGUAAAGGCCAAUUAGUCAUGCACAAUAUCUUAUCUGGAUCAGUAGAUACUCCAGAUGGAUCAAUUAUGUGUCCCAAAUACUGAAUUUGUUGAGUACCAAACAUGCACUUACUUCUCUUAGCAUAUAAUUGAUGAUCCACUAACAGCUGCAAGGUCAUUCUCAAAUGAUACAAAUGUUCUUCAAAACUUCUGCUGUACACAAGUAUAUCAUCAAAAAAUACUAGUAUGAAUUUCCUAAGAUAUGGUUUAAAAACUUCAUUCAUUAAAGACUGGAAAGUUGCAGGUGCAUUAGUCAGCCCAAAAGGCAUGACCAAAAAUUCGAAAUGGCCUGUGUGAGUCCUAAAUGCAGUCUUAGGAAUAUCAGGAGCAUGAACCUUAAUCUGAUGGUAACCUGAUCUGAGGUCUAACUUUGAAAACCAUCUAGAACCAUGCAGCUCAUCCAAUAGUUCAUCAAUUACUGGAAUGGGAAACUUAUCCUUAACAGUCAUAUCGUUUAAUGAUCUAUAAUCAACACACAUCCUCCAAGAUCCAUCAUGUUUCUUCACUAAUAAAACUGGAAAGGCAUAUGGACUAUGACUGGGUUGAAUUACUCCAGAUUGCAAUAGUUCCUGAACUAUUUUUUCAAUCUCCUCUUUUUGCACAUGAGGAUACUUGUAUGGCCUCAAAUUAAUAGGUUGACUACCAUCCUUCAAAUUGAUGUGAUGAUUAUAUGACCUGUCUGGAGGUAAACAAUUUGGUUCCUGAAAAAUCUGUUUAAAGCCUCGAAGUAAUUCAUCUAAUUGCAACUGUUGUUGUUCCUCAAGUUCAUUCUUUUCUUUACUAGUACUGCCUUCUCCUUCCAAUUUUGACCCUUCAACACCUUGAUUCAUGACUAAACCAAAAAGAUACCCAAAGUAGCCAUGAGUUGUUGCAUUCAAAGUUCUUUUGAAAUCCCCAAAUUUCAUAAUUUGAAUACUAGGAGAUACCAUAUCAGAAUCUCCUUGUAACAACACUUGUUUCCCAUCUUUGACAAAAGAUAAAUGCAACUGAUUGAAAUCAAAAGUCACAGGAUUAAAUUUUUUGAGCCACUGUACACCUAAUACAACGUCUAUUCCUCCUAAAGGCAAAACUCUAAAAUCAGUAGUAAAGGCCUCUCCUUGUGCUGUCCACUUAAUUGAUUUACAUUCUUGAUAACUGGUAACCUUAAAACCAUCAGCCACAGGAACUGAAAUAGGUUUUUUUUCUUGUAUCCCAGCCUUAAUUCUCUUAACAGCUUGGGAAUCCAAGAAAUUGUUAGUGCUUCCACUAUCAAUUAAAAUUCUCAAAACCUUCCCAUUGACCAUUCCUAAAAUUCUGAUAGUGCUAUGAACACUGUGACCAGACAGAGCAUGCAAUGUAAUAUGUGCCUCUUGUUUCUCAUCCAUUUCCUUAACAUACACAUCUUCAUCAUCACACUCUUCACUGCCACAACCCUGGUUAUCCUCUUUAUCAAGUUUAUCAGAUGGUAUCAUCAUAAACAACUGUGGCUUUUUGCAUUGGUGUCCCACAAAAUAGGGUUCAUCACAUGAAAAAUACAAUUUCUUCUUUCUUUUGUCUGCUAUUUGCUCUCUUGUUAACCCUCGCACAGGUAAAGUCCUGCCUACCUCAAUGUUAGGCAGACCAGCAGAUUGAAUCACAGCAGAUCCCCCUUCUGUAGUUCUAGGUCCAAAACCUUGGUUAAUUUUCUGUGAACUGCCCAAAAAUGAUUUUAUACCCAUUCUACUCCUCCUUACCCACGCUUCUAGUUUAGCUUCUUCAACUCUAGCCAUUCUAAUCAAUUCCUUAAGAGAAGAAAUUUUUAACUCUUGAAUUCCCAAUCUAAUUUCUUCCUUAAGUCCUCCCAUGAAACAAUCCAUGAAGAAGUGCUCAUUUAGUACAUGAUUCCUAGCAAGAGACCAACUCUUAAGCUCCUCAAACUUCCUCCUAUAGUCAUCAACAGUGCCAUUUUGCUGCAGAUUUUUAAGUUCUCCUAUUGGAUUGAUCUGUACCUCUGAGCUAAACCUAGCCAAAAUUUCUUCAAUAAAACCACUCCAAUUCAGUUCAACUCCCCCAGUCACAAAACCAGAAUACCACUCCUCAGCUUCUCCUUCCAGAUUCAUUGUUGAUAAAUACAACUUCUGCUUUUCAUCCACCAUGUGAUGAGCAAAUAGUUUAUUACAUCUUCUAAUCCAUGAUCUAGGAUUAACUCCACUGAAUUUAGGAAAUUCAAACUUAAUUGAUUUGAAUAUGUUGUUAUCAAUUUUUUCAGUAGAAGUUCCAGACUCAAAGGAUCCUAGAAUUGAACCAGAAUCUGUAUCAUGAUUACCUAUAGUCUGUGUUACAGGAAAUCGAACUGAAAGUAAUGCUUCAAAGCCUUUCAACAUCUGUUGCAUUUUCUGUUCCAUUUGAGUUUCAAAAUUCUGACUCAAACUGCUAAUCGAGUCCUGGAGCUGCACCUUCAUCUGCUGAAUUGAAGUAUUAUGUUCGGUAAUAUGUGCUUCGAGAUUGCCAAUCCUCUGAUUAUUAGUCGCCAUGUCUGAAUUGUAGUAGCUUUGAUACCAAUUGUAAUGAACUAGCUUAAUUAGUUCAGUACCUUAGCAGUUGAAAAUGAGACAUGUCUCAGUAAUUGGAUUUAUCUAGUGGAAUUUGACAGGAAAAUAGCAGGAAAUAGAGUAAGGGAGAGGAAGAAAGAGAGAAUAAUAAAGAGAGAUAAUAGUUAGAGUGGAGAAGAAGAUAGAGAGAGAAUUCAGAGAAUUAGGGAAGAAACAUAUAAUAUAUUCAUGCCCAUUUCCAUACAAUAGUUCAGUAUUAAUACUACUAGCUAAUUGACUUAGAAAGGAAAAGACUAACAAAGACUAACAAGUCCUUAUUGUAUCAAAUGUUAAGACUAAAAUAGCCUUAAGUAACUAACAACACUUAAUCAACAAUUAGUUCUAACAGACUUCCUGACAGCAUGCCAUCUCGAAUAGAACCGAUGAUGCUAAUUAGGGUUUGGUAUAAAAGGAUUUCCAGCUGGAAAAGAAUAAGAGGUUGAAUAGAGGGGGUCUUGUAUGUGGAAAUUAGAGUUUCCAGCAGAAAGAUGAUGAAGUGGAAUCGAUAGGUGUGUAUAGAGGAUAGGGUUUUCAGCGUGGAAAAGGAGAUAAAUGUGAAAUCUGGUUGACCUUUUGAAAGAAUCUCCGCCGCCGCUGGUCGAUCUACCUGAAACUGGGGUUAUCGAUUUGUAUGAUUUUGUUGCAGUGGUCAAGGCUGGGGCGACGGCCUUGACUAUGCCUCCGCCGCCGCCGCGUUCAUUAAUCCGGCGAACUGAUGAGGUUAACAUUUUUGUAUGUGUAUUUAAUUGAUUGAUUUGUGGUGUUCCUAAGGGAUUUAAAGGGUUUGGAGAUUGGAAAGAGAAGAAGCGCAGAGUAGAUUGUGGGUUUUACUUUUGGUAUAGAGAGGAGCGGAGUGAGGUUGGGAGGGAAAUGAAUUUCAGAUUUUGAGUUUUGAAAUUUUUGAGGACCCGUGUGCUAUUCUUUUACAUUUUUUUGUUGACAAUUUUUUUAGUUUUUUAUAAAAAGUAUUAAAAUUAGGGAAUUGAUAUUUCCAUAAAAAAAAUUAUCACCAAAUUGACUCAAUUAUAAUUUUAAUGUCCGAAUUGAAAAGAUUUUAAUUUUUAAAAUAUUUUUAAUUAUAUAAUGUUUAUAAUUUCCUCAAUUAUAUUUGUUAUUAAUUAUAUAAAAAAAUAUUUUUUAUUAAUUAUAAAAAUAACUAAAUAACUCUUUUUAUUUUUUAAUUUCUACCAUGUAUUUUUUGCUAAAUUUUCUGAUUUUAUUAUAAUUUUCUUUCAUUUCCCCCUAAUUAUAUUUCACAUUCCCUGUUGGCGUUGGGAUUUUUCCUGUCCCUUUUCUGUUCUUAUCUUUUGGUGUUCUCAUGUUAGGUGAUAUUUGUUUAAAAAAAUAAGUUGUGAAAAGGUCCGACAUGUAUAUAUCGACGAUUGGACUAUAAGAGUCGUCAGUUGGUAUUUUUAAAUGGUUGCACCAACUCAACCGAGAAAAGGUUUACACAUUGACCCAGUGAUGUGACACUGCUUAACGGGUCUGUAAAAUCGAGAUUCGUUAGGGUCCAGGGGCUUGAUUAUGCGGAGGGAAGGUGUUAGGCACCCCUCAAUAUCCGUAUUACCACGGUGACCGCCACUUUUCAAUUAAACUGUUAUAUGAAUGUGUGUGUGUGUGUGUGUGUGUGGGUCAAUGUGAAAUUAUCUGGAAGUAGUGUUAUGCCUCUUUUGCACCUAUAUACAAAGGGUUUAAAUUUUAUAUAAAAGUUCAGUUUUAACAAGAUAUAGCAGUGAUGUUUUGUAAAAGAGGUUUUUCAAACCCUUAUGCUGAAUAGUAAUUGAGGCCUUUGAUACUUCCAUUUUAUUAUAUGUUCGGCUUGAUUGCUUUUAUUUUCGAGAUGCGAGGCAUCUUCGAGAAAAUAAUAUGCAUAGCAGUGCCGAACUCCUUGUAGGCAUGAGAGCCAUCUAAGGAAAUUCAAACACCGUGAAUAUUAUACAAGCUGAUUACAGCCGAAAAUGUUUAUCAUGGGAACCGAAUCUAGAUUCAGGAGACUGAUUCUGUGAUCUCAUGAUUCCUAGGCUGACAUGAUGUUGCAGUUUAUAUGAAAGUUGUAACCAGUUAUAUAUAUAAAAGUUAUAAAUAUAUAUAUAUAUAUAUAUAUAUAUAUAUAUAUAUAUAUAUAUAUAUAUAUAUAUAUAUAUAUAUAUAUAUAUAUAUAUAUAUAUAUAUAUAUAUAUAUAUAUAUAUAUAUAUAUAUAUAUAUAUAUAUAUAUAUAUAUAUAUAUAUAUAUAUAUAUAUAUAUAUAUAUAUAUAUAUAUAUAUAUAUAUAUAUAUAUAUAUAUAUAUAUAUAUAUAUAUUAAAGUAGUAUACGCACCGGAUAUAAAUUCAGGCUCAUCGAACAGAGUUCGACAAUAGUUUUUAUAUAUAUAUAUAUAAGCAAAAAAUGCUCCGGAUGUAAAUCCAGGCUCACCGAACAGAGUUCGAUAACAGUUUAUAUAUAUAUAUAUAUACACACACACACACACACACACACACAAAGGAAUAAAAAGCCACGGACCGAAGUCUAGGCAUACGCACACAACACGACUCUCAACGUGAAUAACUGUGUGAGCAGAAUGUGGAGAAAAGGCUUUAAGAAAUGUAAGAAGUCUUACAGUGGGCUACCAAGAAGACUUCAAAUAAAUUUAAUUGAAUGAACACUCGGUUUCCACCGGUAAACUAUAGCACAGUAUGUAAGACCCCAACUUUUAUGAAUAAAGAUUAAUUUUUCUCGAAAUAUAUUUUUGAAUAUUAUGGUGUCGAUAUGAUAUAAUGUUAUAGUUGUGGGUAAUAUUUACAAAUUUUGCAAAGUAAGCAAGUUGUUAUAAAAUAUUCGAUUGUUCGGAGAAUAUUCGUACGACGACACAAUCAUUGGUGGACCCCACAACGGAAGUAUUGUCGUAGUUAGAAAAUGACAGAAUUAUCUUUUUAUAAAAAUAACGGCGAACGUUUUACCGUUAAACUAUUGAACUACCCGGUAGUAAAAUUAUAAUAAUACGCGUGGUUGCAUAGUAGCACACGGUAUUGAUUAUUGAUGCUUACGUGAGAAGCCACUCAGUUAUACUCAAUUAUUACUACAGUAAUUGCUGCAUCAUAUCUCUCAUAUUAUUGAUUCAAUUAUUAUCACAGUAUCAUCUGCAUAAUAUUUUAUAUUAUUAAAUCAAUAAUUGAGACGACAAAGUUAUUCAUAUUAUUAUUUGCAAAUGUUACAAAUGCGGAGGGGAGGGACAUAUCAGUCAAAACUGUGUGAUGCAGUCAAAGCAUGUUACAAUUGUGGAAGAGAAGGUCACCUAGCCCGAUUUUGUCAUACACCAAAGUCAAGUCCAGCUAGAAUGGAGGCAUCAAAGGCCGUCCCAGACAAGACAAAACUGGUAGUUCAAGGGAGAGCGUUUAUCGUAACCUCCCAAAAAGUGAGGAAUCCAAACGAGGUGAUCACGGGUAAGCUAAUCAUAAACUCUAGCGAAGUAUAUACCUUAUUUGAUACCGGUUCUACCCAUUCUUUUAUUUCUCCUAAUUGCACUCAACGUUUAAAUUUGACUCCGGAGAAAUUAGACUUUGACUUAUCUGUUGAAACUCCGUUAGGAGAAACCUUCAUUACAUCCACUGUUUAUAAGUCUUGUUUGAUUCAAAUCGGUAACCGCACGUUACCUAUCGAUCUUAUUUAUUUGAAAAUACUUGCAUUUGAUGUAAUUUUAGGGUGAUUGGUUAACUACUCAUCAUGCUAAAAUCGAUUGUUUUCGUAAGGUUGUUAGCUUUCAUAUUCCUAACCAACCUAUUAUACGAAUUCAAGCAACCAAAUCACUAAAGUCAAUCACUAUCAUAUCAAGCCAUAAAGCUAUUCGUUUAUUAAAAAAUGGAUGUCAAGCUUUCUUAGCCCAUGUCACGGAUUUAAAUAAAAAUACGUCGGAUUUGAAUGAUAUUUCUAUUAUUAAUAAAUUUCCUGAUGUAUUCCCUGAAGAACUUCCUGGCCUACCCCCAGAGCGUGAAAUUGAAUUUUGUAUCGACCUUGAAUCCGGUACAAAACCCAUUUCCAAAGCCCCAUAUCGAAUGGCUGCUAUUGAACUUCAGGAGUUAAAAAUGCAACUACAGGAAUUGUUAGACAUCAGUUUCAUUCAUCCUAGUACGUCUCCUUGGGGUGUUCCUGUUCUAUUCAUGAAGAAGAAAGAUGGAAGUAUGCGACUUUGUAUUGAUUAUCAGGAGUUGAAUCAUGUCACCAUCAAAAAUAGGUACCCGUUACCUCGUAUUGAUGAUCUGUUUGACCAGUUGCAAGGCGCCAAAUUCUUUUCAAAGAUCGAUCUUCGUUCCGGAUAUCAUCAGUUAAAGAUUAAAAUCGAUGACAUUCCAAAAAUGGCUUUCAGAACUCGGUACGGGCAUUAUGAAUUCCUAAUCAUGUCUUUUGGAUUGACUAAUGCUCCUGCUGCCUUCAUGGAUAUGAUGAACCGAGUAUUCAAAGAAUAUUUGGAUCAAUUUGUGGUCGUCUUUAUUAAUGACAUCCUCAUAUACUCCAAAACCCGUGAAGACCAUGAGCAACACUUGAGGUUGAUACUCCAAAAGCUUUGUGAAAACAAGCUAUAUGCCAAGUUGAAGAAAUGCGAGUUCUGGCUUGAGGAAGUUGCAUUCCUUAGGCACGUGAUAUAAAAUCACAGAAUAUCUGUUGACCCGGCAAAGAUUGAAGUAAUUCAAAGCUGGGAGCAACCUAAGUCAGUGACCGAAGUACGUAGCUUUCUCGGCUUAGCUGGUUAUUAUCGGAGAUUCGUAGAAUGGUUUUCUCGAAUCACUACUCCAUUAACUCAGCUGACUCGAAAAGAUACAAAAUUCAGUUGGAACGAGAAAUGUGAGAAGAGUUUUCAAGAACUCAAGAGAAGACUCAUUUCAGCACCAGUUCUGACAAUACUAUCUGGCUCAGAGGGAUUUGUCAUCUACAGUGAUGCUUCAGGAAAAGGAUUAGGAUGUGUUUUCAUGCAACAUGCAAAAGUCAUAGCCUAUGCCUCUCGACAACUCAAAGAAUAUGAGAGGAACUAUCCUACUCAUGAUCUAGAGUUGGCAGCUAUCGUUUUUGCGCUUAAGAUUCGGAGGCAUUACCUGUAUGGAGAAAAUGUGGAGAUAUAUACGGAUCAUAAAAGCCUCAAAUAUUUCUUCACUCAAAAGGAACUCAACAUGCGGCAAUGACAUUGGCUUGAGCUGUUGAAAGAUUAUGAUCAUACCAUUCAAUACCAUCCUGGAAAAGCGAACGUAGUAGUUGACGCAUUGAGUAGAAGAUCAUAUGCAGGUACGAAUGCAUUAUUGUCAACGUAGAGGCCCAUUUUGUAUGACUUGUAAAGGAUGGAGAUAGAGUUAAAGACUCCAGGGACCCACGUGAUGAUGGCAAACAUAUGAGUAGAACCGACUUUAAUUGAUAAAGUUAAAGCUGCUCAAGCUACAAACCUGGAGCUGAUGUGUAUGAGGAAGAAAGUGCAAGAAGGUGCUAUCCCGGAAGCAAGAAUCGAUGAAGAAGGAAUACUUCAAGUCAAUUCCAAAUUUUGUGUUCCAAACGAUUCUGACUUGAAGUAUAAAAUCAUGAUGGAGGCGCACAACACACUGUUUGCAAUCCAUCCUGGGAGUACCAAAAUGUAUAGUGAUCUUCGACAUACAUUUUGGUGGAGCAAUAUGAAGAGAGAUAGUGCGGUUUAUCUCAAGGUGUCUAACUUGUCAACAAGUCAAGGCAGAGCAUCAAGUGCCAAAAGGUCCAUUACAACCACUUGAAAUUCUAGAAUGGAAGUGGGAGCACAUUACCAUGGAUUUCGUUACUGGUCUUCCCAAUGUUUCUCAAGGCAUAGAUGCAAUUUGGGUCAUUGUUGAUAAAUUGACCAAGUCUGCUCAUUUUUUACCUAUACGAGAAACUUAUACAAUUGAACGCCUUGCUCGUAUGUACAUAAACGAGGUUAUAAGACUACAUGGUAUGCCAGUAUCCAUAGUUUCUGAUCAAGAUACAAGAUUCAUUUCAAGAUUUUGGGUUAAUUUGCAAAAAGCUAUGGGCACGAAUUUAUGAUUUAGUUCGGCUUAUCAUCCUCAAAUGGACGAUCAGUCGGAAAGGACUAUUAAACUCUUAAAGAUUUAUUAAGACUAUGUGUCAUUGACUUAAAGGGAAGUUGGGACAAGUUCUUAUCAUUGGUGGAGUUUUCCUACAACAACAGUUAUCAAGCAAGUAUUGGUAUGACUCUAUUUGAGGCGUUGUAUGGAAGAAAGCGUCGUUCUCUAGUAUGUUGGGAUAAGGUGGGUGAAGCAACGUUGUUGGGACCGGAGUUGGUACGUAUGACUACGAAAAAGAUUCAAACGAUCCGACAACGUAUAAAAACCUCACAAGAUCGAUAAAAGAGUUAUGUUGAUCUUCAUCGAAAGGACGUGGAAUUCAAUAUUGGAGAUCAUGUGUUGUUACGUAUUGCUCCAUGGAAAGGAGUUACGAGAUUUGGAAAGAGAGGAAAGCUCAAUCCUCGAUUCAAUGGCCCAUUUAAAAUCCUCGAACGAGUAGGAACUGUGGCCUAUAGACUCGCCUUACCACCAAGUAUGUCUCGUGUUCAUAACGUUUUCCACAUAUCUAUGUUACGUAAAUAUGUGAAAGACCUGAACCACAUUAUUGAAUUAGAACCAGAUGAGAUAGAGGAAGAUUUAACGUAUGAAGAGUUACAUGUUAAAAUCUUGAAUAAGAAGUAUCAUAUUCUACGCUCCAAGGUUAUACCUCAAGUUAAAGUUUUGUGGAGAAACCACGAUGUGGAGGAAAUGACCUGGGAGUUAGAAUCUGAAAUGAAAUUAAGGUAUCCUCACAUCUUCGACAUACCAGGUACGCACCCUAAUUUUGAGGAUGAAAUUUCAUAAGAAGGGGAGGUUGUAAGACCCCAACUUUUAUGAAUAAAGAUUAAAUUUUCUCGAAAUAUAUUUUUGAAUAUUAUGGUAUGGAUAUGACAUAAUGUUAUAGUUGUGGGUAAUAUUUACAAAUUUUGCAAAGUAAGCAAGUUGUUAUAAAAUAUUCGAUUGGUCGAGGAAUAUUCGUUUUAACAGGAAAUAUUCGUAUGACGGCACAAUCAUUGGUGGACCCCACAACGGAUGUAUUGUCGUAGUUAGAAAAUGACAGAAUUAUCUUUUUAUAAAAAUAACGGCGAAAGUUUUACCGUUAAACUUUUUAACUACCCAGUAGUAAAAUUACAGUAAUACGCGUGGUUGCAUAGUAGCACACGGUAUUGAUUAUUGAUGCUUACGUGAGAAGUCACUCAGUUAUACUUAAUUAUUGCUAUAGUAAUUGAUGUAUCAUAUCUCUCAUAUUAUUGAUUCAAUUAUAUUAUUAAAUCAAUAAUUAAGACGACAAAGUUAUUCAUAUUAUUAUUUGUAAUAUUGACAAUCUAGAAGUUCUGUCAAGGAGAGGUUUGGUCACCUAGUCUUUCAUGGGAAUGACCUGGUUGUUAAAUAUUGUAAGUUAUAAUAUUAAUGAUGAAUAAGUUUGUGUUGAUUAAAGAUGAAAUUGAUAGCUCCAUUGUGUUGGGAUUAUUAGUGUUAGUGGAAAACGACAUCUAUUUUGAUAAUAAUGGAUGUCUGGAGGUUAUAUUGACCAAUCGGGUAGUUAAUUGGAUAAAUGAGAAAUUAAUUGCUAUUAAUUCACAUGCUUAUAACUAUUUGCUUAUAUGUGUGUACUAUUGAUUCACAUGCAUGUACUAUUAGGGGAGGUGGUGCAGGAUUGAUAAUACUUGCAUGACUAAAUUAAAAAUGGAAGUAUAGAUGAAGGUACUAUAUUGUAAUUAUUUUUUUCACAUGAUUGAACUAUUGAUUCACAUAAAUGUACUAUUAAUUCACAUGAUAUACUAUUAGGGGAGGUGGGUGCAAGUUUGAUAAUACUUACAGGACUAAAUUAAAAAUGAAGGAAAAGAUGAAGGUAUUAUACUGUAAUAUUUCGAGCCCCAAAACGUGCAAUUAUCAAAACUAUAUUUUCCUAUAAAUAGAAGCUCAUUUUUCCUUCAUUCUCACCAAUUCACUAAGACUCACAAGAGCAUUUAUAGAGAGAGAAGCUAUAGAGAGAAAGAAGAAGAGAAGUCUGCUACCUCACUAUUCCAGUAUCCAAUCUUCUUCUGAGGUAAGGGAUAUUAUUUUGUUCAGUAUUCGUAGGAAUAAUAUUUUCUUCCAUACUCUGUAGUAUGUGAGUAAUAUUAUUUCAUCUCGUAUUCCUGAUUAUACCUUCAUCUUGUUAAAGUAUUGCUUCUAUACUCCGUGAAAUUAGUAGAAUAUCCUUGAAAUUUGCUCUUCAUCUAGUAUCUUUUCACAAGGAUAUUUUCUGCACAUUCUUGUUAGAUUUUAAGCUUUUCAUGCUGGAGUACUGUCCAUGAGUACUAUUACUAUUCAUGAGGUACUAUUCAUGAGUACUAUUCACAAAUCAUUUUUGAUACAAUAUCAUUCUUGAAUUUUACUCCACAAAGCAGUAUCAUGUUGGCACUUUGAACAUUAUUGAAUUCUGGACAAAUUAAAUUAUAUAUCUUUAAAAAUUUAUCCUUUUUUUCUUUUAAUUGAAUUCUUAUAUCAUUGUCAUCAUCCUCAUGCUUAUAUUGUGAUGAAAGUCAUCUUUGGCUUACGUGCAUAUAUGAACUGUUGAUUGGUAUGAUUAUGACCAGGGAUCAUUCCGUAUAAUCAUGACCCGUAAUGUUACAAAUGAUGUGGUAAAAGUCCUCAUUGGCCUGUAGUUCAUUGAUGGACAGUUGUUGGUAUGAUUAUGACCAGGGAUUAUUCGGUAUAGUCAUGACCAUUGAUGAUUAUAUGAAUAUCCUUGGUCGUGGUGCAGGGAUAAUUCGAUGAUGUGAUUUAUUUAUUAAGCUGAGUCUCAGCGAUAAAUUUGAUGAAAAUCUUUUUAAAUCAUAGAAGAUAGUAGAUAUCAUGCUCUAUUUGACUCUUCUAAUGGAUUGCUUGUUCCACUGCAGUUAAACUUGUUGUCUAUUAUAUUCUAUCAGUUUAACAUUGUGGAAGGCUAAUGAUAACUUAUUCUACAUUAUCUUAGUCAUAAUAUUUCUUACUGGGCUAGUUGAGCUCACCCUUUGCUUUCAUUGUUCUCUUCAGGAAAUGAGAAUAUAGUUGGGACUAGUCAGGGAACGGAGUGACGGUCCAGAUGAUAGCAUUAGUAGUCCUCACUAUUUUGUUAAAUAGUGUGAUAAUAAAUGUAAUAAGGACUUCAUUUGAGUUUGAAUACUGUCUAGAAGACAAUAUUCGUAUUAAAACUCUCAGUUUCUGUUUUAUCGUAUUUUACACGACAGAUGUAUUAUUAAGUUGUAUUUGAAUUUUGUACCAUGUAUUUGGCAACUCAAGAUGGGUGAUGUAUACCUAUUUUGGGGGCGUCACACAAUAUAAACUCACAAGUGUUUAAAAUGAGAAAGCACUUAGUUUAUAGCGUGUACAUAGCAAAAUGGACAGGGCUUCCUCGCCUUUUCUCUAUGCAAAAUGGCCACCCCAAGCCCUCUAUUUAUAGGGGGGGGGGGGAGCACCAGGUGUACCUGCGGUAGCCUCUGGUGUACCUGCAGUAGCCGCUGGUGUACCUGCGGUAGCCGCUGGUGUACUUGCAGUAGCCGCAUAUGCACCUGCGGCUUCCCGGGGUGCCCCGGGUUCUACAGGUUCUGCCAUCUCGAAAUACAUGCACGCAUGCAACAUGUUGUUCGCUCGAACUUUCAGAACUUCAAUCCGAGCAUCUGAUUGAGGUGUAUAAUACCUUUUUUUAGAAUGUUGUUGUCGAGAGCUACACAAUAACAUAGGAUUAGAGGUUGUACGAAGUCAGGAAGAUGGACCAUACCCAGGUCUUCAAGCUUCAAAUUCUAUCCGGUGUGCUGUCUUAUGUAUUAGUCACUCGGGAUUGGAGCCAUGGUUCUUGUAGGACAUUGCUACGUAGAAUAUAUGUUGAAAUGUAUUGAGACGACGCAAUGUGGAAUCGAGGUGGCAAAAUGAUGAUUUUGCCCCUCACUAGGGUUAUCUCUGGUUUGGGCUAAUGUAGCAGUCGUUGCUCAAGAUUAUCUCUGAGAUUGGGCUGCUGUAAGUGCUAAAUGUCCUCAGGGUUAUCUCUGAGAUGUGCCUUACCUCCCGGGGCUAUCUCCGGGACUGGAACUGAGUGCCUCGGGGUUAUCUCCGAGGUUGAAGCUGAUUGCAAGGGUUGAAAUGAGCUUUUUUGGGGUUAUCUCCGGAACUGCAACUGCACUCCUCGGGGUUGUCUCUGAGAUUGAAACUGGAACUCCCAGGGUUAUCUCCAGGACCGAGUAUCUUAGGGUUUGUCUCUGAGAUGGAAAACUGAUGAUUCUAGGGUUGUCUCUGGAACUGGAACAACAUUCCUCGAGGUUGUGUCUGAGGUUAAAACUGAAACUCCCGGGGUUGUCUCCGAGACUGGAACUGGUUAUCUCGGGAUUGUCUCUGAGAUGGCAAGACUCAUAAUUCUGGGGUUGUCUCCGGAAUUGGAGCUGCUUUGUCCUCCAGGGUUAUCUCUGAAAGACGAUUCUGCCCUCUCGCAAUGUUAGUAACAUGAAUGCAAAAUUUCAAGUGUCUAUAGAUCCGUUAAGUAUGAUCGUAUUGGAGGCUUGGCUAGGAUUUUACCCAUUUCUGCUGGUGAGUAUUUCUCUUAUGAUUUCCCAUCUACGGGUUAAGAGUGUUGACUGACAGCUAGCAGAUGUUUGCCUUUGUGUUGGCAGUUCUGGGCCUAUGAGAGGCUCCCAUGCUUGCGUCCUGUGAGUGUGUUAGGUUUAGAUACAUAUCCACGAGGACGACGAUGGCAUCACUCCAUACUGGGGGAGGUUCUUGUAGCUGAGGGUUUCACCCAUUGUCGUCUACAGUUGGAGUUGUUGACAGCCGAUGCUAUCACUUGGGUUCCCUAUUCUAGGGAACAUUUGACCGUUAGGUUUGAGGAUGGGUACCCGACUGGUGUCGAGUACGUGAUAUCCACCCGUAGGAUUCAUCUCUUCACAGAUGGAGGAUGAGAGCUUUAUUUGGGAGAACGUGCUAUUAGGAGCAUCACAGAGGAGAUUCGUGUACCGAUCUUGCCUCCUGUCAGGUGUUAUUGGCUUGUGUCACAGUCGCCUGUCAGUGAUAUCCCAUUGAUGGGUGUUGACGACUUUACAUUUUUAGAGGGUUCGUAUACUCAAGAUAUGUUCCAUCGUUGGUGGUCCCCUGGUACCAUCGGAGCCCAGACCCGCGCCACUCAGUUUAUGGGGGAUAUAGUUCCUGGAUCUGUGAUGAUGACGGAUUGGAUAACCUGUGUCAGAGAUCCGACUCAUUUAACACAGAUUGACAGUUUAAGCCGGUAGUUGGACCGGGCAUAUUUCUUUAUCCGGCACUUGGUCAGAGAUCCUUCAGAGGCAGAACAUUUUAAUCCUUCUAGCUCUGGGGCUGGCCCUUCAGAUGACCUAUAUGGUUUUUCUGGUGCAGAUCCUCCAUUGUAUAGGCCUGACAUCCCUCAUGGCGGAGAUCCAGUGACUCAGGAGGAGUUACAUCAGGUGGACAGGAUUGAUGAUGUAGAUAUUGACACCAUUGUCUUCUUCUGAUGUGUAUUCUCGCUAUAUUUUUUGAUAGGCCUCUGUUAGAUACUGGGUGGAUGUGCCCCAUUCUCGCUAUAUCUUUUGAUAUGCCACUGUUAGUCGUUGGGCGUCUAUGCCCCAUUUCCUUAUAUUUUUAGCUGUACAGAGAUGAUGUAUUAGAUGAUAAUAUACUUAGGAAUGUAUGUACUAUUUUCCAUUCCCUACAUCAUAUUGCCAUCUAUUGUUGAUCAUGCAUGUAUUAUGUUAUACAUAUGUAUGUCCAGAGAUAUUCAGCAUUGACCCUGGAUGGUCUUAUGAUACGGCACACACAGAUGUCUUCUUUGACAGUUAGCCGCAUUGAUCAUACCCCACCAGUAUUGGUAGCCUUUCGUUUAAGGUCAUGGUAUGAUAGUUUGUCACCUCCAAACAGGGUGACCGUAGAUCAACUAUUACAGCAUUCUUUGACCCUCCUGAUGUUCUAGGUUCCUGUGGGCUUUGUAGAUGGUAUGCUGGAGCAUUGGGUAUCGGAGAGGCAGGUUUUCCGAUUUGGGACCCAGGAGUUGACUCCCACCUUAGAGGAGUAUGCGCGGUUGACGGAGCUGCCACUAGAUAGACCUUGCGUGCGGAUGGUUAUUGGCGACAUGAGCCGGCAGUUUAUGAUCCUCACUGGGCUAAGGCGUAGAGUAGUAUAGGAUGAGAUUACAUCCGGCCAUAUGGUGUCCCAGCGUUUUCUGAUAGACAGAUUUGGCUCAGUGGAAAGUUAUGCACGACAUUCCUAGGAUUUUACCACGUCGGAGGAUCAGUGGCGUGUUGCCAGGGUAGACAUACUCAUGAUGUGCGUAGUGGCUUAUGUGUACAUGUCGCUGUAUAUGGAUGAGCUGGAUAUCGGUGUUGUCAUGGCAGUGAGAGCUCUCAAGGAGGGUCAUACCAUUAUGCCGAUGAUUAUGACAGAGACGUUGAGAUCCACCAUGUAUUUUCAUAUCUAUCCUGCAAGAGUAUUCAUAGGCAGUUUGGUCAUGUUGUAUGUGUGGUUCAUGUCACACUUGAGACCGAUUGGCACCUUCCGACGACAUGGGUACUGCUUUUCCCAUGAGAUAGCCAUGUCUUACUCCUUUCAGCUAGGGGAGUGUACAGACAUUGUAUCUUGGUCAGUGUUCUUGGCAGGGAUUAGAGAUCCAUUUGAUAUUUUUCCCUGUACAGGGCUCAGUUCAGCCUACAGCUUCAUUACUCAUGCAUCUGGCGUGGAUUAUCUCCCUCUGGCUCGUUUGAGGGGCAUGAUUACUUACCACCCACUGGCUGUGAUGUCACAGUUCGACCAGUUCCAGGACGUCCAUCCUUUUGAGGAAGCAUUAGGUCAGCGUUUGGCUUCUCGCCAUUUGUCAUCAGAGGAUAGAUCCAGGGUGUAUGCCUAUUGGGAUCAGCGUGAGCUAGUUGAGUUUUCUGUUAACCAUCCGGGCUGUUCGGCAGAGUAUUCUGCAUGGAUGGAGGUAGAGACCACAUCGGCUGUGGUUGUAUCCACAGUUUCGGGGAUUGAUUUUGAUGGUGGAGAGCCCAUAGAGGACAUUGAUUCUCCUACUGAGGAGGAGCUAAUUGCUGCGUUGCCAGCAGUUGUGAUGGAUUCUCCCAGUAUGACUGCUACUAUGACCCCGCAUUCAGUAGAGUAUUUAGUGUAGAUCCGUCAUCUGAUGACAUGUGUUGAGAUGGCGCAGUGUGGAAUCGAGGUGGCAAAAUGAUGAUUUUUCCCCUCACCGGGGUUAUCUUUGGUUUGGGUUGAUGUAGCAGUCGUUGCUCAAGGUUAUCUCUUAGAUUGGGCUGCUGUAAGUGCUGAAUGUCCUCAAGGUUAUCUCUGAGGUGUUCCUGACCUCCCGGGGCUAUCUCCAGGACUAGAACUAAGUGCCUCGGGGUUAUCUCUGAGGUUAAGUUGAUUGCAAGGGUUGAAAUGAGCUUUUCUGGGGUUAUCUCCGGAACUGUAAUUGCACUCCUCGGGGUUGUCUCUAAGGUUAAAACUGGAACUCCCAGGGUUGUCUUCGAGACUGAGUAUCUCGGGGUUAUCUCCGAUGUGACGCUCCCAAAAUAGGUAUACAUCACCUAUUCUGAGUCGCCAAAUACAUGGUACAGAAUACAAAUACAAUCUUAAAUAUACAACAUGAGCUAUGAGUUUUAAUACAAAUAUUGUCUUCUAGACAGUAUUCAAACUCAAAAUAAGUCCUCAAUACAUUUAUUAACACACUAUUUCAUAGAAUAGUGAGGACUACUAAUGCUAUNNNNNNNNNNNNNNNNNNNNNNNNNNNNNNNNNNNNNNNNNNNNNNNNNNNNNNNNNNNNNNNNNNNNNNNNNNNNNNNNNNNNNNNNNNNNNNNNNNNNNNNNNNNNNNNNNNNNNNNNNNNNNNNNNNNNNNNNNNNNNNNNNNNNNNNNNNNNNNNNNNNNNNNNNNNNNNNNNNNNNNNNNNNNNNNNNNNNNNNNNNNNNNNNNNNNNNNNNNNNNNNNNNNNNNNNNNNNNNNNNNNNNNNNNNNNNNNNNNNNNNNNNNNNNNNNNNNNNNNNNNNNNNNNNNNNNNNNNNNNNNNNNNNNNNNNNNNNNNNNNNNNNNNNNNNNNNNNNNNNNNNNNNNNNNNNNNNNNNNNNNNNNNNNNNNNNNNNNNNNNNNNNNNNNNNNNNNNNNNNNNNNNNNNNNNNNNNNNNNNNNNNNNNNNNNNNNNNNNNNNNNNNNNNNNNNNNNNNNNNNNNNNNNNNNNNNNNNNNNNNNNNNNNNNNNNNNNNNNNNNNNNNNNNNNNNNNNNNNNNNNNNNNNNNNNNNNNNNNNNNNNNNNNNNNNNNNNNNNNNNNNNNNNNNNNNNNNNNNNNNNNNNNNNNNNNNNNNNNNNNNNNNNNNNNNNNNNNNNNNNNNNNNNNNNNNNNNNNNNNNNNNNNNNNNNNNNNNNNNNNNNNNNNNNNNNNNNNNNNNNNNNNNNNNNNNNNNNNNNNNNNNNNNNNNNNNNNNNNNNNNNNNNNNNNNNNNNNNNNNNNNNNNNNNNNNNNNNNNNNNNNNNNNNNNNNNNNNNNNNNNNNNNNNNNNNNNNNNNNNNNNNNNNNNNNNNNNNNNNNNNNNNNNNNNNNNNNNNNNNNNNNNNNNNNNNNNNNNNNNNNNNNNNNNNNNNNNNNNNNNNNNNNNNNNNNNNNNNNNNNNNNNNNNNNNNNNNNNNNNNNNNNNNNNNNNNNNNNNNNNNNNNNNNNNNNNNNNNNNNNNNNNNNNNNNNNNNNNNNNNNNNNNNNNNNNNNNNNNNNNNNNNNNNNNNNNNNNNNNNNNNNNNNNNNNNNNNNNNNNNNNNNNNNNNNNNNNNNNNNNNNNNNNNNNNNNNNNNNNNNNNNNNNNNNNNNNNNNNNNNNNNNNNNNNNNNNNNNNNNNNNNNNNNNNNNNNNNNNNNNNNNNNNNNNNNNNNNNNNNNNNNNNNNNNNNNNNNNNNNNNNNNNNNNNNNNNNNNNNNNNNNNNNNNNNNNNNNNNNNNNNNNNNNNNNNNNNNNNNNNNNNNNNNNNNNNNNNNNNNNNNNNNNNNNNNNNNNNNNNNNNNNNNNNNNNNNNNNNNNNNNNNNNNNNNNNNNNNNNNNNNNNNNNNNNNNNNNNNNNNNNNNNNNNNNNNNNNNNNNNNNNNNNNNNNNNNNNNNNNNNNNNNNNNNNNNNNNNNNNNNNNNNNNNNNNNNNNNNNNNNNNNNNNNNNNNNNNNNNNNNNNNNNNNNNNNNNNNNNNNNNNNNNNNNNNNNNNNNNNNNNNNNNNNNNNNNNNNNNNNNNNNNNNNNNNNNNNNNNNNNNNNNNNNNNNNCAUAUUGAUUUACUAUUAUAAUUUCAACCAACUGUUUGAAAAAUUAUCACAUCUUCUCAUGGAAUAAUAUUGUACUCAAAAAUGAUUUGGACCGAAAAGAAAUAUAUUUUUCAGGUGAAUAGUACCCCGUGAAUAGUACUUCGGGAAUAGUACCCCGUGAAUAGUAUCCCGACAUGAAAAGUGUCCCAAAUACCCGAGUGAACAAUAUUUGGGUGAAUAGUAACCCGUGAAUAGUACUCCGACACAAAAAGUGCCCCGAAUACCCGAGUGUCAAUAUAACCUCCAGACAUCAAUUAUUAUCGAAAUAAAUAUCGAUUUCUACUAACACUAAUAAUUCCCACACAAUGGAACUAUCAAUUUCAUCUUUAAUCAACACGAACUUAUUCAUCAUUAAUAUUAUAAUUCACAAUAUUUAACAACCAGGUCGUUCCCAGGAAAGAGGGGGCUUUCCAAUAAGGAUUUCUCCCUAUUGGCGCGCAAUUAGGUUAUCUAACCUCUCCUUGACAGAACUUCUAGACAUUGUCAAUAUUGCAAAUAAUAAUAUGAAUAACUUUGUCGUCUCAAUUAUUGAUUUAAUAAUAUAUCAUAUUAUGCAGAUGAUACUGUGACAAUAAUUGAAUCAAUAAUAUGAGAGAUAUGAUGCAGCAAUUACUGUAGCAAUAAUUGAGUAUAACUAAGUGACUUCUCACGUAAGCAUCAAUAAUCAAUACCGUGUGCUACUAUGAAACCACGCAUAUUACUGUACUUUUACUACCGGGUAGUUCAACAGUUUUAACGGUAACACCUCCGCCGUUAUUUUUCUAAAAUUUUUUUGUCGUUUUCUCAAUCCGACAAUAAUUCUAUUGUGGGUCCACCAAUGAUUGUGCCAUCGUACGAAUAUUCCCUGCUAAAACGAAUAUUCCCCGACCAAUCGAAUAUUUUAUAACAACUUGCUUACUUUGCAAAAUUUAUAAAUACUACCCACAAUUAUAACAUUAUAUCAAAUCUACACCAUAAUAUUCAAAAAAUAUUUUGAGAAAAUUAAAUCUUUAUUCAUAAAAUUUGGGGUCUCACAUCUGAGAUGGAAAACUGAUGAUUCUGGGGUUGUCUCCGGAACCAGAACUGCAUUCCUCGGGGUUGUCUCCGAGGUUGAAAUUAAAACUCCCAGGGUUAUCUCCGGGACUGGAACUGGUUAUCUCGGGGUUAUUUCCGAGAUGGCAAGACUGAUAAUUCUGGGGUUGUCUCCGGAAUUGGAGUUGCUUUGUCCUCCAGGGUUAUCUCUAAAAGACGAUUCUGCCCUCCUGCAAUGUUAGUAACAGGAAUGCAAAAUUUUGAGUGUCUACAUUCCCCUUAAUUUUAAUUAGCAUAUUUUUGGAUUUUAUAUUUUAUAAAUGGCUUAAUUAUAAAUAAAAUUUUAAUUGAUAUUAAUUACAGAAAUAAUUAAAUAUAUUUAUUUAUUUAUUUUCUUAUUUUUUGGCACACUUUUUAAAUUUAUAUUAUACUUUAAAAUAAUUUUUUCAUUUUCUUCAUAAAAAUUUUCCUCCAAAUCCACAUAAUCACUGCCACGUCACAAAAGGCUGCCACAUCAGCUUUUUAAUGGAUAACUCAGCUGCCUAGCUGUCUUUUUCCGUUAAAGUCAAAGCUUUUAACGGUUUUUUUAACUUUGUGUUAGAAAAGUCAAGUACAAUGAGUUGACUGUAAGAAAAAAAAGUUCGGUGAUCCAUUUGUAAGUUGACAUAAAGUACAGUGACUUAGAAAGCAUUUAACCCCUCCAUUGUGGGAUAAUAACACCAGCUUUCGUGUCCCCACCUCCGGCAACUUGAUCAGAUGACCCGACCUAAGCAUUCGAGAGUCAGUUCUGAUACCAUAUGAAAUAACUCGGGUCAAAUCCCGAGCCCGGAAUAAAUCUCGAAUUAUUUUAUUUUAGUUAUUUUCUUUUCUUUUAUUUAAUUUAUUUUGUAUUAUAUAUAUUUUAUUAUAUUCUAAGUAUUUAUUAAAUGAGACUAUUUUUUCAUUUAUACAUCCAUACCCAUUUUAUUUUAUUUUGUUUUAGGAGUACCAAACUAAGUAAAUGCUAAUUAGUUUUUAUAUUAUAUUAUUUUUAUUAUCCUUUUUUUUCUUAAAUUAUAUUUAUUAUAAUAUUUAUUUACAUUAUAUUAAAUUAUAAUUUUUUUAUUAUUUUAGUAUAGUCAACUAAGUAAAUGUUACUUAGUUGUGUAAUUUAGUUUAUUUAAAUAGUAAACUAACUCCUAAUUGUAAAUAGGAAAGAUAAAAAAAAUGAAAAACAAACAUUUAGAUUAAGUAGUUAAGGGUGAAGUAAACUGUCUAUUUGUUGAUUUUAUUUUAUUUUUUGGAAAAAUAAUAGGAUUUUAUUAAUAUAAAUAUUCAAACAAAAUAUGUCAAUCCAAAAGAUUUGGAUAAAGCGAUAUGAUAAACAUUACACAAAUGUAAAUUAAUAUAAAGUACAACUCAAAGCCAAAUUACAAGGCUACAUCAACAUCUAGCGAGGCUAUUCAAAAUGUUUUUGAAAUAAAUGUCAUGCGCCUGAAUCCUAUCCUGAUGAAUCCAUCUAUAUGCAAAGGUAUGGAACUGAAAAUGCUUCAUCAACAACUUUAAAAAUCCUCGCAACCUACUUAUUAGGAAUAAUCAAUUCGAAGUAAUCAAAUCAUUUAAAAGCUUAAACUGUUAAAAAAAGACGCCAAUAAUAUAUAUCAUGUUAAUACUCCUUCGAUGCAACUUUAAAGAGUAAGGACAUUUGCACUAUUAAAUCAACAUAAAGGCAAAGUGUGGUCAGGAUGAUUUGAACCAAAGAUUUUGCACACUCAUAACGCUCUUCUUGACUUUCAUUCAUAUCCACUUGUAGUUCAUUUUUUAACCGUAAAAAAUUACUCAUUUCUUUAACUAGUACCACUUAUCAAUUGGAUCAAUAGUUGUCUGUCGUUAUUAGAUUUCUUUUGGGUUUAUCUUGUGACUAGUUUUUUUUAGAUUUAUUUAUCCUGUGUGGGUCUCAUAUUCAUCAGUUUCACGUGCAACCCUCAAUAUACCGAGUUACACGUGAGAGGAAUUGUUAGAGUAUAUAUCUUGUCUCACAUCGAAUAUCUUGAGAAAGUAUAUAUAUCUAGUAUAUAAUAAAUUGGAUCAACUAUUCUCAUUGCCAGUUACUUUUAAAUUAGAGAGGUUGAAUUCUUUAUAUACUAGGCUUGGCUCACUUUAUAAAUCUAUUAAUAAAAUUAAAUUCUACGUGCUGAGAUUGAAAUUUAAAGAAAUCUGCAUCUUUAAUAAUCUUUUUAACACUACAAGAAAAAGCAUUAAUUCUGAUGGAAUUAGGCUUGACAGACUAUAUUCAGUUGGAGAUUAGGUAUUUUUGACGAAAAAUUCGGUCGAUCAUAAUUCCGUCAGAAGUACGUUAUUUCCGAGGGAAAUCCGUCGGAAGUAUAUAUAAGGUCUGAAAUGGCGCCAAGUUUCCCGUCAGCGCAAAGCUUAAGUUCGACAGAACUUUGGUUAUUUCUGAGGGAAGUUCCGUCAAGGAUAACAUAAGUCCGACGAAAGUAUAUCUGAUAAAAAUUUCGUCGAAAAUAUGUUUUAAAACCUAAUUAGCAGCGUCUUCUUCAGCGCCUCCCUCAUUGCAUUUCUCUCUUUCUCUAUCCUCACUCUUCCACACUCUCUCUGCACCUACUCCCUAUCUCUGCACCACCCUCUCCCUGCACCUCACUCUCAUCUCUCCCACUCCCACUGUUAACCUUACCUCGUCGGACCGGACGCCACCAACGCCUCCGCUAGCUGCCGCCGCCAUCCACCUCCCAACCUCUGCAGUCCACCUCCUUCUCCUCUUUAGUUGGAUUACAAAUUUUAAACUAAAGUUUAUUUAAUUUCUGUCCAAUAUUGUAUAUUUAGGGUUAAUUUUUUCACUGAAAUUUUUUUUCUUUUCUGUCCAAUAUUGUGCUUAUUGCUUAAUUUUGUGUGCUUGAUGAAAUUGGGACCUUAAUUUCGUGUGCUUAAUUUCUGUCCAACAUAUAUUGGACCUUAAUUUCGCGUGCUUGAUGAAAUUAGGACUGCAGUCAAAUUGUUACUGAAAUAGCUAGGCAUUGUUUGUCUUCUGUAAAUGUUGUUGCUGAACAUUAUUUGUGUGCUUAAUUUCUGUCCAAUAUUUUGUGCAAUUGCAGCUUCUUUAUUUUGUGCAAAUGUUGUUGCAAUUGCAGCUUCUGUUAUUUUAGUUUAAUUACAGCUUUUUUUACACAAUUACAACUUAUUAUAGUGUAUGUUUACUGUGACGCCCCCAAAAUAGGUAUACAUCACCCAUUCUGAGUCGCCAAAUACAUGGUACAGAAAACAACUACAACUUUAUUAUUACAAUUGUUGUGCAAAAUACGACAACACAUACUGUGAGUUUAAAUACAAAUAUUAUCUUCUAGACAAUAUCCACACUCAAAUAAAGUCCUCAUUACAAUUAUUGAUGCAUUAUUUUACAAAAAUAGCGAGGACUGCUAAAACAACUGUCUAGGACCAUCACUCUAUACCCCGACUGGUUCCUGUUAUGUUCUCGCUUCCUAAGAAGAAAAAUGGAAUAAAAAGAAAAGGGUGAGCUCAACUAGCCCAGAAAAUAAUAUUAUGACUAAGAUAAUAUACAACAAAUUAUCCUUAGUCUUCAACAGGGAAAAAUGUAAGACCCUGAAUUUUAUUAAAUGAAAGUAUUCAAUUUUCUUAUAAUUAUUAUUUUAUUUCGUAAAUGGUUAAAUUCAUAAAAGGUUAAAGUUAAGGGUGAUAUGUGAAAAUUUUGCAAAGUAAGCAAGUUAUCAUAAAAUAUUCUUUUUGUCGGAGAAUAUCUGUACGACGACACAAUCAUUGGUGGACCCCACAACAGAAAUAUUGUCAUAGUUAAAAAACGACAGAAUUAUCUUUUUAUAAAAAUAACGGCGAAAGUGUUACCGUUAAACCUGUUGAACUACCCGGUAGUAAAAGUACAGUAAUACGCGUGGUUGCAUAGUAGCACACGGUAUUGAUUAUUGAUGCUUACGCAAGAAGUCACUCAGUUAUACUCAAUUAUUGCUACAGUAAUUGCAUCAUCAUAUCUCUCAUAUUAUUGAUUCAAUUAUUGUCACAGUAUCAUCUGUAUGAUAUGUUAUAUUAUUAAAUCAAUAAUUGAGAUGAUAAAGUUAUUCAUAUUAUUAUUUGCAAUAUUGACAAUGUCUAGAAGUUCUGUCAAGGAGAGGUUAGAUAACCUAAUUGCGCGCCAAUAGGGAGAAAUCCUUAUCGGAAAGCCCCCUCUUUCCUGGGAACGACCUGGUUGUUAAAUAUUAUGAAUUAUAAUAUUAAUGAUGAAUAAGUUCGUGUUGAUUAAAGAUGAAAUUGAUAGUUUUAUUGUGUUGGAAUUAUUGGUGUUAGUGAAAAUCGACAUUUAUUUCGAUCAUAAUUGAUAUCUGGAAGUUAUCGGGUAAUUAAUCGGAUAAAUGAUCAAUUAAUUGCUAUUAAUUCAUAUGCUUAUAACUAUGUGAUCACAUGUGUGUACUAUUGAUUCAUAUGAUUUACUAUUAGGGGAGUUGGUGCAAGAUUGAUAAUACCUGCAAGACUAAAUUAAAAAUGGAAGUAUAGAUGAAGGUACUAUACUAUAAUUAGUUUUUUCAAAUGAUUAUACUAUUGAGUCACAUGAAUGAACUAUUAAUUCACAUGAUUUACUAUUAGGGGAGGUGGUGCAAAUUUGAUAAUACUUGCAGGACUAAAUUAAAAAUGAAAGAAAAGUUGAAGGUAUUGUACUGUAAUAUUUCGAGCCCCAAAACGUGCAAUUAUCGAAACUAUAUUUUCCUAUAAAUAGAAGCUCAUUCUUCCUUCAUUUCUCACCAAUUCACUAAAGCUAUAGAGCAAUUAUUAUAGAGAGAAAUUAUAGAGAGAAAGAAGAAGAGAAGUCUGCUACCUCUCUACUCCAGUAUCCAGUUUCUUUCUAAGGUAAGGGGUAUUAUUUCUUUCGUAUUCAUGAAGAGAGCUUCUGUUAUUCCAUUCUUUAUUAUUAUGUUGGAAUAACCUGUCUAUGCGAAGUACCGCAUACAUGGUGAAAUUCUUCUGUUAUUCCAUUCUUUAUUAUUAUGUUGGAAUAACCUGUCUAUGCGAAGUACCGCAUACAUGGUGAAAUUCUUCUGUUAUUCCAUUCUUUAUUAUUAUGUUGGAAUAACCUGUCUAUGCGAAGUACCGCAUACAUGGUGAAAUUCUUCUGUUAUUCCAUUCUUUAUUAUUAUGUUGGAAUAACCUGUCUAUGCGAAGUACCGCAUACAUGGUGAAAUUCUUCUGUUAUUCCAUUCUUUAUUAUUAUGUUGGAAUAACCUGUCUAUGCGAAGUACCGCAUACAUGGUGAAAUUCUUCUGUUAUUCCAUUCUUUAUUAUUAUGUUGGAAUAACCUGUCUAUGCGAAGUACCGCAUACAUGGUGAAAUUCUUCUGUUAUUCCAUUCUUUAUUAUUAUGUUGGAAUAACCUGUCUAUGCGAAGUACCGCAUACAUGGUGAAAUUCUUCUGUUAUUCCAUUCUUUAUUAUUAUGUUGGAAUAACCUGUCUAUGCGAAGUACCGCAUACAUGGUGAAAUUCUUCUGUUAUUCCAUUCUUUAUUAUUAUGUUGGAAUAACCUGUCUAUGCGAAGUACCGCAUACAUGGUGAAAUUCUUCUGUUAUUCCAUUCUUUAUUAUUAUGUUGGAAUAACCUGUCUAUGCGAAGUACCGCAUACAUGGUGAAAUUCUUCUGUUGUUCCAUUCUUUAUUAUUCUGUUGGAAUAACCUGUCUGUGCGGUCUAUCGCAUGCCUGGUGAAUUCUUUUGUUAUUCCAUUCUUUAUUAUUCUGUUGGAAUAUCCUGUCUGUGCGGAUUACGCUAGACCUGAUUCCAUUCUUUAUUAUUCUGUUGGAAUAACCUGUCUGUGCGGUCUAUCGCAUGCAUGGUGAAUUCUUUUGUUAUUCCAUUCUUUAUUAUUCUGUUGGAAUAUCCUGUCUGUGCGGAUUACGCUAGACCUGGUUCCAUUCUUUAUUAUUCUGUUGGAAUAACCUGUCUGUGCGGUCUAUCGCAUGCAUGGUGAAUUCUUCUGUUAUUCCAUUCUUUAUUAUUCUGUUGGAAUAUCCUGUCUGUGCGGAUUACGCAUGACCUGGUUCCAUUCUUUAUUAUUCUGUUGGAAUAACCUGUCUAUGUGGAUUAUCACAUGCAUGGUGAAUGAUCCUUCGUAUUCAUUCCUUAUUAAAUUGUGGAAAUGAUCUGUCUACGUGGAUUACCGCAUGGCGGGUGAAAAUCCAUUUGCAGUUUCAUAUAUUCUAUGAUACUCAUUUGGUUAAAGUUUUGGCUUCUAUACUCCAUGAAAUUAGUAGAAUAUCCUGGAUAUUUGCGCUUCAUCCGGUAUCUUUUCAUGGAAAUAUUCUUCUGAGCAUUCUUGAAUUUUACUCCACAAAGCAGUAUCAUGUUGACAAUUUGGACGUAAUUGAUUUCAAGAUAAAUUAACUUAUAAAUCUUUAAAAUUUAUUCUUGAACUUGUUUUAUUGAAUUAUUAUGUCAUUGUCAUCAUCCUCAUGCUUAUAUUGUGAUGAAAGUCAUCUUUGGCUUACGUGCAUAGAUGGACUUGGUAUGAUUAUGACCAGGGAUUAUUCGGUAUAAUCAUGACCUGUAAUGUUAUAAAUGAUGUGGUAAAAGUCCUCAGUAGCCUGUAGUGCAUUGAUGGACAGUUUUUGGUAUGAUUAUGACCAGGGAUUAUUCGGUAUAGUCAUGACCAUUGAUGAUUUAAUGAAUAUCCUUGGCCCGUAGUGCAGGGAUGACUCGAUGAUGUGGUUUAUUUAUUAAGCUGAGUCUCAGCGAUAAAAAUUGAUGAAAACAUUUUAAAUCAUAGAAGAUAGUAGAUAUCAUGCUCUACUUGACUCUUCUAAUGGAUUGCUUAUUCCGCUGCAGUUAAACUUGAUGUCUAUUGUAUUUUAUCAGUUUAACAUUGUUGAAGACUAAUGAUAAUUUAUUCUGCAUUAUCUUAGUCAUAAUAUUUCUUACUGGGCUAGUUGAGCUCACCCUUUCUUUCACUGUUCUCUUCAGGAAAUGAGAACGUAGCCGGGACUAGUCGGGGAACGGAGUGACGGUCCAGAUGAUAGCAUUAGUAGUCCUCACUAUUCUGUUAAAUAGUGUGACAAUAAAUGUAAUGAGGACUCCAUUGAGUGUGGAUAUUGUCUAGAUGACAAUAUUCUUAUUAAAACUCUUAGAUUAUGUUUUGUCGUAUUUUACACGACUGUUGUAUAAUUAAGUUGUAUUUGAAUUUUGUACCAUGUAUUUGGCGACUCAAGAUGGGUGAUGUAUACCUGUUUUGGGGGCGUCACAGUUGGUAUCAAAGCUUAGGGAUAUGAUCCCUGGCUGAGAUGUGAGACAAGAACUAGGAGGGGAGAGACGGGGAAUUCCUUCGCUAGUAUGACCUACCUAAGUUUAUUUGGUAUUUAAUUGGUCGGUCAGAGUAUAGGGAUAAUAUGUGAUAUGUCAAUUAACCCUUGUUUUGUGACAGUGUUUGAAAAUGGCAUCCGAAAAUGUUGAGAUCAGCAAUGAAGCACAUGAGACCAUUGAGUCACCAACAAUCAAUACCCAGGAUAAUGUGCAACAUGAAGACAAUAAUCCUCAGGUAAAUAACAACACCGAUCAGAUGAUGAACGAUGAGAUGUUCAGAGGCUUUAUGCAAUUCAUGCAACAUCAGGUGAGAGAGACUCCUGUUCAUAAUGCAGAUGGAAACAAUGGCAACCCACGGUUGGUCACUGCUAAGCAGUUCAAGGAGAUGGGACCGCCGGAGUUUUUGGGAAAGCCAGAACCACUUAAGGCAGAGACGUGGUUAAAGCAGAUCACCAAGAUAUUUGAUGUCUUGGGGUGCUCUGAGGAGCAAAAGGUUCCCUUUGCCACCUUUAUGUUGCGUGAAGAGGCAGAUUACUGGUGGGAAUCUGUAAAACGUACCCAGCCUGACGCACUCAAGAUGUCUUAGGAGAAGUUCCAAGAGCUGUUCAACGACAAGUACUUUCUUGAAAGUAUUUGUCACAUGAAGGAGGUGGAAUUCAUCAAGUUGGAGCAAAAAAAUAUGACCGUGUUGCAAUACGAGGCUAAAUUUGCGGAGUUGUCCCUGUUUGCAUCCCAUUUGGUCGAUAAUGAGGAGCGAAUGACGCCAAUGUUUCUAAGAGGUUUGAAACCCGAUAUACGUCAAUACCUCAUUCCUCACAAACUUUGUUUAUAUUCAGAUGUUGUGAAUAGGGCUCAAUUAUUGGAGCGCGAUAAUGAGUCAGCAUAACCAAAAGGUAAUGAGCAACAACACGAUAAUAAUCGUACCGGUGGCAACGGCCAUCGGAACAAUGAUAACCAUUGUAGGGGAAAUUAUCAUGCCAAGAAUGGUAACCACUUCAGUGGUAAUCAUGGCCAAGAUAAUAGAAGUGGAAAUUUCAAGAAGAGAAGGUUCAAUAAUGAUGGAAAAACAGCAACACAAACACCCGUUUUCAAGGAAGGAGAACGACCACCAAUUGUAUGCUUCAAAUGCGGAGGGGAGGGACAUAUCAGUCCAAGCUGCAUGAUGCAGUCCAAAGCAUGUUACAAUUGUGGAAAAGAAGGUCACCUAGCCUGAUUUUAUCGUGCACCAAAGUCAAGUCCAGCUGGGACUGUGGCACCAAAGGCAGAUACGGACAAAACAAAGUCGGUGGUUUCAGGAAGAGCGUUUUUUGUGACUUCUCAAAAAGCGAGUAACCCGAACGAAGUUAGCACGGGUUAGUUAAUUAUAAAUUCUUGCGAAGUCUAUACCUUAUUAGAUACCGGUUCUACCCAUUCUUUUAUCUCUCUUGCUUGCGCUCAACAUUUAAAUUUGACUCCGGAAAAAUUAGACUUUGACUUAUUGGUUGAAACUCCAUUAGGAUAAACCUUCAUUUCAUGUGCUAUCCAAGUCUUGGGAUGAGAGUCACAGUUUUUAAAUGAUAUUUCUAUCGUUAAUAAAUUUCCUGACGUAUUCUCGAAGAACUUCCUAACCUACCCCUAGAGCGUGAAAUUGAAUUUUGUAUUGACCCCAGUACAAUAUCCAUUUCUAAAACCCUCAAAUAUUUCUUCAACCAAAACGAAUGUAUAAUGCGCCAAAGACGUUGGCUCGAGCUGUUGAAGACUACGACUAUACCAUUCAAUAUCAUCAUGGGAAAAUUGAACGUGGUAGCUAACGCGUUGAGUAGAAGAUCGUAUGCGUUUACGAGUGCGAUGUUGUUAACACAAAAACCCAUUUUGUAUAACUUACAAAUGAUAAAGAUAGAGUUAAAGACUCUAAGAACCCACGUGGUGAUAUCAAAUAUACGAGUAGAAUCGACUUUAAUCAAUAAAGUUAAAAGUCGUUCAAGCUACAGACGCGGAGCUGAUGAAUGUGAAGAAGAAGGUUCAAGAAGGCGUUAUCUCAACCCUUAAUUUAAUUGGUAUAUUUGAAAUCCUCGAUUGAGUAGGAACUGUGGCCUAUAGAAUCGCUUUAACGCCAAGUAUGUCGCGUGUUCAUAACAUUUUUCAUGCAUCGAUGUUACGUAAAUAUAUGGAUGACCCGAACCACAUUAUUGAAUUAGAACUAGACAAGAUAGCAGAAGAUUUAACGUAUGAGGAGAUACAUGUUAAAAUCUUGGAUAAGAAAGAUUAUAUUCGACACUUAAAGGUUAUACCUCAAGAGUUGGAAUAUGAAAUGAAGUUAAGGUAUCCUCACCUCAUCGGCAUACCAGGUACGUACGUAAAUUUCGAGGGCGAAAUUUCAUAAGGAGGGGAGAUUUUAAGACCCCGAAUUUUAUGAAAUGAAAGUAUUCAAUUUUCUUAUAAUUAUUAUUUUAUUUCAUAAAUGGUUAAAUUCAUAAAAGGUUAAAGUUAAGGGUGAUAUGUGAAAAUUUUGCAAAGUAAGCAAGUUGUCAUAAAAUAUUUUUUUUGUCGGGGAAUAUCCGUACGGCGGCACAAUCAUUGGUGGACCCCACAACGAAAAUAUUAUCGUAGUAAGAAAAUGACAGAAUUAUCUUUUUAUAAAAAUAACGGCGAAAGUGUUACCAUUAAAACUGUUGAACUACCCAAUAGUAAAAGUACAGUAAUACACGUGGUUGCAUAGUAGCACACGGUAUUGAUUAUUGAUGCUUACGUAAGAAGUCACUCAGUUAUACUCAAUUAUUGCUACAGUAAUUGCUGAAUCAUAUCUCUCAUAUUAUUGAUUCAAUUAUUGCCACAGUAUCAUCUGUAUAAUAUGUUAUAUUAUUAAAUCAAUAAUUGAGACGACAAAGUUAUUCAUAUUAUUAUUUGCAAUAUUGACAAUGUCUAGAAGUUCUGUCAAUGAGAGGUUAGAUAAUCUAAUUGCGCGCCAAUAAGGAGAAAUNNNNNNNNNNNNNNNNNNNNNNNNNNNNNNNNNNNNNNNNNNNNNNNNNNNNNNNNNNNNNNNNNNNNNNNNNNNNNNNNNNNNNNNNNNNNNNNNNNNNNNNNNNNNNNNNNNNNNNNNNNNNNNNNNNNNNNNNNNNNNNNNNNNNNNNNNNNNNNNNNNNNNNNNNNNNNNNNNNNNNNNNNNNNNNNNNNNNNNNNNNNNNNNNNNNNNNNNNNNNNNNNNNNNNNNNNNNNNNNNNNNNNNNNNNNNNNNNNNNNNNNNNNNNNNNNNNNNNNNNNNNNNNNNNNNNNNNNNNNNNNNNNNNNNNNNNNNNNNNNNNNNNNNNNNNNNNNNNNNNNNNNNNNNNNNNNNNNNNNNNNNNNNNNNNNNNNNNNNNNNNNNNNNNNNNNNNNNNNNNNNNNNNNNNNNNNNNNNNNNNNNNNNNNNNNNNNNNNNNNNNNNNNNNNNNNNNNNNNNNNNNNNNNNNNNNNNNNNNNNNNNNNNNNNNNNNNNNNNNNNNNNNNNNNNNNNNNNNNNNNNNNNNNNNNNNNNNNNNNNNNNNNNNNNNNNNNNNNNNNNNNNNNNNNNNNNNNNNNNNNNNNNNNNNNNNNNNNNNNNNNNNNNNNNNNNNNNNNNNNNNNNNNNNNNNNNNNNNNNNNNNNNNNNNNNNNNNNNNNNNNNNNNNNNNNNNNNNNNNNNNNNNNNNNNNNNNNNNNNNNNNNNNNNNNNNNNNNNNNNNNNNNNNNNNNNNNNNNNNNNNNNNNNNNNNNNNNNNNNNNNNNNNNNNNNNNNNNNNNNNNNNNNNNNNNNNNNNNNNNNNNNNNNNNNNNNNNNNNNNNNNNNNNNNNNNNNNNNNNNNNNNNNNNNNNNNNNNNNNNNNNNNNNNNNNNNNNNNNNNNNNNNNNNNNNNNNNNNNNNNNNNNNNNNNNNNNNNNNNNNNNNNNNNNNNNNNNNNNNNNNNNNNNNNNNNNNNNNNNNNNNNNNNNNNNNNNNNNNNNNNNNNNNNNNNNNNNNNNNNNNNNNNNNNNNNNNNNNNNNNNNNNNNNNNNNNNNNNNNNNNNNNNNNNNNNNNNNNNNNNNNNNNNNNNNNNNNNNNNNNNNNNNNNNNNNNNNNNNNNNNNNNNNNNNNNNNNNNNNNNNNNNNNNNNNNNNNNNNNNNNNNNNNNNNNNNNNNNNNNNNNNNNNNNNNNNNNNNNNNNNNNNNNNNNNNNNNNNNNNNNNNNNNNNNNNNNNNNNNNNNNNNNNNNNNNNNNNNNNNNNNNNNNNNNNNNNNNNNNNNNNNNNNNNNNNNNNNNNNNNNNNNNNNNNNNNNNNNNNNNNNNNNNNNNNNNNNNNNNNNNNNNNNNNNNNNNNNNNNNNNNNNNNNNNNNNNNNNNNNNNNNNNNNNNNNNNNNNNNNNNNNNNNNNNNNNNNNNNNNNNNNNNNNNNNNNNNNNNNNNNNNNNNNNNNNNNNNNNNNNNNNNNNNNNNNNNNNNNNNNNNNNNNNNNNNNNNNNNNNNNNNNNNNNNNNNNNNNNNNNNNNNNNNNNNNNNNNNNNNNNNNNNNNNNNNNNNNNNNNNNNNNNNNNNNNNNNNNNNNNNNNNNNNNNNNNNNNNNNNNNNNNNNNNNNNNNNNNNNNNNNNNNNNNNNNNNNNNNNNNNNGAAAUGAGAACGUAGCCGGGACUAGUCGGGGAAUGGAGUGAUGGUCCGAGAUGGUGUCAUAGUAGUCCUCACUAUUCUAUAAAAUAGUGUGAUAAUAAAUGUAAUGAGGACUCCAUUGAGUGUGGAUAUUGUCUAGAAGGCAAUAUUCUUGUUUAAACUCUCAGUUAUGUUUUGUCGUAUUUUACACGAUAGUUGUAUAAUUAAGUUUUUAUUUGUAUUCUGUACCAUGUAUCUGGCGACUCAAGAUGGGUGAUGUAUACCUGUUUUGGGGGCGUCACAAAAAAUUUGAUAGAAUAUAAUAGACAACAAAUUUUAGAUCAACAACUGCAGCGGAAACAACAAUUCAUUAGAAGAGUCAAGUAGAGAAUGAAAUCUAUUAUCAUCUAUGAAUUUAAAAGUCCAUCAUCAAUAUUUUAUUCCUGUAACUUCAAUCAAUAUACAUCUUGAAUCAAAUAUUCAUCUUUGCACUACGGGCCAAAGAUAUUCAUUUAUAUCACCAGUUGGUCAUGUUCAUCUCAACACCUGUUCAUCUUUGCACUACGGGCCAAAGAUAUUCAUCAGGUUAUCAUAUAUCUUUCCACUAUAGGCCAAAGAUAUUCAUCAAUUAUCACCAUUAAGGACUGAGGAUGAUGAAAAACAUUUUAGAGAACGAAUCUAGUGAGAUAAAAGGACAAAGAUUAGGGAUUCGUACUUUAGAUAAUCCAAGUUUAAAAAUUCUCCAUAAUAAACCAUAAUGGAGUAAAAUUCAAGAAUGAAGAUCAAAACAUGGAUACAAUCAAAGAUAGUAACCAUAAUAGACAUCUGGGACAAAGAAGAGAAAAUUUCAUUUUUUGGUGAAUAGUGUCGUAUUUAUGAAUAGUGUCGUAUACGUGAAUAGUAACCCCGAUACAAAAAGGUAAAAGUUUCACAAUAAAAUUCAUAUCAAUAUUUCAGCAUAAUGAUAUUGAACAAAAUAAUAUCAUUUACGAAGAAAAUAACAUCCCUUACCUCAAAAUAACAGUAUUUCUGAUCGUAAUAUCGGAUGUAAUGCUAAAAAAAACUUGCACUGAAUAGCAACUCUCAAAGUAUCUAAAUACUCAAAAAAAAUACGCUCGACAAUAUAAAGAGAGAAAACUUAUGUUUCUGGUGUGAUUUUCAAUUCUAACUUAAGCGUCUAUUUAUAGUAAAAUGCUAGAAUGUCAUAGGAGACUAAAAUAAUAAAAUAUUAUUAUUUAUUAUCUUUCCUUCUACGCCAUCCUUUUUGAAUCAGCCAGCAUGCCAAUUCUGAAAAUUUUUUGCAGCCCACAUAUUUUUAACAAAAGUGGGUCCCACCCAUAAUAAAAACAUUUAAUUUCCAAAACUUCAACAAUUCAUAAUAAAUAGCCCUUUUAUCAGAAAAAUAUGAAUUGUAUGUCCAUUCCAUACGAAAUCGAAUUCUCUACAACUUUGUAGCUUUAAGUUUUUCCAAAUUCCGAACAAAAAAUAUCUGAAAUUCACAAACGGACGAUUUUCAAUACCUCAUAAAAUUCAUAACAAAUCAUACGUUAAUUUUUAACGGUUCAAAAUUUGUGGACAUAUACUCAACUUAUAUAUGUAUAACAUAUCCAAAAAUCUCAACGAUUCAACGGUCAGAUUAAAAUUAUAACUCACACAAUAGAGCUUUAAGAACACUGAUUUGAUUUUUAAUACCUAUCCACAUAAAAUAAAUAUUUUCUUAUCAUAUAAAUCAAUAAAUAAUUAUUCAUAAAUAAUAUUACAAAAUCACAAUAAUGACAACUAGGCCGUUCCCAGGAAAGAGGGGGCUUUCCGAUAAGGAUUUCUCCUUACUAGCGCGCAAUUAGGUGACCAAACCUCUCCUUGACAGAACUUUCUAGACAUUGCCAAUAAUGCUAUCUAAUAAUAUUAUUCAAAUAAUAUGAAUUAUUGAUCUGAUAAUAGGAAAUAAUGUGCAGUGACAAUUAUUGAAACAAUAAUAAUAUAAAAUAUCAACGCAGCAAUUAUUGAAUCAAUAAAAUAAAAUAUUGAACAGUAAUUACUGUAACAAAUAUUGAGUAGUGCCUUCUUACGUAAGAAUCAAUAAUUCAAAAAUACUGUGUAAUACCGUGUGCUACUAUGAAACCACGCGUAUUACUGUAUUUUAACCACCGGGUAUUCCUACAGUGUUAACGGUAACGAUUAUGACGUUAUUUAUAAAAACUCAAACUUGUCAUUUUCUUUAUCCGACAGUUAUUCUGUUAUGGGGCCCACAAAUGGCUACAUCGUCGUACGAAUAUUCCCCGAUAAUAAGAAUAUUCCACGACCAAUCAAAUAUUUCCCGACAACAAUAAAUAUUUUAUAACCACUUGCUUAUUUUGCAAAAUUUGCACAUUUCACCCAUAACCAAAGUAUUAUAUCAAAUUAUCUCCUUAUUAUUUCAAGAUAAUAAAUACAGAAAAUUCAAUUUUAUUUAUAAUAAGUUGGGGUCUUACAACCUCCCCUCCUUGUGAAAUUUCAUCCUCAAAAUUGACGUACGUACCUGGUGUUUCGAAAAGGUGAGGGUACCUCGCUUUCAUUUUUGAUUCUAACUCCCAGGUCAUUUCUUAAAUAGCAUGGUUCCUCCACAACACCUUGACUUGUGGUAUAACCUUUGUACGUAGGACAUGUUCUUUCCUAUCCAAUAUCUUGACAGGUACCUCCUCGUACGUUAAAUCUUCGGCUAUCUCGUCUGGUUCUAACGCAAUAAUGUGGUUUGGGUCUUUCAUAUAUUUACAAAGCAUACAUAUGUGAAAAACAUUAUGAACACGAGACAUGCUUAGAGGUAAUGCGAGUCUAUAGGCCAUAUUUCCUAUUCCGUCAAGAAUCUCAAAUGGACCAACAAAUCGUGAAUUGAGCUUUCCUCUCUUCCCAAAUCUUGUAACUCCCUUCCAUGGAGCAAUACAUAACAGUACAUGAUCUCUAAUAUUAAAUUCCACGUCCUUUCGAUGAAGAUCAGCAUAACUCUUUUGUCGAUCUUGUGAGGUCUUUAUACGUUGCCGGAUCAUUUGAAUCUUUUCUGUAGUCAUGCGUACUAAUUCUGGUCCCAACAACGUUGCUUCACCCACCUCGUCCCAACAUACUGGAGAGCGACACUUUCGUCCAUAUAAUGCUUUAAAUGGAGCCAUGCCUAUACUUGCUUGAUAACUGUUGUUGUAGGAGAAUUCCACCAAUGGCAAGUACUUAUCCCAACUUCCUUUGAAAUCUAGGACACAGAGUCUUAAUAGAUCUUCAAGGGUUUGAAUAGUUCUUUCCGAUUGCCCGUCCGUUUGAGGAUGGUAUGCCGAACUGAAUCGUAAAUCCGUGCCCAUAGCUUUCUGCAAGCUAACCCAAAAUCGUGAAGUAAAUCUUGGGUCACGAUCUGAAACUAUGGAUAUUGGCAUGCCAUGUAAUCUCACAAUCUCAUUUACGUACAUACGAGAAAGACGUUCAAGGGAAUAAGUCUCACGUAUAGGCAAGAAAUGAGCAGACUUGGUUAAUCUAUCAACAAUAACCCAAAUCGCAUCUAUGCCUUGAGAAACUUUGGGAAGACCUGCAAAAAAAUCCAUAGUAAUGUGUUACCACUUCCAUUUCAGAAUCUCAAGUGGUUGCAAUUGACCCUUUGGCACUUGAUGCUCCGCCUUUACACAUUGACAAGUUAAACACCUCGAGAUAAACUUCGUGAUCUCUCUCUUUAUUUUUUUCCACCAAAAUGUAUGUCGAAUAUCAUGAUACAUUUUGGUACUCCCAAGAUGGAUUGCAAAUGGUGUGUUGUGUGCCUCCAUCAUGAUUCUAUGCUUUAAGUCAGAAUCGUUAGGAACACAAAGUCUGGAGUUGACUCUAAGUAUUCCUUCUUCAUCUAUUCUUACUUUUGGAAUAGUACCUUCUUGCACUUUCUUCAUCAUACGCAUCAGCUCCAUAUCUGUAGCUUGAACAGCUUUCACUUUAUCGAUUAAAGUCGGUUCUACUCGUAUAUUUGAUAUCAUCACUUGGGUACUUAGAGCCUUUAACUCUAUCUCCAUCCUUUGUAAGUCGUAUAAAAUGGGUCUUUGUGUUAAUAAUAUCGCACUCGUACCUGCAUACGAUCUUCUACUUAAUGCGUCAGCUACAACGUUUGCUUUUCCAGGAUGAUAUUGAAUGCUAUGGUCGUAAUCUUUCAAAAAUUCGAGCCAACGUCGUUACCGCAUGUUGACUUCCUUUUGGGUGAAAAAAUAUUUAAGGCUUUUAUGAUCUGUAUAAAUCUCCACUUUCUCCCCAUACAGGUAGUGUCUCCAGAUUUUCAACGCAAAAACGACAGCUGCCAACUCCAGAUCAUGAGUAGGAUAAUUCCACUUAUAUUCUUUGAGUUAUCGCAAGGCAUAGGCUAUGACUUUCCCAUGUUGCAUGAGAACACAUCCUAACCCUUUGCCUGAAGCAUCGCUGUAGAUAACAAAUCCAUCCGAACCAGAUGGUAUUGUCAGAACAGGUGCCGAAAUGAGUCUCCUCUUGAGCUCUUGGAAACUCUUCUCACAUUCUUCGCUCCAUACGAAUUUUGUAUCUUUCCGAGUCAGCUGAGUUAACGGAGUAGCGAUUCGAGAAAAUCCUUCCACGAAUCUCCGAUAAUAACCAGCUAAGCCCAGAAAGCUACGUACUUCGGUCACCGACUUCGGUUGCUCCCAACUUUGUAUUGCUUCAAUCUUCGCCGGGUCAACAGAUACUCCAUGUUUUGACACCACGUGCCCAAGGAAUGCUACUUCCUUAAGCCAGAACUCACAUUUCUUCAGCUUGGCAUAUAGCUUGUUGUCAUGAAGUCUUUGCAGUACCAGCUUCAAAUGUUGCUCAUGAUCUUCACGGCUUUUGGAAUAGAUGAGGAUGUCAUCAAUAAAGACAACAACGAACUGAUCCAAAUAUUCCUUGAAUACAUGGUUCAUCAUAUCCAUGAAAGCAGCAGGAGCAUUAGUCAAUCCAAAAGAUAUGACUAAGAAUUCAUAAUGCCCGUAACGAGUUCUGAAGGCAGUCUUCGGAAUAUCCUCAAUUUUAAUCUUCAGCUGAUGAUAUCCAGAACGAAGAUCGAUCUUUGAAAAGAAUUGUGCUCCUUACAACUGAUCAAACAGGUCAUCAAUGCAAGGUAGCGGAUACCUAUUCUUGAUGGUGACAUGGUUCAAUUCCCGAUAGUCAAUAUAAAGUCCCAUACUCUCGUCUUUCUUCUUUAUAAAUAAAACAGGAGCACCCCUAGGAGAUUUACUAGGAUGAAUGAAACUGGUGUCCAACAACUCCUGUAGUUGGACCUUUAACUCCUGAAGUUCAAUAGGAGCCAUUCGAUAUGGAAUUUUAGAAAUGGACUUUGUACCCGGUAAAAGAUUAAUAAAGAAUUCAACUUCACGUUCUGGGGGUAGACCAGGAAGUUCUUCAGGAAAUACAUCAGGAAAUUCACUAACAACAGAAAUAUUAUUCAAAUCUAACGUGUUUUUGUUCAAGUCCAUAAUAUGGGCUAAGAAAGCUUGACAUCCAUUUUUCAAUAAACGAAUAGCUUUAUAGGUUGAUAUGACAGUGACUGAUUUUAGUGGUUUAGUUUCUUGAAUUCGUAUAACAGGUUGGUUAGGAAUAUUAAAACUAACAACCUUACGAAAACAAUCAAUUUUGGCAUGAUGAGUGGUUAACCAAUUAAUCCCUAAAAUCACAUCAAAUGCAAGUAUCUUUAAAGAGAUAAGAUCAACAGGUAAUGUGAUUGUGCCAACUUGGAUCAAGCAAGAUUUAUAAAUAGUGGAUGUGAUAAAGGUUUCUCCUAACGGAGUCUCCACAGAUAAGUCAAAGUCUAAUUUCUCCAGAGUCAAGUUUAAACGUUGAGUACAAGGAGGAGAGAUAAAAGAAUGGGUUGAACCAGUAUCUAGUAAGGAAUAAACUUCGCAAGAGUUCAAGAUUAGCUUACCCGUGAUCACCUCAUUCGGGUUUCUCGCAUUUUGGCCAGUCACGACAAAUCCCUCCCUUGAACCACCGACUUUGUUUUGUCUGUAUUCGCCUUUGGUGUCGCCGUUCCAGUUGGACUUGACUUUGCUAUCGGACAAAAUCGAGCUAUAUGACCGUCUUUUCCACAAUUGAAACACACCUUGGAAGGCUGUGAACAAUUUAGACUUAUGUGUCCCUCCUCUCCGUAUUUGUAGCAUCUAACUGGCGGUCGUUCUCCUCCCCUAGAAUUUUUUGUUGGUGUUGGUGCUGAUGUCUUCCCGUCAUUGUUGAAUCUCCUCUUUUUGAAAUUUCCACUUGACUCACCUCUCCUAUGAUCAUGGCCACGAUUACCACCAGAGUGGUUACCACUUUUGUCCGUAUUUUUCCCUCCUCGCUGGUUAUCAUCGCUCCGAUGACUGCUAUCACCGGUAUGACCCUGGUUGUGGUCCCUUGGUUGAACAUACUCAUUAUCUCGCUCUAAUAAUUGAGCCCUGUUGACAACAUCUGAAUACAGAGAAAUUUUUUUAGAGAUAAGGUAUUAACGAAUCUCGGGUUUUAGACCUCUCAGAAACAUUCGCGUCAUACAUUCCUCAUUCUCUACCAAAUGAGGUGCAAACCUGGAUAACUCUGCGAACAUCGCCUCGUAUUGGGACACCGUCAUAUUGUUCUAUUCCAAUCUAAUAAACUCUACCUCCUUCAUAUUACGAAUACUUUCAGGAAAGUACUUGUCAUUGAACAGUUUUUGAAAUCUUUCCCAAGACAUGUUGAGUACGGUUGGCUGGGUACGCUUCACAGAUUCCCACCAGUAAUCUGCCUCACCACGGAAAAUAAGGGUGGCGAAUGGAACCUUUUGUUCUUCCGUGCAUCCCAAGACAUCGAAUAUCUUGGUAAUUUGCUUGACCCAUGUUUUCGCCUUAAUCGGAUCCGGUUUUCCCCAGAAAUCUGGUGGUCCCAACUCCUUGAACUGCUUGGCUGUGACAAAUCGCGCGUUGCUAUCAUUUCCACCCAUAUUUUGUAAACUAGACUACCUCGUCUGAUUUUGCAUGAAUUAUAAAAAGCUUCUAAACAUUCCAUCAUUCAUCGUUUGCUCCAUAGUGUUGUUUACAAGAGGAAUAUUGCCUUCCUGUUGCACGUUCUCUUGGUUGGUGAUUGAAGGUUGUUCCACAGUCUUAUACACUCCAUUGUUAACGUUCUCAUCUGUCAUUCUUAAAAACUGCCAUAAAACAAGGGUUAAUUAAACAAAUUAACAUGUCACAUAAUAUCCCUAUAUUAUGACAGACCAACAAAUAAGCUUAGGUAGGACACACUAGCGAAGGAUUUACUCGUCUCUCCCCUCCAAGUUUUAUUCCCCGAUCUCCGCUAGAGACCAUAUCCCUAAGCUCUGAUACCAACUGUGACGCCCUCAAAAUAGGUAUACAUCACCCAUUCUGAGUUGCCAAAUACAUGGUACAGAAAAUAACUACAACUUUAUUAUUACAAUUGUUGUACAAAAUACGACAACACAUACUGUGAGUUUAAAUAAAAAUAUUAUCUUCUAGACAAUAUCCACACUCAAAUAAAGUCCUCAUUACAAUUAUUGAUGCACUAUUUUAUAAAAAUAAUGAGGACUGCUAAAACAACUGUCUAGGACCAUCACCCUAUACCCCGACUGGUUCAUGUUAUGUUCGCUUCCUGAGAAGAAAAUGAAACAAAAAGGAAAAGGGUGAGCUCAACUAGCCCAAUAAAGAAUAUUAUGACUAAGAUAAUAUAUAACAAAUUAUCCUUAAUCUUUAACAGGGAAAAAUCUGAUAGAAUAUAAUAGACAACAAGUUUUAGAUCAACAACUGCAGAAUACGAAUUUUAUGUCCAUUCCAUACGAAAUCGAAUUCUCUACAACUUUAUAGCUUUAAGUUUUUUCCAAAUUCCAAACAGAAAAUAUCUGAAAUCCACAAACGGACGAUUUUCAAUACCUCAUAAAAUUCAUAACAAAUCAUACGUUAAUUUUUAACGGUUUAAAAUUUGUGGACAUAUACUCAACUUAUAUAUGUAUAACAUAUCCAAAAAUCACAACGAUCCAAAGGUCGGAUUAAAAUUAUAACUCACGCAAUAGAGCUUUAAGAACACUGAUUUGAUUUUUAAUACCUCCAUCCUAACAAAAAUACUGAUAAAACACCUCAACAUUAAUUCCUUCAAUUAUAUCCACAUAAAAAUAAAUAUUUCCUUAUCAUAUAAAUAAAUAAUUAAUUAUUCACAAAUAAUAUUACAGAAUCACAAUAAUGACAACCAAGCCGUUCCUAGGAAAAAGGGUGCUUUCCGAUAAAGAUUUCUCCUUAUUGGCGCGCAAUUAGGUGACCAAACCUCUCCUUGGCAUAACUUUCUAGACAUUGCCAAUAAUGCUAUCUAAUAAUAUUAUUCAAAUAAUAUGAAUUAUUGAUCUGAUAAUGGGAAAUACUGUGCAGUGACAAUUAUUGAAACAAAAAUAAUAUAAAAUAUCAAUACAUCAAUUAUUGAAUCAAUAAAAUAAAAUAUUGAAUAGUAAUUAUUGUAACAAUUAUUGAGUAGUGCCUUCUUACGUAAGAAUCAAUAAUUCAAAAAUAUUGUGUAAUACCGUGUGCUACUGUACAACCACGCGUAUUACUAUAUUUUAACCACCGGGUAUUCCAACAGUGUUAACAGACGAUUACGCCGUUAUUUAUAAAAACUCAAACUUGUUGUUUUCUUCAUCUAACAAUUAUUCCAUUAUGGGGCCUACAAAUAGUUGCACCGUCGUACGAAUAUUCCCCGAUAACAAGAAUAUUCCACGACUUAUCGAAUAUUCUCCGACAACAAUGAAUAUUUUAUAACCACUUGUUUAUUUUGCAAAAUUUGCACAUUUCACCCAUAACUAAAGUAUUAUAUCAAAUUAUCACCUUAUUAUUUCAAAAUAAUAAAUAGAGAAAAUUUAAUUUUAUUUAUAAUAAGUUGGGGUCUUACAUUUACAGUGUAACGGUGAUAUUUGAUAUUUUCGACGGAAUUUCUGUCAGAAUUCUUCAAUUGCAAAUUUUGUGGGCUCAUGUAACUAUUUAAAUAUGUUACUUAAUUUUCCAACACUAAAAUGAACUAAGUACUAUUUACUUAGUUUUGUACUACUAAAUAAAAUAAAAUAAUAUUAUAAAUAAUAUAAAUUUUAAAUAAUAUAAUAUAAUAUAAUUAAAUAACAUAAGAUAAGAUAAUUAAGAUAAAAUGAAAUGAAAUAAAAUAAAAUAAUUUACUAAAUCAAAUAACUUAAAUUAUAUCUAAUAAAUAAAUAAAUGAAAUUAAAUUAAAUAAUAUAAUAUAAUAUGAUUAAUAAUAAGAUAAAAUAAAAUAUAGAAUAAUAAUAAAUUAUAAUAAUUUAAAUUUAAUUAAAUAAAAUGAAAUAAAAUAAAAAAUUUAAUUUAAUAAAAAAAUAUAAUAUAUAUAAUAUAAUACAAAUAAAAUACAAUCCAAUAAAAAAUAUUAAUAAAAUAAAAUAAAAUAAAUUUAAUUAAAAUAAUUUAAAAUAAAUUAAAUUAAAACAUAAGAAUUAAUUUAAUUUGAUUUAAUAAAAUAAAAAAAUGAAGUUAAUUUAAUAUAAUAAAAUAAUCAAAAAUUAUAUUAUAUAUUAUAGUACAAAAUAAAAUAAAAUACAAUUAAAUAAAAUAAUAAAGACAAUUAAAUUAAUUUUAUAAAAUAAAAAACAAUAAUUUAAUAGUAGUCUCCAUAUAUAUUCCAAAUAAUAGUUCUCAGAAACUAAGUAGCACUUACUUAGUUUUUCAUUGACAAAAUAAACUAAGUAGCAUUUGCUUAGUUUGCCACAAUUUUUAAUAAACUCAAUAAUACUCUCCCUUUAAUCUUCAAUACACUUAAUAAUGUACUAUACUUUGAAACUUAGAAACCCGUUUGACAUUCACUCAAUAGGAGUGAAUGUCGAACAGUCCCCAAGUUGACAUUCCUUGUAUGCAGGGUUCGACAUAGCAGUUGCAGCUAAUAGUACUCCAACCAGUUCCUCGGCAGCAAUUAAAAAAAAUGAGUCGUAGUUCCUGUUUGUGUUCUAUACUCGAAUAAUAAAGUUAAUUGAAUUAUUACGAACAUUCCUCACUAUUCCAUCAUAACAAAUGACAACAUCCGGAAGGAGUGCCAUUAAGUUAUUGAACAAUGUUCUAGGUUAAGCAACCCUCUAAAUGAACGAACGAUCACUUCUCUGCUAAGAAUGAAUCAUCUCCCCAUAUGGGUCCAAUCCAUGACAUAGACAGCUUCUCACCACUUCGAAUUCCUCAGAUGGGUAGUUCUUGUAAGACCCCGAAUUUUAUAAAAUGAAAGUAUUCAAUUUUUUAUAAUUAUUAUUCUAUUUAAAAAAUGGUUAGGUUGAUAAAAUGUUAAAGUUAAGGGUGAUAUAUGAAAAAAUUUCAAAGUAAGUAAGUUGUCAUAAAAUAAUUGGUGGUAAAAGUAUAGUAAUACGUGUGGGUGCAUAGUAGCAUACGGUAUUGAUUAUUGAUGCUUACGUAAGAAGUCACUCAGUUAUACUCAAUUAUUGCUACAGUAAUUGCUGCAUCAUAUCUCUCAUAUUAUUAAUUUAAUUAUUAUCACAGUAUCAUCUGCAUAAUAUGUUAUAUUAUUAACUCAAUAAUUGAGACGACAAAGUUAUUCAUAUUAUUAUUUGCAAUAUUGACAAUGUCUAGAAGUUCUGUCAAUAAGAGGUUUGGUCACCUAAUUGCGUGCUAAUAAGAAGAAACCUUAUUGGAAAGCCCCCUCUUUCCUGGGAACGAACUAGUUGUUAAAUAUUGUGAGUUAUAAUAUUAAUGAUGAAUAAGUUCAUGUUAAUUGAAGAUAAAAUUGAUAGUUUUAUUGUGUGGGAAUUAUUGGUGUUAGUGGAAAUCGACAUUUACUUCGAUAAUAAUUGAUGUCUGGAGGUUAUAUUGACCAAUCGGGUAAUUAAUCGGAUAAAUGAGUAAUUAAUUGCUAUUAAUUCACAUGCUUAUAACUAUGUGUUCACAUGUGUGUACUAUUGAUUCACAUGAUUUACUAUUAGGGGAGUUGGUGCAAGAUUGAUAAUACUUGCAUGACUAAGUUAAAAAUGGAGGUAUAGAUGGAGGUACUAUACUGUAAUUCGUAUUUUCACAUGAUUAUAACUAUUGAUUCACAUGAUUGAACUAUUGAUUCACAUUAUUUACUAUUAGGGGAGGUGGUGCAAGUUUGAUAAUACUUGCAGGACUAAAUUAAAAAUGAAGAAAAAGAGGAAGGUAUUAUACUGUAAUAUUUCGAGCCCCAAAACGUGCAAUUAUCGAAACUAUAUUUUCCUAUAAAUAGAAGCUCAUUCUUCCUUCAUUUCUCACCAAUUCACUAAAGCUAUAGAGCAAUUAUUAUAGAGAGAAAUUAUAGAGAGAAAGAAGAAGAGAAGUCUGCUACCUCACUAUUCCAGUAUCCAGUUUCUUCUAAGGUAAGGGGUAUUAUUUCUUUCGUAUUCAUGAAGAGAGUUAUUUUCUUUCAAUACUCGUAAGGGUUGUUAUUCCAUUCUUUAUUAUUCUGUUGGAAUAACCUGUCUGUGCGGUCUAUCGCAUGCCUGGUGAAUUCUUUUGUUAUUCCAUUCUUUAUUAUUCUGUUGGAAUAACCUGUCUAUGCGGACUACCGCAUGCAUGGUGAAUUCUUUUGUUAUUCCAUUCUUUAUUAUUCUAUUGGAAUAACCUGUCUACGCGGACUACCGCGUGCAUGGUGAAUUCUUCUAUUAUUCCAUUCUUUAUUAUUCUGUUGGAAUAAACUGUCUACGCGGACUACCGUAUGCAUGGUGAAUUCUUUUGUUAUUCCAUUCUUUAUUAUUCUGUUGGAAUAACCUGUCUACGCGGACUACCGCAUGCAUGGUGAAUUCUUCUGUUAUUCCAUUAUUUAUUAUUCUGUUGAAAUAACCUGUCUAUGUGGACUAUCACAUGCAUGGUGAAUGAUCCUUCGUAUUCAUUCUUUAUUAAAUUGUGGAAAUGAUCUGUCUACGUGGAUUACCGCAUGGCGGGUGAAAAUCCAUUUGCAGUUUUGUAUAUACUAUUAUACUCGUAUGAGAUAUCAUUUUUUUGUACUCAUCAUGGAAUAUCAUUUUCUUUGGUAUUUUUCUUUUUCGAGUUACUAUUCACGGGUUACUAUUCACCCAGUUACUAUUCACUCUAGUAUUAUUCACUUAGGUAUUCGGGACACUUUUCGUGCCGGAGUACUAUUCACGGGUUACUAUUCACCCAAAUAUUAUUCACUCAGGUAUUUGGGGUACUUUUCAUGUCGGAGUACUAUUCACGAGGUACUAUUCCCGAAGUACUAUUCACAAGGUACUAUUCACGGGGUACUAUUUACCCGAAAAAUAUAUUUCUUUUCUGUCUAAAUUAUUUUUGGUACAUGAAUAUUAUUCUUGAAUUUUACUCCACAAAGCAGUAUCUUGUUGACAAUUUGGAUAUUUUUAAAUUCUGGAUAAAUUUAAAGUCUUUAGUAUUUAUCCUUGAUUUCGUUUGAUUAAUACUUAUAUCAUUUUCAUCAUCCUCAUGCUUAUAUUGUGAUGAAAGGCAUCUUUGGCUUACGUGCAUAGAUGGACUAUUGAUUAUUGGUUUUCAGUUGUAUAUCUUUGGCUUACGUGCAAAGAUGUACUGUUGAUUAUUGGUUUUACAGUUGUAUAUCUUUGGCUUACGUGCAAAGAUGGACUGUUGAUUACUGGUUUUAUAGUUGUAUAUCUUUGGCUUACGUGCAAAGAUGAACUAUUGAUUGAUGAGUAUCUUUAGUUUAUAUACAUAGAAGAACUGUUGAUUUGUGACGCCCCCAAAAUAGGUAUACAUCACCCAUUCUGAGUCGCCAGAUAUCACUCUAUAAAAAUCAAAUACAAACUUCAUUUAUACAACUGUUGAACUGUCGUGCAGAGUACGACAAUAGAUAAGCUGUGAGUUGUAAUACAAUAUUAUCUCGUACAUAGUAUCCAAACUCAAAUUGUUACAAUGCCAUAUAAAAUACAGCAGCAAAUAUUUUAAGACCCCAAAGAAGAACGAGAAAAUUACUAUCAUAUUCAUUCUAAUGAGGUGCACUUUUGACGCUUUCAAAGUCGGGUUCUCAUCACCCUAUUGUUGUUCGCCAAAUCAAUUAUUAAGUGACGUAUAAAAUACGACACACACAUCUUAGGUCCUCAAUACAAUUAUCCGCUGCAUGUCAUGCCGUUUUAUAAUGUAUUGAGAAACUUCGACAGUCUCGGACCAUCACACUAUUUCCCUGUUAUCCCCGCUCGACCCAGCUGCACUCUUAUUACCUGAAAAGAAUUGUGAAGCAAAGGGUGAACACAAAUAGCCUAGUAAAGAAUAUCAUGACUAAAGAUAAUUAAAUUAUCAACAGCCUUCGUCAAUAAUAAAUCAGAGAUUUAGAACAUAUAGUAGAUGAUAAAACUUUUCAACCAUAGUUGCAGCAGAACGAGCAAUCCAUUAGAAGAGUCAAAUAGACCAUCAGGUCUAUUAUCUUCUCUAUGUUAAAAGUCCACCAAUAAUAUUUUAUCCAUGUAACAUCAAUCAACAAUUCCUGUCCACAAUCAUAUGAAUAACUCAUAAUCAUAAUUGUGAUUCUAAAUUCCUCUUUGCACCCAGGAUGAAGAUAAUUUCCAUUACCUAUCUUCACCAGAAACAUCAAAAAUCAUGGUUAUACCAAAUCACAAUUCCUGCUCAUAAUCAUACUAAUAAAUUCAUCUUUGCACUACGACCAAAGAUAUUCAUUAACAAUUCAUCUUGGCACUACAGGCCAAAGACAUACAAUUGUAUUUUAGAAGAGUCAAGUAGAGCAUGAUAUCUACUAUCUUUUACGAAUUAAAAGUGUAUAAUAAAUAUUUUAUCGCUGAGACUCAGCUUAAUAAAUAAUCCACAUCAUCGAAUCAUCCCUGCACUACGGCCAAGGAUAUUCAUGUUAUCAUCAAUGGUUAUGAUUAUACCGAAUAAUCCGUAGUUAUAAUCAUACCAAUAACUGUCCAUCAAUGCACUACGGGCCAAUGAGGACUUUUAACACAUCAUCUAUAACAUUACGGGUCAUGAUUAUACCGAAGGAUCCCUGGUCAUAAUCAUACCAAUAAAUAGUUCAUCUAUGCACAUAAGCCAAAGAUACUUAUCAAUCAAUAGUUCAUCUUUGCACGUAAGCCAAAGAUAUACAACUGUAAAACCAAUAAUCAACAGUCCAUCUUUGCACGUAGGCCAAAGAUAUACAACUAUAAAACAAAUAAUCAACAAUAUCUUUGCACGUAAGCCAAAUAUAUACAACUGUAAAACCAAUAAUCAACAGUCCAUCUUUGCACGUAAGCCAAAGAUGACUUUCAUCAUAAUAUAAGCAUGAGGAUGAUGACAAUGAUAUAAGCAUUAAUCAAAUAAAAACAAGGAUAAAUAUUAAAGACUUUAAAUUUAUCCAAAUAUUAUCAAUCACUUAAUAAACUCGUAAUCUAAUAUUAUUAGUAUUAUAACAAUAUUUUAAUCACUUCUUAAACUUAUAAACAAUUUAUUUUAAUUGUUUACACUUUACCAAAUAAUGUAUUUAAUCAUUCAAAAAUGUCAUACUCAUAAGAUUUCAUCACCAAUGAUCAAAUCCCUCAUCAAAAAUCUGCAUAUACCUUAUAUAGGAUUUCCAAGCCAUAAAAUCCUAUUUACCAAUUUUGUUACUUCACAUAACAUAUUUAAUUUAUUUACUCAUAACUAGUUCAUUUUCAUGAAAAAUACCAAAUCAGUCCCAAAAAUAUUUCUUUUCUGGGAUUUAGCAAAAUAUAGUCUCAUAUUGAACAUAUAUUUUUCUCGAAAUUUUUAAAAUUCAUUUACUAUUUUUCAUAUGACCAAAACUGCCGAAUAUUUAGACCUUUAUCAUAAAUUGUACUUUUGUUCAAAAAUUCCGAAAUUUACAGGGUAUACUUCUGUUAUAUACAUGUACUCCUAAUAAAAAUUUCACCAAUUUUGGAGUUAACCACAAGGAGUUAUAAGGGUUUACUUUUAAAAUAGUCUUUUUCCAUAAAAUUCAUAACUCCUAAUCUAUACAUCCAAAAAUCGCCAUCUUUGGACACAAUCUAGAAAACUCAUCAAAUUAUCAUUUCAAAUUUUUCCAAAACUUUUGAGGGUCAGAAAAAUUACGAAACUGCAAAUGGAUUUUCACCCGCCAUGCGGUAAUCCACGUAAAUAGAUCAUUUCUACAAUUUAAUAAGGAAUGAAUACAAAGGAUCAUGCACCAUGCAUGCGAUAAUCCACAUAGACAGGUUAUUCCAAUAGAAUAAUAAAGAAUGGAAUAACAAAAGAAUGCACCAUGCAUACGAUAGACCGCACAGACAGGUUAUUCCCAACAGAAUAAUAAAGAAUGGAACCAGGUCAUACAUAAUCCACACAGACAGGAUAUUCCAAUAGAAUAACAAAGAACGGAAUAACAACAGAAUUCACCAGGCAUGCGAUAAACCGCACAGACAGGUUAUUCCAACAGAAUAAUAAAGAAUGGAACCAGGUCAUGCGUAAACCGCACAGACAGGAUAUUCCAACAGAAUAAUAAAGAAUGGAAUAAUAGAAGAAUUUCACCAUGUAUGCAGUACUUCGCAUAGAUAGGUUAUUCCAACAUAAUAAUAAGGAAUGGAAUAACAAUAGCUCUCUUCAUGAAUACGAAAGAAAUAAUACCCCUUACUAUAAUAAUAAUAUACCUUACCUUAGAAGAAACUGGAUAAUGGAGUAGUCAGAUAGCAGACUUCUCUUCUUUUUUCUCUCUAUAAUUUCUCUCUAUAAUAAUGGCUCUAUAGCUUUAGUGAAUUGGUGAGAAAUGAAGGAAGAAUGAGCUUCUAUUUAUAUGAAAAUAUAGUUUCGAUAAUUGCACGUUUUGGGGCUCGAAAUAUUACAGUACAAUACCUUCAACUUUUUUUCAUUUUUAAUUUAGUCUUGCAAGUAUUAUCAAACUUUCACCACCUCUCCUAAUAGUUAUAAUCAUGUGAAUCAAUAACAAUUAAUUGCUCAUUUAUCCGGUUAAUUACCCGAUUGGUCAAUAUAACCUCCAGACAUCAAUUAUUAUCGAAAUAAAUGUCGAUUUCCACUAACACUAACAAUCCCAACACAAUGGAAAUAUUUUUCUCAAAAAUUUCAUUUUUGAAAUUUUAAAGUUUGACUUUUUCUGAAAAAGUCAACUAUUGACUUUUUUGACCAAAAAGUCAACUAUUGACUUUUUUGACGAAAAAGUCAACCCCGAUAAAUUUUGUGUUUAUAGUCUAUUUCUACUAAUUUCAUCAUUCCGGACUCAAAUAUCACGUCCGCGUCUCCAAAUUCAACUCCGAACUCAAAUUCAGUUUUUAAUAACAUUCAUUAUUAAUAUUAUAACUCACAAUAUUUAACAACCAGGUCAUUCCCAGGAAAGAGGGGGCUUUCCGAUAAGGAUUUCUCCUUAUUGGCGUGUAAUUAGGUGACCAAACCUCUCCUUGACAGAACUUCUAGACAUUGUCAAUAUUGCAAAUAAUAAUAUGAAUAACUUUGUCGUCUCAAUUAUUGAUUUAAUAAUAUAUAAAAUAUUAUGCAGAUGAUACUGUGACAAUAAUUGAAUCAAUAAUAUGAGAGAUAUGAUGCAGCAAUUACUGUAGCAAUAAUUGAGUAUAAUUAAGUGAUUUCUUACAUAAGCAUCAAUAAUCAAUACCGUGUGCUACUAUGAAAUCACGCGUAUUACUGUACUUUUACUACCGGGUAGUUCAACAGUUUUAACGGUAACACUUUCGCCGUUAUUUUUAUAAAAGAUAAUUCUGUCAUUUUCUAACUACGACAAUACUUCUGUUGUGGGGUCCAUCAAUGAUUAUGCCGUUGUACGAAUAUUCCCUGUUAAAACGAAUAUUCCUCGACCAAUCGAAUAUUCCCCGACACAACGAAUAUUUUAUAACAACUUGCAUACUUUGCAAAAUUUUCAAAUAUCACCCUUAACUUGAACCUUUAUCAAUUUAACCAUUUACUAAAUUGAAUAAUUAUAAGAAAAUUGAAUAAUUUCAUUUCAUAAAAUUCGGGGUCUCACAUGAUUGGUAUGAUUAUGACCAGGGAUCAUUCGGUAUAACCAUGACCCGUAAUGUUACAAAUGAUGUGGUAAAAGUCCUCAUUGGCCCGUAGUGCAUUGAUGGAAAGUUGUUGGUAUGAUUAUAACCAGGGAUUAUUCGGUAUAAUCAUGACCAUUGUUGAAAACACGAAUAUCCUUGGUCCGUUGUGCAUGGAUAAUUCGUGGUCAUAAUACUAAUGAAUAUCCUUGGCCGUAGUGCAUGGAUGAUUUGAUGAUGUGAAUUAUUUAUUAAGCUGAGUCUCAGCGAUAAAAUAUUGAUUAUACACUUUUAAUUCGUAAAAGAUAGUAGAUAUCAUGCUCUACUUGACUCUUCUAAAAUACAGUUGUAUGUCUUUGGCCUGUAGUGCAAAAAUGAAUUGUUAAUGAAUAUCUUUGGUCGUAGUGAAAAGAUGAAUUUAUUAGUAUGAUUAUGAGAAAGAAUUGUGAUUUGGUAUAACCAUGAUUUUUGAUGUUUCAGGUAAAUAUAGGUGAUGAAAAUUAUCUUCGUCCUGGGUGUGAAGAGGAGUUUAGAACCACAAUUAUCAUUAUGAGUUAUUCAUCUGAUUGUGGACAGAAAUUGUUGACUGAUGUAACAGGGAUAAAACAUUGUUGGUGGAUUUUUAACGUGGAGAAGAUAUAGACUUUAUUGUCUAUUUGACUCUUUUAAUGGAUUGCUCGUUCCGCUGCAACUAUGGUUAAAAAGUUUUAUCAUCUACCAUAUGUUCUAAAUCUCUGAUUUAUUACUGAUGAAGGCUAUUGAUAAUUUAAUUAUCUUUAGUCAUAAUAUUCUUUACUGGGCUAUUUGUGCUCACCCUUUUGCUUCACAAUUCCUUUCAGGUAUUAAGAGUGUAGCUAGGUCGAGCGGGGGUAACAGGGGAUUAGAACGGUGGUCUAUAGCCGUUGAGGUUUCCCUUAAAAUAGUAUGGAAAUAAUUUUAUUGAGAAUUAUAGAUAAGUGUGUCGUAUUUUAUACGUCAUUUUAACCGUUGAUUUUCGUGAACCAAAUAGGGUGAGGUGAACCCAACUGUGGAAGGGCAUUUUUGCCACUAUCAUACAAGAUGUAUAAUGAUAGACGACUUCGUGUUAUCAUAAGACAGGGUUGUGCACAUCCACUUGCUGAGUAUAUCUACGAGCACUACCUAUAUAAUCUUGGAGUUUGUUUGAAAUAUGAUUCUCAAUUGGAAACAAUUGAGAUAAUUAUAUGUCAAGAGAAGACUCACCAUUGGAAAGAAGAUGAUAGCAAUCUUCUUAUUUUUCUUUGGGGACUAUUGAGUCAACCAAGGAUAAUUCUGUGGACAUAUGAUAUCUAUCAUAACCUAGACGCAUGGCCUCCCAUGUAUUAAGGUUUCCUUGAGUAUUUUCCAAAGAUUUUAAUUUCCAAAACAGUUAUUGACUGUACCUUUAUGUAAGGUACCAUUGUAAGGUGUUGUGGUCAAGGCACCAUGAGAAUUAUAUAUAUUUGUAUUAAAACUCACAGCUUAUGUGUUGUCGUACUCUGCACGACAGUUCAACAGUUGUAUAAAUGAAGUUUGUAUUUGAUUUCUGUAGUGUGAUAUCUGGCGACUCAGAAUGGGUCAUGUGGACCUAUUUUGGGGGCGUCACAGUUCUCACAGAACGUCUCACCUCUUUUUCUAUGAGAAUUACCCAUUUGAGGAAUUCAGAGUGGUGAGAAGAUGUCUAUGUCAUGGAUUGGACCCAUAUGGGGAGAUGAUUCAUUCCUAGCAGUCGUUCAUCUAGAGGGUUGCUUAACAUGGAACUUUGUUCAAUAGCUUAAUGAAACUCCUUCGGGAUGUUGUCAUUUGUUAUGAUGGAACAAUGAGGAAUGUCUGUAGUAAUUGAAUUAACUUUAUUAUUCGAGUAUAGGACACAAACAGGAACUAUGACCCUUUUUUUCCCGAUUACCGAAGAACCAAUUGGAGUAUUAUUAGUUACAACUGCUAUGUCGAACCCUGUAUACAAGAAAGUCCUUAAAUCUUCUCCUAGUAGUCAUUACAGCUGCAACAGCUAUGAAACUUAGAAACCCGUUUGACAAGUAGGAGUGAAUAUCGAACAGUGGUCUCUAUAGAUUCCAAAUAACAAUUCUCAUAAACUAAGUACCACUUACAUAGUUUAUCAUUGGCAAAAUAAACUAAGUAACAUUUGCUUAGUUUGUCAUAAUUUUUAAUAAACUCAAUAAUACUUUCUCUUUAAUCUUCAAUACACUCAAUAAUAUAUGUACUAUACUUUGGAACUUAGAAACCCGUUUGACAUUCACUCAGUAGGAGUGAAUGUCGAACAGUCCCCAGUUUAGGACUGUUAUUGGAUGUUAUAUCUCUCACUUAGGUCGAUGCCAAUACAAAACGGUACAUUUUUGUUGUUUUGAGAAUUUUUGAACUAUACGUCAGCAAUUGCCUUCCAGUUCUCUUCUUUACCAGAUUUCUCAGGAUAUUAUAGCAGGGGUGUGAGAUCCUGAAUUUUAUGAAAUGAAAGUAUUCAAUUUUCUUAUAAUGUUAUUUAGUAAAUAGUUAGAUUGAUAAAGGUUAAAGUUAAGGGUGAUAUGUGAAAAUUUGCAAAGUAAGCAAGUUGAUAUAAAAUAUUCGUUGUGUCGAGGAAUAUUCGUUUUAAUAGGGAAUAUUCGUAUGACGACAUAAUCAUUGGUGGACCCCACAACAGAAGUAUUGUCAUAGUUAGAAAAUGACAGAAAUAUCUUUUUAUAAAAAUAAUGGCGAAAGUUUUACCGUUAAACUAUUGAACUACCCGGUAGUAAAAGUACAGUAAUACACGUGGUUGCAUAGUAGCACACGGUAUUGAUUAUUGAUGCUUACGUGAGAAGUCAUUAAGUUAUACUCAAUUAUUUCUAUAGUAAUUGCUGAAUAAUAUCUCUCAUAUUAUAGAUUCAAUUAUUGUCACAGUAUCAUCUGCAUAAUAUUUAUUAUUAUUAAAUAAAUAAUUGAGACGACAAAGUUAUUCAUAUUAUUAUUUGCAAUAUUGACGAUGUCUAGAAAGUUUUGUCGAGGAGAGGUUUGGUCACUUAAUUGCACGCUAAUAAGGAGAAAUUCUUAUCAGAAAGCCCCCUCUUUCCUGGGAAUGAUCUAGUUGUUAAAUAUUGUGAGUUAUAAUACUAAUGAUGAAUAAUUUUGUAUUGAUUAAAGAUGAAAUUGAUAUUUUCAUUGUGUUGGGAUUAUUAGUGUUAGUGGAAAGUGACAUCUAUUCCGAUAAUAAUUGAUGUCUGGAGGUUAUAUUGAUCAAUCGGGUAAUUAAUCGGAUAAAUGAGCAAUUAAUUGCUAUUAAUUCACAUGCUUAUAACUAUUUGUUCACAUGUGUGUACUAUUGAUUCACAUGCAUGUACUAUUAGGGGAGGUAGUGCAAGAUUGAUAAUACUUACAUGACUAAAUUAAAAAUGGAGGUAUAGAUGAAGGUACUAUACUGUAAUUAUUUUUUUCACAUGUAUAGAACUAUUGAGUCACAUGAUUGUAUUAUUGAUUCACAUGAUGUACUAUUAGGGGAGGUGGUGCAAGUUUGACAAUAAUCUGAGGACUAAAUUAAAAAUAAAGGAAAAGAUAAAGGUAUUAUACUGUAAUAUUUUGAGCCCCAAAAUGUGCAAUUAUCAAAACUAUAUUUUCCUAUAAAUAGAAGCUUAUUCUUCCUUCAUUCUCACCAAUUCACUAAGACUCACAAGAGCAGUUAUAGAGAGAGAAGCUAUAGAGAGAAAGAAGAAGAGUAGUCUGCUACUUCACUAUUCCAGUAUCUAGUCUUCUUCCAAGGUAAGGGGUAUUAUUUCUUUCGUAUUCAUGAAGAGAGUUAUUUUCUUUCAAUACUCGUAAGGGUUGUUACUCCAUUCUUUAUUAUUCUGUUGGAAUAACCUGUUUACGCGGACUACCGCAUGCAUGGUGAAAUUCUUCUGUUAUUCCAAUCGUUAUUAUUCUGUUGGAAUAACCUGUCUACGCGGACUACCGCAUGCAUGGUGAAAUUCUUCUGUUAUUCCAUUAUUUAUUAUUUUGUUGGAAUAACCUGUCUACGCGUAUUACCGCAUGCAUGGUGAAUGACCCUUUGUAUUCAUUCUUUAUUAAAUUAUGGAAAUGAUUUGUCUACGUGGAUUACCGUAUUGCGGAUGAAAAUCCAUUUACAGUUUCGUAUAUUCUCUUAUACUCGUAUGAGAUAUCCUUUCUUUUGUACUCGUCAUAGAAUAUCGUUUUCUUUUGUAUUUUCUUUUCAUGAGUACUAUUCACAGAGUACUAUUCAUGGGCACUAUUCACGUAUAUGGCACUAUUCACGUAUACGAUACUAUUCAUAAAGUACUAUUCACGAAGUACUAUUCAUGAGAACUAUUCAUGGGGUACUAUUCCCGAAGUACUAUUCACGGGUUACUAUUCACCUAGAGUACUAUUUAUGAUAAAAAUUGAUUUCUUUUCGGUCCAAAUCAUUUUUGAUACAAUAUCAUUCUUGAAUUUUACUCCAUAAAGCAGUAUCAUGUUGACAAUUUGAAUAUUUUUAAACUCUGGAUAAAUUUAAAGUCUUUAAUAUUUAUCCUUGAUUUCGUUUUAUUAAUGCUUAUUUCAUUGUCAUCAUCCCCAUGCUUAUAUUAUGAUGAAAGUCAUCUUUGGCUUACGUGCAUAGAUGGACUGUUGAUUGGUAUGAUUAUGACCAGGGAUCAUUCGGUAUAAUCAUGACCCGUAAUGUUACAAAUGAUGUGGUAAAAUCCCUCAUUGGCUCGUAGUGCAUUGAUGGACAGUUAUUGGUAUAAUUAUGACCAGGGAUUAUUCGAUAUAAUCAUGACCAUUGAUGAUUACAUGAAUAUCCUUGGCCCGUAGUGCAGGGAUAAUUCGAUGAUGUGGUUUAUUUAUUAAGCUGAGUCUCAGCGAUAAAGUUGAUGAAAAACUUUUUAAAUCAUAGAAGAUAGUAGAUAUCAUGAUCUACUUGACUCUUCUAAUGGAUUGCUUAUUCCGCUGCAGUUGUUGAUCUAAAACUUGUUGUCUAUUGUAUUUUAUCAGUUGUUAUACUAUUGAAGGCUAAGGAUAAUUUAUUCUGCAUUAUCUUAGCCAUAAUAUUUUUUACUGGGCUAGUUGAGCUCACCCUUUUCUUUAAUUAUUCUCUUCAGGAAAUUAGAAUAUAGCUGGGACUAGUCGAGAAAUGGAUUGACGAUCCAGAUGGUUAUUUUAGUAGUCCUCACUACUAUGUGAAAUAGUAUGAUAAUAAAUGUAAUGAGGACUCCAUUGAGAGUGAAUAUUGUCUAGAAGGCAAUAUUCUUGUUUAAACUCUCAACUAUGUUUUGUCGUAUAUUACCUGACAGUUGUAUAAUUAAGUUGUAUUUGAUUUAUGUACCAUGUAUUUGGCGACUCAAGAUGGGUGAUGUAUACCUGUUUUGGGGGCGUCACAGUUGGUAUCAAAGCUUAGGGAUAUGAUCCCUGACUGAGAUGUGAGACAAGAACUAGGAGGGGAGAGACGGGGAAUUCCUUCGCUAGUAUGACCUACCUAAGUUUAUUUGGUAUUUAAUUGGUUGGUCAGAGUAUAGGGAUAAUAUGUGAUAUGUCAAUUAACCCUUUUUUUGUAGAAGUAUUUGAAAAUGGCAUCUAAAAAUGUCGAGAUAAGCAAUGAAGCACAUGAGACCGUUGAGUCACCGACGAUAAAUAACCAAGAUAAUGUGCAUCAGGAAGGCAAUAAUCCUCAUGUAAACAACAACACCAACCAAAUGACGAACGAUGGUAUGUUUAGGAACUUUUUAGAAUUUAUGCAAAACCAAACGAGAGAGACUCCUGUUCAAAAUGCAGGUGGAAACACUGACAACUCACGGCUAGUCACCGCUAAGCAGUUCAAGGAGCUAGGAUCACCGGAGUUUUUGGGAGAGCCAAAAUCACUUAAGGCGGAGACGUGGAUAAAGAAGAUCACCAAGAUAUUUGAUGUCUUGGGAUGCUCCGAGGAGCAAAAGGUUCCCUUUGCCACCUUCAUGUUUCGAGGAGAGGCAAAUUACUGGUGGGAAUUAGUAAAAUGUACUCAGCCUGCCGCACUCAAAAUGUCUUGGGAGAAGUUCCAAGAGCUGUUUAAUGACAAGUACUUUUUCGAAAGUAUUCGUCACAUGAAAGAGGUAGAGUUCAUCAAGCUAGAGCAAAACAAUAUGACUGUAUCCCAAUACGAGGCAAAGUUUGCGGAGUUAUCCCGGUUUGCAUCCCAUUUGGUUGAUAAUGAGGAGAGAAUGACGCGGAUGUUUCUAAGAGAUUUGAAACCUGAGAUACGUCAAUACCUCAUUUCUCACAAACUUUGUUUAUAUUCAAAUGUUGUGAAUAUGGCUCAGUUAUUGGAGCGCGAUAAUGAGCCAGCCCAACCAAAAGAUAAUAACCAACAACACGAUAAUAAUCGUACCGGUGGCAACGGCCAUCGGACUAACGAUAACCAUCGUGAAGGAAAUUAUCAGGCAAGAAAUGGUAACCACUUCGGUGGUAAUCAUGGCUAAGAUGAUAGAAGAAAUGAUUCAAGUAGAAAAUUCAAGAAGAGGAGAUUUAACGAUAAUGGGAAGACGUCGGCAGUAGCGCCAGCGCCAGCAACAAAUUUUAGGGGAGGAGAACGACUACCAGUUAAAUGCUAUAGAUGCGGAGAUGAGGGACACAUAAGUCCAAACUGUUCACAGCCUUCCAAUGUAUGUUUUAGUUGUGGAAAAUAUUGUCACAUAGCUCAAUUUUGUCUUGUAGCGAAAUCAAAUCCAGCUGGGACGGUGGCACCAAAGGUGGAUACAGACAAAACAAAGUCGGUGGUUUCAGGAAGAGCGUUUUUCGUGACUUCUCAAAAACUCUUGCGAAGUCUAUACCUUGUUAGAUAACGGUUCUACCCAUUCUUUUAUUUCUCCUAUUUGUGCUCAACGUUUAAAUUUAACUCCGGAGAAAUUAGACUUUGACUUAUCUGUUGAAACUCCGUUAGGAGAAACCUUCAUUACAUGUGCUAUCCAAGUCUUGGAUGAGAGUCACAGAUUUUAAAUGAUAUUUCUAUCAUUAAUAAAUUUCUUGACGUAUUCUCGAAGAACUUCCUGGCCUACCCCCAGAGCGUGAAAUCGAAUUUUGUAUUGACCCCAGUACAAAACUCAUUUCUAAAACUCUUAAAUAUUUCUUCACCCAAAAUGAACGUAUCAUGCUCCAAAGACGUUGGCUCGAGCUGUUGAAGAUUACGACCAUACCAUUCAAUAUUAUCAUGGAAAAAGCGAAUGUGGUAGCUGAUGCAUUGAGUAGAAGAUCGUAUGCGUUUACGAUUGUAACGUUGUUAACACAAAGACCCAUUUCAUAUGACUUACAAAUGAUAAAGAUGGAGUUAAAGAAUCUAAGGACCCACAUGAUGAUGUCAAAUAAUACGAGUAGAAUCGACGUUAACCGAUGAAGUUAAAACCGCUCAAGCUACACACCCAGAGCUGAUGAAUGUGAAGAAGAAGGUUUAAGAGGGCGUUAUUCUAGAAGCAAGAAUUGAUGAAGAGAGUAAAUCUCAACCCUCAAUUUAGUUGGGCCAUUCAAAAUCCUCGAUCGAGUAGGAACUGUGGCCUAUAGACUCGCUUUACCGCCAAGUAUGUCGCGUGUUUAUAACGUUUUUCACGUAUCGAUGUUACGUAAAUAUGUGGAUGACCCGAACCACAUUAUUGAAUUAGAACUAGACGAGAUAGCAGAAGAUUUAACGUAUGAGGAGAUACCUAUUAAAAUGGUGGAUAAGAAUGAAUAUAUUCUACGCUCAAAGGUUAUACCUCAAGAGUUAGAUUCUAACGAGGUAUCAUCAUCUCUUCGAUAUACCAGGUACGUACGUAAAUUUUGAGGGCAAAAUUUUAUAAGGAUGGGAGAUUGUUAGAUCCCGAAUUUUAUGAAAUGAAAGUAUUCAAUUUUCUUAUAAUGUUAUUUAGUAAAUGGUUAAAUUGAUAAAGGUUAAAGUUAAGGGUGAUAUGUGAAAAUUUUGCAAAGUAAGCAAGUUGAUAUAAAAUAUUCGUUGUGUCGGGGAAUAUUCGAUUGGUCAAGGAAUAUUCAUUUUAAAAGGGAAUAUUCGUAUGACGACAUAAUCAUUGGUGGACCCCACAACAGAAGUAUUGUCGUAGUUAGAAAACGACAGAAAUAUCUUUUUAUAAAAAUAACGGCGAAAGUUUUACCGUUAAACUGUUGAACUACCCGGUAGUAAAAGUACAGUAAUACGGGUGGUUGCAUAGUAGCACACGGUAUUGAUUAUUGAUGCUUACGUGAGAAGUCAUUCAGUUAUACUCAAUUAUUGCUAUAGUAAUUGCUGCAUAAUAUCUCUCAUAUUAUUGAUUCAAUUAUUGUCACAGUAUCAUCUGCAUAAUAUUUAUUAUUAUUAAAUCAAUAAUUGAGACGACAAAGUUAUUCAUAUUAUUAUUUGCAAUAUUAAUGAUGUCUAGAAAGUUCUGUCGAGGAGAGGUUUUGCCACCUAAUUGCGCGUCAAUAGGGAGAAAUCCUUAUCGGAAAGCCCCCUCUUUCCUAGGAAUAAUCUGGUUGUUAAAUAUUGUGAGUUAUAAUAUUAAUGAUGAAUAAGUUCGUGUUGAUUAAAGAUGAAAUUGAUAUUUUCAUUGUGUUGGGAUUAUUAGUGUUAGUGGAAAGUGACAUCUAUUUCGAUAAUAAUUGAUGUCUGGAGGUUAUAUUGACCAAUCGGGUAAUUAAUCGGAUAAAUGAGCAAUUAAUUGAUAUUAAUUCACAUGUUUAUAACUAUUUAUUCACAUGGAUGUACUAUUAGGGGAGGUGGUGCAAGAUUGAUAAUACUUACAUGACUAAAUUAAAAAUUGAGGUAUAGAUGAAUGUACUAUACUGUAAUUAUUUUUUUCACAUGUAUAGAACUAUUGAGUCACAUGAUUGUACUAUUGAUUCACAUGAUGUACUAUUAGGGGAGGUGGUGCAAGUUUGAUAAUACUUAUAGGACUAAAUUAAAAAUGAAAGAAAAGAUAAAGGUAUUAUACUGUAAUAUUUUGAGUCCCAAAACGUGCAAUUAUCAAAAACUAUAUUUUCCUAUAAAUAGAAGCUCAUUCUUCCUUCAUUCUCACCAAUUCACUAAGACUCACAAGAGCAAUUAUAGAGAGAGAAGCUAUAGAGAGAAAGAAGAAGAGUAGUCUGCUACUUCACUAUUCCAGUAUCUAGUCUUCUUCCAAGGUAAGAUGUAUUAUUUAUUUCAUAUUCUGAAGAGAUAUUAUUUUUCGUAUUUGUAUGAAUAUUUUUUUCGUUCAAUAUUCGUAAGGAAUAUCAUCUUCGUUCAAUAUUCGUAGGAAUAUUAUUUUUAUUCAACAGUCGUAAGGGGUAUUAUUUCUUUCGUAUUCAUGAAGAGAGUUAUUUUCUUUCAAUACUCGUAAGGGUUGUUACUCCAUUCUUUAUUAUUCUGUUGGAAUAACCCGUCUACGCGGACUACCGCAUGUAUGGUGAAUAACCCUUCGUAUUCAUUAUUUAUUAUAUUGUGGAAAUGAUCUGUCUACGUGAAUUACCGUAUUGCGGAUGAAAAUCCAUUUGCAGUUUCGUAUAUUCUAUUAUACUCGUAUGAGAUAUCCUUUCUUUUGUAUUUGUCAUAGAAUAUCAUUUUAUUUUGUAUUUUUCUUUUAUGAGUACUAUUCACGGAGUACUAUUUAUGGGCACUAUUCACAUAUACGGUACUGUUCAUAAAGUACUAUUCAUGAGUACUAUUCACAAAGUAUUAUUCACGGGAUACUAUUCCCAAAGUACUAUUCACAGGAUACUAUUCACCGGGAGUACUAUUCAUGACAAAAAUUGAUUUCUUUUCGGUCCAAAUCAUUUUUGAUACAAUAUUAUUCUUGAAUUUUACUCCACAAAAUAGUAUCAUGUUGACAAUUUGGAUAUUUUUAAACUCUAGAUAAAUUUAAAGUCUUUAAUAUUUAUCCAUGAUUUUGUUUGAUUAAUGUUUAUAUCAUUGUCAUCAUCCUCAUGCUUAUAUUGUGAUGAAAGUCAUUUUUGGCUUACAUGCAUAGAUGGACUAUUGAUUGGUAUGAUUAUGACCAGGGAUCAUUCGGUAUAAUCAUGACCCGUAAUGUUACAAAUGAUGUGGUAAAAGUCCUCAUUGGCUCGUAGUGCAUUGAUUGACAGUUAUUGGUAUGAUUAUGACCAGGGAUUAUUCGGUAUAAUUAUGACCAUUGAUUAUUACAUGAAUAUCCUUGGCCCGUAGUGCAGGGAUGAUUCGAUAAUGUGGUUUAUUUAUUAAGCUGAGUCUCAGCGAUAAAGUUGAUGAAAAACUUUUUAAAUCAUAGAAGAUAGUAGAUAUCAUGCUCUACUUGACUCUUCUAAUGGAUUGCUUAUUCCGCUGCAGUUGUUGAUCUAAAACUUGUUGUCUAUUGUAUUCUAUUAGUUGUUAUACUAUUGACGGAUAAGGAUAAUUUAUUCUGUAUUAUCUUAGCCAUAAUAUUUCUUACUGGGCUAGUUGAGCUCACCCUUUUCUUUAACUAUUCUCUUCAGGAAAUUAGAAUAUAGCUGGGACUGGUCGGGGAACGGAUUGACGAUCCAGAUGGUUAUUUUAGUAGUCCUCACUAUUCUGUGAAGUAGUGUGAUAAUAAAUGUAAUGAGGACUCCAUUGAGAGUGGAUAUUGUCUAGAAGGCAAUAUUCUUGUUUAAACUCUCAGCUAUGUUUUGUCGUAUAUUACCUGACAGUUGUAUAAUUAAGUUGUAUUUGAUUUAUGUACCAUGUAUUUGGCGACUCAAGAUGGGUGAUGUAUACCUGUUUUGGGGGCGUCACAAGGGGCCUCCGCAGAGAGUACAUGAUUACGUCGGGAGCAGUUCAACGCUUGGAGCAGCGAGAUGCUCCGGAUGGUGAUUACCCUUUUGGAUGAGGCUUUUCGUCCGCCCCCGCCUACUCAGGUAUUCUUAUUGUUUAUGUUUUUUUAAUUAAGGCUAGCUUGUUAAUUCACACACACACACACACACACACACACAUAUAUAUAUAUAUAUACGGACUAAUAAUUUAUAUUUUUGAUUCUAUCAACAGGGUGGCGAUGGCGAGCAGACUGGCGAUGACGAGCAGGCAGUCGACACUGAUUUCCAUACACCAGAGCAGCGUCGUUCACAUCCGCCAGAUGAUGAUACUUUUACUAGUUUAUACUUCAUUUGUAUUCAUGUUAUUGUAGAACAUUUGUAUAUAUUGUAGUGUCUAAUUACGUCUGUAUAAGUAUUGUAGAACAUUUGUAUAUAUUGUAGUGUCUAAUUGCGUCUGUAUAAGUAUUGUAAAUUAUAUUGUUUAUCAUUUAUGGAACAUUAGCUUAUUUUUGUAAUUGGUUAGCUCAGUAGUUUUGAUGAUAAUGAGUUGGAGAUUACGUUUUGGUGGAUAUUUGAAUGUGAAUGAUAAUGAGUUGAAGAUUACGUUUUGGUAGAUAUUACGUUUUAGCGCUACGUUAAAUAUUUGAAUGUGAGAUGCAGGUUUAUAUUAUUGUGUAUUGGGUUGUAACAGGUUACAGGUACAUAAAUGAGUUUAAACACCCGAAAACUGAACUUUUUCAAAUCUGCAUUUAAAAAAAACAGUUAAUUCCGACAUAAUAAGGUAUUUCCGACGGAAUUUUCGUCGAAUUUAAUAUUUAGUCAUUUUUUUUUAAUAAAUAACGGUAUAUUUUAAUUUUCAGUCAGAAAUAAGUUACUUCCGAGGGAACAUGUUCGUCGAAAAUAAGGUAUCUCCGACGAAAAUUCUGUCGGGGUUAAUAAUUAGCCAUUUUUAAUAAAUACCGGUUUAUUUUAAUUUUCAGUCGGAAAUAGGUUAAUUCCGAGGGAAUCAUUUCGUCAAAAAUAAGGAAUAUUAUACUCAACGGAAAGUUUCGACCUAUUUAUUCGGUCGUAGAUAGCUUAUUUUCGACGAAAUUCCGUCGGAGAUAAAUUCGUCGAAGAUAAGAUAGGUACAACGGAAUUUGUGACGAAUCUUAUCUUCGACGCGUAUAUAUACGACCGAAUUUCCGACAGAAUUUUCCGUCGGAAAUAAAUUAUUUCCAACUGAAUAGGCUUAUUUCUGAGAGAAAAUUCGGUCGAAAAUAAGGUUUUUUCUUGUAGUGUAAAACUUAAUGACCUUUCCCAAAACUAUAUAUCCAUACCCAUCACAAAUGAUCGUUUAUCUAUAUAUCAGAAGCUGCAAAUUAGAAUUUGUCAAUAAGAGCCAAACAUCUUGCACUGUCUAUUGAUCAAUUUAAUAACAAAAAGUUGCAUUUGCAGCAUAAAGUUAAUUACGUACAGAUAGAAUCUAAUAAUAAGUAAACUUAAUAAUCAGUAAACUUGAUUGGGAAUACACCAGUAACAAAAGAUGGUAAUAAGAUAAGCUUAAUUUUGGUUGCUCAUAUAUAUAAACUAAAUGCUUAUAUACUUUAACAGUAUCAAUAAUGCUCUAGCACAACCUUAUUUAUUUUUUGGACUUUACUAAUAAAAAGUAGGAGAUAAGCGCGGUGCAAGGAGGACCUCAAGUGGGGUAAUUUUGGCAUUUGUUAGUCCAACAUCCUCGGACAUAUCAACUGGUCCAUCCGACGGAGUCGAGAUUUCAAAACCAUGCAGCAGAGUAGCCAGCACCAAGUGCAACAUUUGAAGGCCAAAAGCAAUUCCGGGGCACAAUCUUCUACCCGCACCAAAUGGCAUCAAUUCAAAAUGUUGCCCUUUCACAUCAACUUCUUUGGGCAUGUUGAGGAACCUUUCCGGCCUAAACUCCGUCGGAUCGGACCAUAUUAUCGGGUCUCGGUGGAGUGUCCAUAGGUUAACGGCUAGCAGUGUUCCUUUCGGAACAUGGUAGCCUGCGACGAUGCAAUCCUCAGAAAAUUCUCUAUGGAUUCCGAGUUUAGAUGCUGGGUAUAAACGUAAUGUUUCUUUGAUUAUUGCAUGAAGGUAUGCUAGAUUGUUGAGGUCAGAUUCUUUCACUUGUCUUUGUUUACCGACAACGUUGUCGAGUUCUUCUUGAGCCUUUUUUAGUGCAUGUCGGUUGUUUAGUAGCAGGGAGAGUGCCCAUGUUAGCUCAACUCUGAUGGUGUCGGUGCCGCUGGAAAUUAAAACCUAGAAAAGGUCACUCAACAGCAAAUUAGAUUAUUUUACAAAUUAAUCUCAAGGUAUAUAUUUAUAUUUAUUUCAAAAUAGUACAGUAUUACAUUGGAUGAGAAUUUUUUGUCUGAUUUAUCUAGACAAAAGUUUAGUUAUUGAUAUGGCUGGUCGUAUAAUAUAACUAACUAAAAUUAGUUAAUGAAUUGGAUCAAAAUUUUAGUUGAUAAUCUCUAAUGCUUCUAAGGUGGUGUUUGAUAAAAUUGAAUGUUAAGAUCUAAACAGUUUAGACAUCUGAAUAAUGUAGAGAAUCUAAUUAGAAUUGUAUAUGAAUGAAAAAAUAUUGUUUGAUAAUUAAUUUUUUUCAAAAUAUCUUAAUAACAUUAUUUUACCAUAUUACCCCUGAACUCUUUUUUUUUUUCUGAUGAGCAUUUUUUUUUCCAAGUCUCAACAUUUGCUCAGCACAAUUUCUCUCUACUUUAUGAGGUAUUGAUUUCCAAAUUUGGAGGUAAUCAUUUAUAUUUAAAUUAUCAAAACACCAAGAAUUAACCUUAAAUGAUGAACAAUAAACAUGGAAUAUUAAUUAUUAGAAUAGCGACAAUAAAUUUGAAACCAGAAACUGGCGAGAUUAAGAUUCCAGCGAGAUUAGACCAAGUGAAGCCGGCAACAGCCCCUUACCACAUAUACGACAAAACACCACGAAGCUGCCCCAUCCCACUUAAUCACCAACCCGAUCAGAUCCAAGCAGGAUGGACAAAAGCUAGAAUAGAAAAACGCGGAGGGGAGGCCUAGCCCAGAACAUCAACCAAAUCACCACAAAGACCCCCAACAUCCUUAAAUCAGAUUUAUACUACAUUCCCUAACCGCCGCUGCUUAAAACCAAAUCUCCUCUACUCACAGAAACAAUGAAAGAGCAUAUCCAUAAGCAACCAGAAUAUACCACAAUAGAUUUAAAACACCAAAUUUGGUCUUAUCGGAGGCUAUUGACUUCUUAUCGUCAAUUUCCAUGGCUGAUAAACUAUUUUCUUUCGCCAUUAAAACUUUAGGAACGUUGUUCGUAUGAAUUCGCGGCAGAUCUGUGAGGAGCAGGAGCAAAGACGGUUGGGGGAGGAAGAGGGAGAAGAGGGAUUUUGUAAUAUUUUAGAGGUUAUUUUUGUCCAACAAAUAGUUAAUGUGGUUCAAAAUAGAUUUAAUUUCAUAUCUUAUCGAAUAAAGAAAUAUUAAGAAGCAAAAUUUUUUUAUCAAACAUAUUUUAUCUCUGACUGAAUUAGAGACAUACCCAUUAAGAGAUAUUCAGAUAUAAACAAACACAACCUAAGUGGUAUAUCUUGAAAAAAUGCAUGUUAGAUUUUAUAUUCACAGUAUAGGAAAAAAUCUUACCACUAAUUUGUCACCUUAAUUUGAUUGUAGAGUUGAAGUUACUAGUUAUAUUUAAAGUGGUGAUCGAGAAUUAAUACCUACCGUACAUGUUGAUUUGAUCACCACAUCAGCAUCAAAGCCAGAAAGGUCUACAUUUUUGACUGCCGAUAGCAUCACAUCCAUGAAGUCUUGCUGCGUAUUAUCUUCAUCUAAUGAAUUCCUCUUCAUCCUGUGCUCUUCUAGCCAACCACUAACAAUAUUAUCCAUUUCUUUAGCCGUUUUUUUCAUAGCCUUCUCAUAUCCACCCAAAUCCAACAACCUUAAAAACGGAAGACUGUCAGCCACCACAAACACCCCAUGUAACCGAAAGAACUCCCUCCAUACCCUCCGGCACCGCCUUGCCUCCUCGUCAUCGUUGGCGUUACCACCGCCAAAAUACCGCUUUCCAGCAACCAUCCUAAGCACAACAUUGAGAGUCAAGUCUCCAAACCAUUUCUUCAUCUCUACCAAAACCCGACCGGACCCAUCUUUCUUUUUGGACCAAAUUUUGUUGAGUUGUUUCAUGCUGAUCUCCAUUUCAGAGAUUCACACGUGCUUGAGCAGCUCGAGCCGCCUGCUGAAGAGCAGCUCGAGGGAGGUGAUUUUUCGGAGUUCAACCCAAAAUGAACUGUAGGGAGUAAAUGCAAACAUGGCAUAGUUGUAGGACAAAUGUUCAGUUGCUAGGAUUUUGGGUCGGUUCGACACUAUUAUAUCGUUGGUUGUGAAAAUUUCCUUAAUAAUCUCCCAGCUGCUCACCACUAAGUACCGGUGAACCCCGAACCAGACCCUGAAGAUCGGCCUGUAUUUAUCGGCCAUGGAUCCAAAGACAAGAUGGGGUAGCUUUGAGCCGCCUAGGAGGUGGAGAUGACCUAUUAUAGGCCAUGCACCACCAGCUUCAGGUGCUACAUUUUUUUUGCUAAUUCUAGUCCAAGGUGAGAAAUAAUAAAGGACUAAUAUUAUAGCAAACAGAGCAGCUAUUAUAGAGUAGAGUUGUGGGAGGAAGGACUCCAUGGCGGAAUUAAGCGACUGAGUUGAGUCCUUCUGCAUGGACAUGCG
Molecule: long non-coding RNA, 176138 nt
Filed under: Panax ginseng (ginseng)
Lineage: Eukaryota; Viridiplantae; Streptophyta; Magnoliopsida; Apiales; Araliaceae
Description: long non-coding RNA (PGIN_LNC009983)
Source: RNAcentral